UUUUUUUCUUUGUUAAACAUCAUGUCAAGUUAAAUGGUGUCAUAUAAAAUAAGAUUGAGGGAAUAAUAUUUAAUUUUCAAGAAGAUUUAUUUAAUAGAGGUGAUUUAGUAAAUUAUAUAUUAUGAUUAUUAUUACUCUAUUAGUUCUAAUUUAUGUGACGCCUUUCAGAUUUCAAGAUUCAAAUAAAACUUUCGUAAUUUUUUCGUAUAUUUUAUAAAUAUAUGUUGAUUAUUGUGACUUAUACUACUUUUUACAUAGUGUUGAAAUAUGUAAAUUUUAUUUCAAAAAAAUUAGAUUUCAUACCCGAAUUCACGAUCCAAAUUAAAUUAUUGGACUCUUAAAAUCCAAACCGUGACACAUAAAUUGAGUAAAGAGAUUAAUUAUUUUAACGAGUGUAUCAAAUCAUUUUUUAUUGAAAGAAGUAUCGUGUAGGGUAAAUAGACAUUACCAAAAAUACUCUAUUAUACAUCUUUGGCCAAACACAUAUACAACACCUCUAACUUGUUCACAUUUUUCAUUUUGGCACUUUAUCUUUGUCUUGUUCCAUUUUAACCCUUAAACUCCAUUUUUUAUGUUCCAUUUUAACACGAAAUACUAUUUUUAUGAUUUAUUUAUUUUUAUAUAUAUUCUUCAAUUGCAACUUCUUAUUUUAAAUCGACAUGUGUCAUUUUAUUUAGUUAAAAAAUUAAAAAUUAACAAAAAAUAAAUCUUUUUAAAAAAUAAUAAUUUCUUUUUAAGAGUGUUAUGUAUUUUUGUGUGAAAAAUAUCCGACGAAAUUAUGUUGGUUUUCUUUCUUUAAAAUCAUCGACAACCUAACAAAGUCAGUCAAGUUUUAACAUUAUUUAGUAGUGUUAUUAGCAAUGAAACCCUGAAGUUGAUCGAAAAGAUCAUCAAUUAUCAGAAGAGGAUACUUAUUCUUGAUGGUAACCUCGUUCAACUGGCGGUAAUCUAUACACAUCCUAAGGGAGACAUCUUUCUUUCUCACAAAUAAGACUAGAGCGCCCCAAGGUGAGAUACUUGGUCGAAUAAAACCCUUAUCUAGGUUUUUUGCUAGUAAUGUUUUUUUUUGGUAAUUAAAAUUUUAUUUACCAAAGUGAUCAUUACAAACUGGAAAAAAAACAGCAGACUUGGACAUACAUGCUCCAAGACUUGCUGAAACAUCACACUCUAUCCAUCAGCCUUCUCUCACAGCUUCUCUCCUAAGGGUAUACAUUGAGUUCUUGAAGUCUGUUGCCUAUCUUCCCAUAAUGGGUUCCUCUUCCAUGUACAUCUCUAAUGAUGUGUCUAAUCAUGAACUCCUCAUUUCUCUGUUUGAACUGAAAGAUUCUGUUGUUGCGCUCUAUCCACACAUGAUAGAUGGUUCCUGCCAUAACCAUCCUAUACACAUUGGCUUUGCUAGUGUUGCUCUUCAUAUGUGUUGUUACCCAUUGUACUUCUUCAUGCCACUUCCCUCCUGUACGUUGUAUUCCUUGCCAAGCUAGCAGCUUCUUCCAUAUUCCAGCAGUGAACAUGCAUGCAAAAAAAAGGUGAUCGAUAUCCUCAUCCUCCACUUGACAUAAGGGACAUGUCAAAUUAGAUGUUACUCCCCAUUUUGCCAUUCUAUCUUUCGUUGACAACCUCCUAUUUAGAGCUAAAUACAGUAUGAACAACCACUUUGGUGCACCAUAGUUGGACCAUAUCAACUUUCUCCACUCCACUUUCUCCCUAUCUCCUCUCAUCUUUUCAUAAACCUCAUUCAAAAAUACAGAGAAAUAUCAAAAAAUAAUAUUAUUGUUUGAACAAUUUUAUGUUCGUUCGCGAAUGUUUAAUUUUUUUAAUUAACAGGCACACGUCUAUUUUUUUAAAAUAAGAAAUUGCAAUUGAAGAACAUAAAUAAAAACAAAUCAUAAAAAUUAGUAUAAGUGUUUAAAUGGUACAGAAAAAAUGGAGUUUAAGGGUUAAAAUAGAACAAGGCUAAGUUGGAGUGCCAAAAUGAAAAAUGAGAGCAAGUUUGAAGGGCGGUAUAUGUGUUUGGCCUACAUCUUUUCUAAAAUUGUCUACAGUGGGAUUUUUGGAAUGCAUAUUAAAUGUACGAUCGUGAAUACCGUUGUGAAACAUAAUUUCUUAGAUUGAAUAUCUGAACUAGACAUGUAUUGAGCAUUUCGUACCUUAUUUUUUGAUUAAAAGUGAGCUUGGUGCCCAGUUAUUAUAAAACAAUAAUUUGUACAAAUAAUAAAAAGUGCCCAUAUGGCUCAUUUCCUAAAAGAAGAUGAGCCAUCAAAAAAGAAAUAAAAGACAAAAUCAGAAUGAAAAGCAAAUGAAAAAGAGCAUUCUCAUUGCAUCUGGAAAGGAAUUGGCUCGACUCUGCUCCGGCAAAGCUCCAUGUCGUCUUUUCCGGUGAACUCCGAGGUAAGUUUUCAUUAGCUCCAUCUUUGGGUGUUGUAUCUCUAGACCUGCAACUUUUUAUCAUAUGCAACUGAGCUAUUGGAACUUCAUUCUCUUCAUCUUUCCAUUUCCUUUCGCCAUUGAUGAUUUGUGCCUCUUUGCUCUCUAAAUCACCAAAGUAGUACUUAGUAGAUAGUAGACUUUAAAUUCCGAUAGGCUGAGUCUCGAAGCGGCUAAUACCACUUAUCGGAAAGGAAACUCAAAAGACAACUUAAAACAAACCGACUAGUUUACCAAGAAAUUAAUCGACAUCCAGUCCCUAAAUAAUCCACUUAACAUUCACCUUCUUUUUCUCAUGAUAGACUGAAUCUCAUAGAGAUCAAUACCACACAUCAAUGGGAGAAAUCUGGCUCUAUGUUUAGUAAAAUAUCAAAGACGAGAUGUCAAUACUGACUGUUGAAUAAGCGAUCAGCCGAUCAGAAACUUCCGCUUUUAAAACAUUAAAGAAUAACUUCACCUAAAUGCUUAUGUCGUAGUCUCUUCCCGUUGUACACCUUAAAAUAUCACCAGGUGGCAUAGUAAAGAGACUGUUUGAAAUCAUUUCAGGCAAUAGAUUAAGUAAGAUACCUUCUCAUGCUUUAACCCAGAGCCAAGAAAGAGAUUCAUUACUCCAAAUUAGAAGCUAUUUGUUAUUAAGUUGAGUAAGCCUCAAAUGAGGCAUACUUAACUUAUCCAAAUUUAAGAUUUUUUUUUGCUGCAACAGGCAUAUCUUGAAAAUUAUGCACCGUAAAAGUCCCUGCAAAAUUAACAGUUAGGUUAGCAAAAAAGUCAGCCAAGAAAUUGUCUUCCCUUAGAGUGUGUUUUAUUUGAGUAGGGACUUCUUCUCUCAUUCUCUUUAUUACCUCCACCUCCAUAACAACACUUCAAGGUACCUCCCAAUUUUUCUCCAGGAUAUUUUGCAUAGUGAGCGAAUCAGUUUCUACUAUUAGAGGGAUCAGAUUUCUCUCAAUACAAUAUUGAAUACCAUCUUUGAUUGCAACAGCUUCUGCAACUAAAUUAGUAGACUGGCAGUCCCUUUCCCUUUACCCCUAUAAUAUUUCCUUCACUAUUUCUCACACAAAAAGCAGCAGAACUAGUGCCAGGGUUACCUUUUGAUGAACCAUCAGUGUUGCAUAUAUACCAACCAGAAGGAGGGGGACUCCAUUUCACGAUUCUAUGACUUUAGCUUGACCUCCAAUUUUACGGUACUUCUACAAUUUGAGGCCACCGGUAGUUUGUUCCCCCAAAUUCUCCAAGUUAAAAAAUUCAUUUUAAAUGGCAAACCUUUCACCCAAAUAAGUUUAAACUAAAGAUCUUCUUUCUUUUUUUGUCUCUCAGCAGAUCCCAAGCAGUGCUUACUUUGAACUUACCUGUGCUAUUAAGUAACCACCAUGUUCUGUCACAUAGGUUACUGGAAUCAAAAUUUCCCAAUUGUUCCUGAAUGUGAUUAACAAUUCUCCCAGGCAAUAAUUGUUGUAGAUUUUUAAAGUCCCAACCUUCUUCAUUCAUCACCUCUGAUAGGUCCUUCAUUUCAUGUCUAAUCUAGCAUUCAGGGUCUUGAUGUAAAGGACCAAGUUUGGUCCAAUUUUCAUACCAAAUGUUAGUGGAGCCUCCUCUUGGUUCCCACCAUAGGUUAUUCUCUAAGAUAUCUCGAUUUUUCAACAUCAUCUUCCACACCUGUGAACCCCCUUUCCAAUUUACCAGAGUGGGAAUUUCUUUCUUACAGUAUUUAUUCCACAUAAAACUUGCACAAAUAGAAUUACUAGUUCUGAAUUUCCACCAUAAUUUUGCAAACAUUGCCGUGGAGGCAUCAAACAACAAUUUGAAUCCUUUUCUUCUUUAGGCAAACAAACACUUAGCCAAGUAGACCGGUGUUUACUUCUUCCCGUUUCUUUGCUGUUCUAGAAGAAGUUAGAAAAAUCUUGUGUAACUCAUUUAUCACACACAUAGGGGGAACAAUUGCCGAUAAGAUGUGGAUAGGAAUGCUUUGUAGAACACUACUAAUCAAAGUUGCUUUGCCACCAAAAGCAAGCAUUUUUCCUUUCCAUGUUUGCAAUCUAUCUUUGACCUUCUUGAUGAGUUCUGCAUAAUCCCUCUUUCUCUUUUUGCCAUGAGUGAUAGGACACCCUAAGUAGGUAAAAGGAAAUUGGCCUUUUGAAAUACUUGUACAAUUAUCAACUAAAACACCUAGUUGGGCACUAGUGUUUUGAUGCAUAUACGAGGAACUUUUUCCUUUAUUAAUCAACCGACCAGAUUGCGUUUCAUACCUACUCAACACCUUCAUUAUCUUUUUGAGAGACCUUUCGUGAGCUGCAGCAAAAAUAAUAGUAUCAUCUGCAUAAGCCAGAUGAUUCAAAUUUGUACUCCAUUUAGGCAUGUUGUAACCCAGAUACUGUACAUCAUCAAACAAGGAUUCAAAGCUCUAGUGAGAACCUCAGCACUAAGAAUAAACAAAGCAGGAGAUAAAGGGUCUCCUUGUUUCACUCCCCUCAUGGAAUGAAAGAAUCCAUGAGCAUGUCCAUUUAUUAUGAUUGAAUACCAAUUAUUAGCUAUAAACUUCCAGAUGAUAUCCACAAAUUCUUCAGAGAAUCCCAACUUCCUAAUUACUUUCAUCAAGUAAAACCAAGAGACUCUAUCAUAAGCCUUCAUCAUAUCAAGCUUAAUAAUUGUAUUAGUUGGUUUUCCCCUCUUAGUAAUAUCUGUAACAAUAUCUUGAGUGAGUAAUACAUUCUCAAUGAUGUUCCUCCCCUUCACAAACCCUGAUUGAUUAGAAGAGAUUAGCCUUGGCAACACCAUCUUUAAUCUAUCAUGCACAACUCUAGAAAUCACCUUGUUGACAAAAUUACUCAGGCUGAUAGGUCUUAGAUCAGAAAAGGAUUGAAUAUCAUUCUUCUUAGGUAAUAACACAAGCUUAGUAUGAGUAAUGGAUUUCGGUAAUGAAUUUCCUCAAAAGAAAGCCACUACUAACUUCCAUAAAUCCUCUCCUAGAAUAUCCCAACAACUCUAAGUGAUUGGAGAAAAUUCGAGCUCAAGAGUUGUGAUUUCCAUUUUGCAUAUGUGUGCAAGUGGAUUGAGCUCUUGAAGGACUAUGACCUCUAUAUUCUAUACCAUCCGGGCAAGGAGAACGUAGUAGAGGAUGCCUUGAGUAGAAAGGCGGUGAGUAUGAGUAGUCUAGCCAUUCUUUUAGCUUCGAAGCAACCUUUGGCUUUAGACAUUUAGUCUUUAGCCAAUAGGAUGAUUCAACUCGAUGUUUCACAUUCUAGGUGGGUGUUAUCAUAUGUGGGAGUUUAGUCGUCUUUAUUGGAGUGGAUCUGUCACGCCCCGAGCCUACACCCUGGGCGGGACCGACACUCGGAGACCAUUGCUGGCCCCAAGCGAACCCUUGGCUUGGCCAUUUAUGUAUAAGCCACUUGAAUUAUACGAAUGUAUAUGAUACAUCAUGUAAAUCAACAAACAUAACACAACAAACUUUUAAAUUGAACUGCAACACUGCUAAGGUAAAAUAUAUCAAAAUUAUAACUGUAUCAAAUACAGUUUUAAGAGUUUUAAUGUGUGCUUCAUUAAUAGUCUUCAGUGUAUAUGAUACAACAUAAUGUGGUGUAUAUGAUACAUAUACUACACGUUUGCAAAAGUAAAUUUUGGGACACUUAAUUUGGUUUAAAUAAUAAUCAUGGUAUUGAAUCAAUAUUGUCACGCCCCGAGACUACACCCUGGGCGGGACCGGCAAUCGGAGACCAUUACUGGCCCCAAGCGAAUCCUUGGCCUAGCUUUCUUAACUCAGCGGAAACUUAACUCAAUAGUACAACUCAAUGCAAUGAAAGGUUAUAAAACAACCAAUUGAUGCAUAACAUGCCAAAAGGCAGCUCGAGUCUCAAAAUAGAAUAUUUACAUAAAUACAUAGAUGAGAGACUCAAUACUAACUGACUGACUGACUGUCUAUGAAACCUCUAAAAAAUACUGGGAUGGAUGUUGGGACAGACCCCGCAACAUCCUAAUAACACAAAACUAAAGAAACAAAUUAUUUGAGUCCUCCGGAAAGCAAGGAGGCUCACCACUGACUCUGGAGUGCUCAGCUGGAUCAACGACGUACAGGAUGCUGAUCUGGGGUACCUGUGUCUGCAUCGUCAUAAGAUGCAGGCCAACUGGCAUCAGUACAUUGAAUGUACGAGUAUGCGAGCUGGACAGCUAAACCACAACUUAAGCUUGAAAAGAGUACAAGAGAACACUUACCUUGGUUCUGUUCAACUCAUGUAUAACCGAACUCUAUAUAUAAAGCAAUAAGACACAUGCAAUAUAUAAAACCUGUAAAACUCUUAAAACAUGACGUAAAAAUCAUAUUUAUAAUAUCAUGAAAAUACCAUACUUCCUCUCAAGGUCUACUUGUGCAAUGUAUGAAUGAAGUCCCAUACCCCCAUCCAUACUAAGCAGAACCCUCGAGGAACCAAGCUCUUUUUACUGUGGGAACUUCUCUAACCGACAAACCACCACUACGAGUAUGAGUGGUGAUACAACGUUUUACCUCACGUUGCCCGAGGACCAUCCUAUACCUUGCCGUGAUAUAGGAAGCUAACUUUACUAAGUGGAUCCACUAGCUUAACUUUACGGGUUCAUCUAAAAAGUAUGACCAGUUAACUCCCAUGUUGGCUACAUGGUUCUUAUGGAGAGUUGAGUUUAAUAUGAACUCGCGUCCCCAAAUCGCUGCUCGAUACUACUCCCAAAAUACUUUAGCUCAUAAGUGUUUUAAACACAACUUUCUUUAGUUUGAGAUAAUUACUCAAAAUCUAGCCCAAAGGCUCACUUGGAAACGAUGUUCCUUUUUCUUGAAAACUAGCACAAAGGCUCUUUUNNNNNNNNNNNNNNNNNNNNNNNNNNNNNNNNNNNNNNNNNNNNNNNNNNNNNNNNNNNNNNNNNNNNNNNNNNNNNNNNNNNNNNNNNNNNNNNNNNNNNNNNNNNNNNNNNNNNNNNNNNNNNNNNNNNNNNNNNNNNNNNNNNNNNNNNNNNNNNNNNNNNNNNNNNNNNNNNNNNNNNNNNNNNNNNNNNNNNNNNNNNNNNNNNNNNNNNNNNNNNNNNNNNNNNNNNNNNNNNNNNNNNNNNNNNNNNNNNNNNNNNNNNNNNNNNNNNNNNNNNNNNNNNNNNNNNNNNNNNNNNNNNNNNNNNNNNNNNNNNNNNNNNNNNNNNNNNNNNNNNNNNNNNNNNNNNNNNNNNNNNNNNNNNNNNNNNNNNNNNNNNNNNNNNNNNNNNNNNNNNNNNNNNNNNNNNNNNNNNNNNNNNNNNNNNNNNNNNUUGGGGCGCGCUGGCAGGCGCGACGCGCCAACCCCCUCGCCCAGAUACUCGACUUUUCUCCCUUAUUUUGCCAACUCUAAAACACCCUUACUUCAAGGGCUUCAACCCCAAACACUAAGGAUCAUCAUAUCCCUCAACAUACCAUGGAUUACAACUCAAAACACAACCGGAAACAAGUCCCAAAUCAACAAGAAUCUCAACAACGACAACUAACAACUUCAACAACUUCAACAACAAAUCCAAUCUCUUUUCAAAUAAAAAAAAAUGAGCUUGGUGUGUGGGGGAAAGUAUCAACCCACACAAAGAACUCACAUACCUUGAUAGGGAUCACCCCCGACGAUUUCCACAACGAUCUUCGACGGAAACUCCUUGAUCUCCUCUUCUUCUUCUCUUCUUUCUCUCUUCUUCUCCUCUUCUUCACUCCAGAACCCUAACUCUUUACUCUUUUAAAAUGGAACAAAAAUUAUCCACAAUAAGUCUAACACAACAUUAUAACCUCAAAAGAAAUGAUUUGUGAAAAGACCAAAAUGCCCUUAAAUUUCCGGACGGAUUCCCUGCCAAUUGCCCAAUUUUCAAAGGGCAUAACUCACUCAUACGAGCUCGGAAUCGAGAAAAUUCGGUGGCGUUGGAAAGACCAUUCCAUGAGCUAUGCAACCAUAACUGGAACUACACCUAACUCAUCCUGAGCCAGGAGUUAUGUCUGUUCAAAUUUGGCCAAAAACUCACCUUUUCCAUACUUGGAGCCAAAUUUCCAGAUUUUUAAAUCUUUCCAAAAUAUAACCUCAAAAGAAAUGAUUUGUGAAAAGACCAAAAUGCCCUUAAAUUUCCGGACGGAUUCCCUGCCAAUUGCCCAAUUUUCAAAGGGCAUAACUCACUCAUACGAGCUCGGAAUCGAGAAAAUUCGGUGGCGUUGGAAAGACCAUUCCAUGAGCUAUGCAACCAUAACUGGAACUACACCUAACUCAUCCUGAGCCAGGAGUUAUGUCUGUUCAAAUUUGGCCAAAAACUCACCUUUUCCAUACUUGGCCAAAAUUUUCCAAAAUUUUCAAAUUCUAAGCCUCUUCUUAGUUAUCUCAUUUUGCCGGAUGUUACAGGAUCAAUGGUCGUCAGUUUGAGGGUGAGGCCUUGAUUUUUUUCUGAGAUCGGGUUUUGCAAGGUGAUGUUGGGAAGGCUACCUUGGAUUCUGACAGGGUUUUGAGGUUUGAAGACCGUAUUUGUGUUAUGAGAGUUGGUGAUAUAUAUUCUUCAACUGAUCCUUCGUGAGGCCCAUGAUUCCAAAUAUUCUAUCCAUUCAAGCACCGUGAAGGUGUAUUGCGAUUUGAGGCAGCAUUACUAGUAGGUUAUAGUAUGUGCAAUCACGACUCGAGUUUUCGGGUCGUGACACAAUAUAAUCAAAUUUACAUUUGAAAAACAUAAUAACAUGAUUAUAUGUACUUAUUACUAUAAAUAUAACCAAUAAUGUAGAUUUCUAAAAUCUUUUCCUCUUUGAUUAUUUAAUCAUAUUUAAAGUUUUGAACAAAAGUAAUAGUUAUAUAAUUUUUGUAUGAAUUAUGAUAUGAAUUCUUCCAUAUUCAUUGCUCUAAUGAAUUAUUUUGAAAGGUUUUCAGAAGGUUGCAAAUUUGAAAUAAUUUCAAAAACAACUCUAGCAAAUGUAAUAAGAUAAACAAUUUCAUCAUGUGCCCACCUAAGGCUCCUUACUUGGUUUAUAACAUUGUGGAUGCUGUGAAGACUAAGGCUUAGGAUAUGUCCCAUGGGUCCGUGUUGUCGUCUACUGAUCAUCAAGCAUGUGAUCAUAGCUGAAUAGGGAGGAUGUUUGGGAUGGUUGAGGUUCAAUUGUGCAUUGGUGGUCUCACAGCUACCGGUGGGAGGUGAAUUCUUUGGCAGAGAACUACCCAUUGACGGAAAGUGCAUUGAACAUGUGUAGGAUAGGCCCGCAUUUCAAAAGCUUGUGGAUAAUGAUGAGGCUACUAUUAAUGAUGAUAGUGAUGAAGAUGAUGAUGAGGAGGUUGAUGAUGCUGAUACAAUGCUCACGUUGGUAGAUAGUCCAACUGAUGCGACGAAUGAGAAUGCUGCUGAUGAUGGUGAGGGAGCCUAGAUGCCUGAGGGAGUUCUUUCUUUUACUCGAUACUUAUGUUCUGAUUUUGUUGCACUAGGGACAAUGAUUUGUCUAAGUUUGAUGGAUUUCCCUAGUAGUUGUUUAUUAAUUUGUGGAAUCUUUUUCUAUUUUUAGGUUGGGCUCCUCAUUUUUUGUUUUCGAUUUCUUUUCUUGAGGACCUCGAAUAGACUAGGUUUAUGUUUUGUGUUGUGUUUUGAUUAGUCAAAGUUUGCAUAGAACUAACUAUUCCAGAUGAUGAAUGGAUGACGACCAUUUUAAGAGAAAAUUAGUCAUUAAGUGUUAGGUCCAGAAACUUGACCUUUGGUGCUUUGAAACCUUGCUUAGAAGUCAACCAGACGGCAUGGGUAGGUCAUUCUUGAGCAUGCUAAUUAAUGAAGUUACUCCAUGAGAAACACAUAGGCUCUUUGAUUGGACUCUGAAAAGAUAAAAACAAAUUAAGAUUAAUUUUGUCGAAAUGCACUCAAUGUGUCAUGUGUGAGCAUGCUAUUUGUGUAAUCUUGCAUGUAUGUCAUGGUUCCAUGUUUGGUGAGGAUUGCUUUGUUCGUGUAUAAAACUUCAUCUAGAACUUGCAUGAUGUGUGUGUGUGACAUAUAGACUUGCAUGAAUUUUGGAAUAUUAUCUAGGCAUUUCUUUGCAUAGCUCAUUUGAUUCUAGUGUGUGCCUCCAUGAUAUUGUCCCUAGUGAAGCUCCUUUGAGCCUUUUAGCCAAUAAUUCUUUGAUAAGCCGCAUGAUGAUCCAAAUACAUUUUGUUGGUACCCUUUCUUAGUUAAUGCACUAUGUAGUGAAGGAUGGGUUCACCAAAAGAUAGAGUGAUGCAAAAGAGAAAGUGUGAGUGUGGUAAAAGAAAACUGGGGUGAAAAGAACCCAGAAUUAAAGUACAUAAGUGCUUGUUGCAUAGAAAAAAAGAAGCUAAAGAAAUAAAAGGAUAUGCUAGCAAGUGGUUGAUUGUCUAAAGGGCGGAAACCAAAAGAUAAUCAAGGAUGGUCAAGAGGUGUGAGCAUAAGAAGUGAAGUAAGGUUAAAAAAGGAAAUAUGGUGAAGUGUCGAGUGGUAAAACAACUGCAUUAAGGAGGAAAGUCACCAAUUAUAUCCACAACGUAUCCUCCCCAUCACGAAACCGAUAUUACAAUUGAAUAAAGCUUUUUUUUAUUCCAUGAAUGAAUGCAUAAUCAAGGUCAUCACACACAAAGGGAAAGCCUAUGACAUGUUGUGAUAUGUGAAAACAUCUUUUGUGAUAGUGAGAGCUUGAAUUGUGAAAAUUGGCCCUUUGAAAAUUGAAAGCAUGUGAAUAUAAGCUAUGUUGAGAGAAGGGUUGUACAAAAAUAGUGAGGGCACUCAUGACAUGCUAGAGAAUAUUGUUGGUUGCUUGUUCAUACCUGAUUGCAUUGACUGGUAGAAUUGUAAGGAGUCUACCGAGGAGGUUACGUUGUGUCUUGUGGAGUAUUGUGGUGCUAAAAAAAUGUGUAUUUUAUUGCAUGAGGUGUGAACUACAAAAACAUGAUUAAAAAUUAUCUGGUUGGUUCAAAUGCAUGUGGAUGAGUCCGUAGGUGUGAAUGGUGAAUCGAUAACGGAUGGUAUAGAGAGUUGUUCGAGGAUGAACAAAGGUUUAAGUGUGGGGUGGUGAUCUUGGUCGUAUUUAUAUGCUUAUUUACUAUGAUUUUCCCACAUGUGCCUUAUGUUUUAAGAGUAUUCUUUAUGCUAUUUUCUAUGUUCUGAUUGAUAUUGCAAUGAUUGCACACUAAGACAUGUGAUUAGCUAAUGCAGGAGUUUUUGAAGGGACAUUGAGCAGAUGAGAGAUUGAACAAAGGAAGAACCCUUUAUGCUUUUUUACAUGAAAACAAUUAUAUUUAUGCUUUUUUAUUAGCAUGAGUAGCUAAGAACCCUUAUUUUGUGGCAGCGACUACGAAUGACUGUUGAAAAUUGAUUUUGUUUGGAUCAAGUUAGUUAUCGUAUAAAUUAUGCUUGGCCUCCAAUAAAAUAAAUACAUUGUUUACUUUUAAACUUGAGAGAGGAAUAGAGAGAUAGAAUGUGGAAUACAAGGAACAUGUUAUUUUCUUGCAUAUCAUUUGAAUUGAUUUGUGUUUAGGAUAGAGAUAUACAUAAGCAUUGUGUUUGGUUAUGAAACAAGAAGAUAAAUUCAAUUCUCACUAGUUGAUUCAAUCUAUCCCUACUCAACAAUAUAGUUAGAUUGUCAACUAGGGUAGAUGAUUAGAGGUCGAGAGAUCAUGAUCAUAAUAUUAACCUUGUAAUAAGUAAUUUGAUAACCAUAUGAAAUCUGCGAAAGAUAGGUGAAUCAUGAAUUCUUAGUUAAGUUGCAGCCCUGGAAUGGUCUCAAUUAUUGUUUACACACCGAAAUUGAAGUUGAGCAUGUUUGUUACUUUUGAUUCUUAAAUACUUGCAAUCGUAGUUAUAAAUACCAAAGUCAAAUACUUGAGAUACACUUGCUUUACUUUGUGCGGUUUAGUUGAAUUAUAUAUAAAUUAAUCAUAAUUCAUUUGGGUUCGACAAUCUGGCUCUUGUAGAGCCACCAUAUUAUUUGUGCGACCACGUACAUUUGUAUGUGCAUUUGGGAGCAACAACUACCCCUUUGAUCAGUUUAAAGUCUUGACCGGGAGGUUCUAUUUUUAGUCCGAACACACCUUUCCCUUUGAUCAAUUUAAAGUCUUUACUAGGUGAUUAUGUUGGGUCCUUGGGUGCCUUUACCGCAGUUAAAGUCCGUGGAAGGCUGUGAUAGUCCUGGAAACAUCCUCAAGUUUUCUUACUAGUUCUUAAAUCUUCUGUGUGCAUGCCGGGCAUGUGGGUGUCCAUUCUUACCUCAAUCAUAUCGUUCCAGUCUACAACCAAGUGCAACUAAUUCCAACCUACAGCUACGACUAGACACUAAAGUCUCAAACAUUAACACAGUACGAAACAAGCCCUACAGGGAGAAAAACACAACUACAAGGGUAAUAUAGCACAUUCUAAGGCAUCUAAGGCUCAAUCCUAGACUAAGUCCUCAAGUAUUAAUCCUAACAAGGAUAAUCAUGCUAAAUUAUACUAUAAGAAAGUUUACUAGCCUAAACUAAGGGUUCUGUCACCCACAUUAAGCACAACACUUCUACGCAAAUCAAGAAAGAUAAAUAAAUGGAAGGGUUUAUAAUACUCGACAAAUACAAUCCAUUCAUACUAAACAUUAUCUACUAAAGCCCAAUCAAGAAAGUAGACAUUAGCCUACCUCGAAUCAAAACUACAAUCUUGAACCAUCCAUGAGCCACCCGUCUCUUCACCACGUUCUCCAUAUUCCUCAAAACUAUUGAUAACAUCAACUACACAUUGCAUCGAGAAGAACGAUACCCAAUCACUAUAAUAUAAGCCGACCCCAAAAUUAGGUCAAAAUAGUCUCAUGGGACCUAUUAAUAAAAUUCUAAAAUUGAACCUGUCACUAGGCCCAUACAAGCACAAGGAACUUGUGAUCUAAAUUUGAGCACCAUUGGAUCUCGAGAACCCAUCCAAAUUAACCAACAAAAAUUAGAAUUCAAGAACCACAAUUAAAAGAGAGAAAAGAGGUUUCAAGGUGAUAAAUCACCAUAAAAUGAGUCCACAACUCUCCCCCAAUGACCCUACUCGAAGCCCCAUCAAAAACCAACAAAUAGCAACUAAAAUCGGCUCAAACAGAGCUUUAUAACUCAAGUUAUCGCGUUUUAAAUGUUGAACAAACGAACUGAAAAGUUGGGCUUUAAACAGCCCCUAGGUGCCGCUAAAAUGGUCAUUUGGCUACUUAAGCGGCUGGUCAAAGUUGGUCAAAUAUCGCUAAAGUGGUCUGAAGGCUGCUUUAAGCGGAUGCACCAACACCAUCAUAGGCUAAAAUUUGGUUUUCAUGCUCCAGACUCAUCCGGAGUCCCGUGAACACAAACGAUAUAUGAAAUCUGAUUGUAAACAUUAUUUUAGACUCCAUGGAAUCAAAAAAACAUCAUUUAGAGGUCAUCUACAAAAAAUGUUGACUGAAGUCAACACAUUAACUAUAAUAAAGAAAGCAACAGGAUGCCCAAAAUCAAAAUAAAGUCCUCGAGAUCCAAAUCAAAGGUCCUAUAUUAGGCACCAAAUUCAAUAUUCUGGAGCUAAUGGCGCAGAUGGAAUUCUCAUACUACAACUAAAUAUCUAAAUGUUGACUGAAGUCAACUCUAGGCUAAACUUUCCAACAUCUCACCUACAUGCUCAAACUCACACUAGGAGCCUCUAGACAUGAACCAAAUAUCCUUGUCUACCUGAAUUUUUGAUGAAUUGAACCAUCCAAGUUUCAAAAGCUCCAAAAUAUGAAAACUCACAAUAUCCAAAUGAACAACCCGAUAACUGAACUAUCAGUCUCAGCAAGCCAUACAUGAAUUGUGAUCGCUACGGGAAACUCUAAACACUGAAAUGAUUAGGAAACAGAGAAAAUGACCUGGAGAGUCAUUACAAUUAUGAAACUAUAUUUGUGUAGCAACCAUCCAAACAAGUAAAUUGAGUGUGCUUGAAAAUAAAAUAAAAAUACUAGGAAGCGCUAUCUUUGAUCUUAUAUGAUGUGGAUUUAGAUUAAACGAAUAAAACUUUUAUUUUUUCUUUCUCGGAGUUUUUUCUUGAUAAGCAUAGUGGGAAGAAGUGUUUUAUGAUAGCACUAAGAGAGCUUAUAAUUUCAGAGAGUGAUUGUAACCGCCCAGAAAGUUUUUGAGCUAAGACUCGAACCGUUCUUCGUAGUGAGUGAGCUUUUUGCAAGGAAUUUAAAAUUUCUUGAGUAUUAAGGUCACUAGAUGUAGCACCUUGAGUUCCAAUAAGAACUAAAGAGAGUUCAUUCAAGUCAUUCCUAAGUUUUUCUUAAGUUUUGGCUCAACUUCAGACAAUCAUAACUCCUAGUACAAGAUAAGUUAGGUGAGCUACAAGAUAUAAAAUUAAAGCUCUUCGAGUUCUCUUUCCAACGCUACCGAGUUUUCUAAAUUCCGAGCUCUGAGUAAAAUGUUAUGACUGAUUUACUAACGACGCACAAACCUGGCAGUAGCUCCGCGAUGGCUCUGGGUUACGGAGCCAAUACGGACCUCACUGCCUGGUGAAAAAUUAUUCCGACUCCCAACUCGUUUUAAUUAUUUAUUUAAGGAUAUUUUAGUCCUAAAAACCCGUAGGAGGUCAUCUAAAUUGCCCUAAACGUAUAGAAAACCAGUUUUUCAUAAAUCAAACCCUCUCAUCCACUCCAACAAUUCUACGCUCAAGGGAUUCAAGAAACGCUAAGGCUAGAGUUCAUCUUCCCAGAUUUUCCUUCAAGUUCUUCAAGAAGAUGAUUCUUUCAGGUAUGUAAGCUUCCAUAGUGUUGGGUUUGUUCAGCCACACGCCAAUCAUGUUAAUAUCAGCUUUAAAUUAGUUCUAAAAGUUGAAGCUUUGAUGUUCUUGAUAUGUAUUCUUGAAUUUGCUUUCGUUCUUGAAUUGGACUGAGAUUGAGGAGUUCUUGAGAUUAUUGUGUCGAUUUAUAGGGUUGUUAGAGUUAGAUUCUAGUGUACAUGUGCUGGGUAUCUGAAUCUAAAGAGAGGUUGAGCAAAAGAAUCGAGUUUAGGUGAAUUGGGGUUAGAAAAUGAAGAAGGAAAAAGUCAGGCGAAUCUGGCACCUUACUCCGCGUCGCGGACCUGCCUCCCCAUUUCAUAAAGUUUGUCUUCGCGUCGCAGAGACGUCACGGACCUCUCUGCCUCAAAAAUUAAUUCACGACCAAAUACCGUAAUUCAUCUCCCCGUCGCGGACUUGCUUCCAAACAAUGAUUUCUUGAUUGUUUUUCAUGUUUAACUAUCUAAAAACACUCCUAAACAUCACGAGAUCAUUCCUAUCACAAAUCACAACCUUGAAUUCAUAAAUCACAUUCAAGGUAGAGUUGAGAGUCAAGUCUUGAGAGUUCUUUCGGACAUUUUGAGAAAGUCCCUUUAAGUCUUUUUUAGGAGUCUUUUACAACUUCUAGUAACUUGUUUCAAGACUCGAGCAAGUGAGUAUGAGGAUGAGGAGAAUGUAUUCACGAGUGUACUUUGUCAUUAUGAGAAAUUUCGUAUCAUGAACCAUAACUCUUGAAUUCAUAAUUCACAUUCAAGAGAGACUUAAGAGUAGAGUUCAAGAAAGUCUUUGAGUUCAAUUGUGAAUCCUUUGAGAUCCACCAUCGAUUUGAAUUAAGUUUUGAGAAGUAAGUAUGAGAAUGAGAAGAGUCGUAUACCUGAGUUCCUCAUUGAUAUUUUGACCCUUAAGUCAAGUCGUUCAUGCCCAUAACUUCCGCAUGAACUCCAUCAGUUUAGUAUCUUUGAAAGGAAUAAUAUCUUCAAGUUCUAAGUCUUGAGUAUCGAGUUCCUAACCCUUCCGAGAUUAUAAUCCUAAUCAUGGGACUAUUACCUAUUACCCAUGAAGUCCAUGAGUUGAGUUGUUCAUGCCCAUAAUUCUGCAUGAACAUUAUAAGUCGAACAAUCUUGAGAUGAGAAGUAUCUUUGAGUCCUUGAGUUGAGUAGUUUAUGCUCAUAAUUCCGCAUGAACCCUCUGAGUUGAGAAUUCUUGAAUUAGUAGUAUCAUUGAAGUUCUUGUAGUUCCAAGUUAUUUGAGUCUAUCUAUGGUUAUUGAAACCUUGCAUUGAGUCGUUCAAGUCCAUAAUUCGGCGUUAACCAUAUUUUUUAAGAAGUCUUUUACAAAUGUUUAAACUUUGUUUUAAGACUUAAGCUUUGAAGUUGAGUAAAGAGUAAGAGUAAAGUUCAUUUUCUUUAAAAUGAUAUAUGGGAACUAAGUAUUCCCAAGAGUAAAUGUGUUCAUAUUUAAGAUGAGAGGAAACUGAAAUUUCCAAAAGAGUUUUGAGCAAGAAAGGGAACAUCGAUUCCAAGAGAGAUUUUAAGUUAAGUCUUGAGUGAUUAUCUCAAACCAAAGAAAGAAAUUGUUUUAAAACAUAUGAGCUAAUAUAUUUUUUUGGGAGUAGUAUUGAGCACCAAUAUGGGGAUGUGUUNNNNNNNNNNNNNNNNNNNNNNNNNNNNNNNNNNNNNNNNNNNNNNNNNNNNNNNNNNNNNNNNNNNNNNNNNNNNNNNNNNNNNNNNNNNNNNNNNNNNNNNNNNNNNNNNNNNNNNNNNNNNNNNNNNNNNNNNNNNNNNNNNNNNNNNNNNNNNNNNNNNNNNNNNNNNNNNNNNNNNNNNNNNNNNNNNNNNNNNNNNNNNNNNNNNNNNNNNNNNNNNNNNNNNNNNNNNNNNNNNNNNNNNNNNNNNNNNNNNNNNNUCUUCAGUUUCUUUCAGAUUCUUUUCAAGCUUAUGUUAUGUUUUAGAAUUCCCCUUACAUGCUCGUACAUUCCACGUACUGAGCCAUUUGGCCUGCAUCUUUUCAUGAUACAGACACAGGUAUUCAGGAUCAUCAAUAGGAGAUUCGUUGAUGCAUCCGGGAGUUCGAGUUAGCUAUGGUGAGCCUCCUUGUUUCCGGAGGAUUUCAUUUACUUUUCAGUUUAGUCAGGAUGUCGUGGGUCUUGUCCCGACUUCCAUCUUUAUCAGUUAGAGGCUUCAUAGAUAGUCAGUAUAGUUGAGAAGUCUAUAUUAUUCAUUUAUUUUAUUAAAUGUUUUAAAGACUUAAGUUGCCUAUUUUAUGGCAAGUUGAAUAUAUUAUUUUUAUUCUAAGUUGUUCAUUUGAGUUAAAGUUUCGAAAAGUUGAGUUUAUUGAAUUUUAUUCAGUUUUAAGCUUUUGCAUGCUUAAGUUAGUCUUCCGCUUGUAGUUAGCCAGGAUGAGGGUUCGCUUGGGGACCAGCAAUGGUUCUUGAGUGCCGGCCACGUCCAGGGUGUAGACUCGGGUUGUGACAGUGAUAACACAUACUUUUGAAAAUGUAGUGAACAACUCGAUUCGAAGUUCAUAUGUUUUCAUUUUCUUAAUCAGAUCUACAACUUCAUUGCUCUUUCUUAUAAAUAUUGUAUGCAGUGCAUUUUCUCUUUCUUUCUCUCUUUUCCCCAUUUAGUUCAAAGAAUUUCUAGUUAUUUGCUAAUCAAGAAAAUAACUAGAAAUUCUUUGAACUAAAUGGGGGAAAAGAGAGAAAGAAAGAGAAAAUGCACUGCAUACAAUAUUUAUAAGAAAGAGCAAUGAAGUUGUAGAUCCAAUUAAGAAAAUGAAAAGAGAUGAACUUGAAAUCGGGGUGGUCAAUCCAUUUUCAAGGGUAUGUGUUAUCACUCCCUGAAAUUAUAAGCUUUCUUUAUGCUAUCAUAAAACACUUCGUCCCACUAUGUUUAUCAAGAAAAUAACUCCGAGAAAGAAAAAACAAAAAAAUUAUUCGAUUAAUCUAAAUUUACACCAUGUAAGUUCUGAGAAAGUGCUUCCUAAUAUUUGUUUUCAUUUCAAAGCAUUUUUAACUCACUUGUUUGGAUAGUUUCUACACAAAUAUAGUUUCAUAAUGUAUCAUUGUAUUCUUGUAAUGAUAUAAGGUUUGGAUAAAUUGUUUUUUUACAUUAAACCUACAAUAUUCUACUUAUAUAUAAGAGGGAGUUUAUGAUGGGACAUUUCAAUGUCCCAUCAUAAAAUCCCUAUAUAAUAUUCUAUAUAAUAAUAUAAUAUAAUAAAUCAUUUUUUCUACUAUAUAAUAUAUAUAAUAUAUAUUUAUUUUCUAAGGGAGUUUAUAUAAUAUAUAAUANNNNNNNNNNNNNNNNNNNNNNNNNNNNNNNNNNNNNNNNNNNNNNNNNNNNNNNNNNNNNNNNNNNNNNNNNNNNNNNNNNNNNNNNNNNNNNNNNNNNNNNNNNNNNNNNNNNNNNNNNNNNNNNNNNNNNNNNNNNNNNNNNNNNNNNNNNNNNNNNNNNNNNNNNNNNNNNNNNNNNNNNNNNNNNNNNNNNNNNNNNNNNNNNNNNNNNNNNNNNNNNNNNNNNNNNNNNNNNNNNNNNNNNNNNNNNNNNNNNNNNNNNNNNNNNNNNNNNNNNNNNNNNNNNNNNNNNNNNNNNNNNNNNNNNNNNNNNNNNNNNNNNNNNNNNNNNNNNNNNNNNNNNNNNNNNNNNNNNNNNNNNNNNNNNNNNNNNNNNNNNNNNNNNNNNNNNNNNNNNNNNNNNNNNNNNNNNNNNNNNNNNNNNNNNNNNNNNNNNNNNNNNNNNNNNNNNNNNNNNNNNNNNNNNNNNNNNNNNNNNNNNNNNNNNNNNNNNNNNNNNNNNNNNNNNNNNNNNNNNNNNNNNNNNNNNNNNNNNNNNNNNNNNNNNNNNNNNNNNNNNNNNNNNNNNNNNNNNNNNNNNNNNNNNNNNNNNNNNNNNNNNNNNNNNNNNNNNNNNNNNNNNNNNNNNNNNNNNNNNNNNNNNNNNNNNNNNNNNNNNNNNNNNNNNNNNNNNNNNNNNNNNNNNNNNNNNNNNNNNNNNNNNNNNNNNNNNNNNNNNNNNNNNNNNNNNNNNNNNNNNNNNNNNNNNNNNNNNNNNNNNNNNNNNNNNNNNNNNNNNNNNNNNNNNNNNNNNNNNNNNNNNNNNNNNNNNNNNNNNNNNNNNNNNNNNNNNNNNNNNNNNNNNNNNNNNNNNNNNNNNNNNNNNNNNNNNNNNNNNNNNNNNNNNNNNNNNNNNNNNNNNNNNNNNNNNNNNNNNNNNNNNNNNNNNNNNNNNNNNNNNNNNNNNNNNNNNNNNNNNNNNNNNNNNNNNNNNNNNNNNNNNNNNNNNNNNNNNNNNNNNNNNNNNNNNNNNNNNNNNNNNNNNNNNNNNNNNNNNNNNNNNNNNNNNNNNNNNNNNNNNNNNNNNNNNNNNNNNNNNNNNNNNNNNNNNNNNNNNNNNNNNNNNNNNNNNNNNNNNNNNNNNNNNNNNNNNNNNNNNNNNNNNNNNNNNNNNNNNNNNNNNNNNNNNNNNNNNNNNNNNNNNNNNNNNNNNNNNNNNNNNNNNNNNNNNNNNNNNNNNNNNNNNNNNNNNNNNNNNNNNNNNNNNNNNNNNNNNNNNNNNNNNNNNNNNNNNNNNNNNNNNNNNNNNNNNNNNNNNNNNNNNNNNNNNNNNNNNNNNNNNNNNNNNNNNNNNNNNNNNNNNNNNNNNNNNNNNNNNNNNNNNNNNNNNNNNNNNNNNNNNNNNNNNNNNNNNNNNNNNNNNNNNNNNNNNNNNNNNNNNNNNNNNNNNNNNNNNNNNNNNNNNNNNNNNNNNNNNNNNNNNNNNNNNNNNNNNNNNNNNNNNNNNNNNNNNNNNNNNNNNNNNNNNNNNNNNNNNNNNNNNNNNNNNNNNNNNNNNNNNNNNNNNNNNNNNNNNNNNNNNNNNNNNNNNNNNNNNNNNNNNNNNNNNNNNNNNNNNNNNNNNNNNNNNNNNNNNNNNNNNNNNNNNNNNNNNNNNNNNNNNNNNNNNNNNNNNNNNNNNNNNNNNNNNNNNNNNNNNNNNNNNNUGUGUCACAUAAAUUGAGACAACAAAAAUAACAUAUAUUGGGUCCAUUUUAAUUUAUUUGUCUUAUUUUUUUAAAUUUUUUAUAUUUAAAAAUUGCGUAAAAAUACUAUAAAUCAUGAUAAUUGACAACAUAAAAUAUUUCAAAAAUAAAUACAUUUAAAAAAAUUCGAUUGAUUCUUGAAAUUAAUCUAUCGUUAAAAAUUAUGUAUAAAAUACAAUAAAUCGUGAUAAUUGACAACUUAAAAUAUUUAUUAAAAAAACAUAUAAAAAAAAUUGACUGAUUCUUAAAAUUAAAUCGUGAUAAUUGACAACAUAAAAUUGUUCAAAAAUGUUGUAUGUGGGUAGUCUUAUUGUGCCUUGAAUAGCGUCAAAGAAAGUACAGGUUUGUGAUAAAAAAAACUUAUUCCUUUAUCUACGCAAGCAAUCGCUUCAAAAAUUUCGUUAUUAGCCCCAAAACAUACCAUUUAUGUUAUUGGGCCCGUGCAUAGCACGAGCAACAAAAUCUAGUUAUUAUAAAUAAAGGUAGCAUAUGUGGAAGAGUUAUUAUAUUAAAAAGGUAUGGACUUUGAUAAAAAAGGAUUAUAAAGUAAUAUUAAAAUGAAAAUAUAGUAACGACACACAACCACACCAAAUUCUUCGUUGCAAAAAAUGAGACUUUCAUCUUUUCGUAACGAUGUAUUUAAUGAUGUGAUAUAAUAAAUUUAAGUAAUAAUUCAUACAAAUAGUGUACUUAAAUAAAACAUACAAUACAAUAGAAUAAAAUAUAAUAGAUAACAAGCACCUAAAGGACACAAUGUUCAAUUUUUUGAAUAACCUAAACUUUGGAGAGUGAAACGAAAUAAUAAUUGGAACUUUGUAUUUUUUUCCCCUUCCCAACAAAAUAAAAGUACAAAAGUUAACAUCAAGUGUGAUAUAAUUGUGGCGAUCAAUGAAUUAAAUAGAAAGUUAUAGGAGAUUAAAUUAUGAAUUUUGGUGAAUAUAAAAAAAUACUAGGUGGUAAUUUCUUGUCACCUACUUGGGCUAGCAGUGUAAUCAGGUAUCUCAGGAGAAGAGCUAGAGGAAGACAAAGAGUUCAAUUAAAUCACCUUGCUCAAAAUUAGAGUGACAUAAAUAGGGUUAAAUGUUUUUUUAAUUGCAUAUGAAUAGUUGAAUCCAUUUAACAUAAGAAAAAAAUUCUAGUUUAAUUAGUAACAUAGAGGGUUCAAAUAUUACUUUAGCUUACGAGUUUAAACCCUAGGAGUGAUACCUUAGAUAUUUUUUAUCUCCAUGUAUGAAUUUUUGACUCUAUUACUAUCUGGUACUUGUGUUGGCGAGAGUAGAAACAUAUGUAGGUAUUAAUACUGGAUUAAUCUUAACCCAACACUUUCAUUCCAGGACAUGAAUUUAUGAGUAAAAAAUCAUGAUAAAUUCAACAAAUAGUAGAUAUGAACCCACAACAUUAAAACAAGUUCAAUGUUAAGAACCUAAAAAAUUGAAUUCGUAAAGCUUAAAUCUCGAUUUCGCCUCCUUAGAGCGGUAGUAGAUACCUAUACAUAAUUUAGGUAUGUAAACACCGCCGAUAUUACGAUUAAAAAAUUAAUAAAAUCAUAAAAGAUAACCACAUAAAAAAUAAAUUUUUACCAGUUUGCCUCCAUCAAGGAGAACGGGAGAAUCACGCAAACUGAAAAAGAGCUCCUUUUUGGUGUAGCAAACAAGAGGAAACUCGGAUCUAUUAAUUAUUUCUUCAUAAUCAGGGGUAAAAAUCUUCCCCAAAUUUCAUCUGAUUCUGCAACAAAUUUGAAUCCUUUUGAUAAAAUCAUUGAUCCUACUACAUCUGUUAGAGUUGUUUUUGAAAUUACCUCAAAUUUGUAACAUUCUGACAACCUUUCAAAAUAAUUCAUUACAUUAAAGUGAUGAAGAUGGAAUAAUUCAUAUCACAAUUCAUAUAAAAUUAUAUAACUAUUACUUUUGUUCAAAACUUUAUAUAUUAUUAAAUAAUCAAAGGGGAAAAAAUUUAGAAAUCUAUAUUGUCGGUUAUAUAAAUAUUUAUAGUAAUAAGAACAUAUAAUCAUGUUAUUAUAUUUUUCUACUAUAAAUUUGAUUAUAUUGUGUCACGACCUGAAAAUUCAAGUCGUGAUGACACCUUCUAUAACCCACCAGUAAUGCUGUCUAAAAUCAUGAUAUAUCUUUGCAGUGCCCAGAUGAAUAAAUAUUUGGAAUCAUUGGCCUCACGAAGGACACAAUGGAGCUGUUGAAACUUUUAACCGAGGUUGUCUUGAAAAAAAGUGGGUCUCACACCCAAUCUCUGUUUUAAGCCAAAAAUCCACAAGGAGGCUCAGAAUUAGCCCGAAAGACUCAACAACCACACGAAGGGUUGUUCUAGAAAAAAAUCGGUAUUCCAAAGUUAACCAAGCUAACGAAAUUCUCAACUGAGAACGUUUACUAAGAAUGUUGACCAAUGUUAAACUUAGGCCCAAAGUUUAAAUGUUAAAAUGCAUAAUGACACAAACUCAAUAGGAACAGUAAAAUUAUGGCUACAAAACUUAUCAGAUGAAAGUUUAAAAACUCUAAGAAGCAAUAAAAAAUCAAAUGGCGAAUUAGCUACUACAACUAUAGAAAUAUUAUAUAAAUACGAAGUAGCUAUACGAAAUGAAUUUAGUAGUAUGACAACGGAAAUAGAAGAACAAAGAAAACCUCGAGAUCCAAGCCGACCAUGGCACUAGCCUAAAAUGACCCUUUCAGAGGUCAUCUUCUUGAAUUUUUAGUCAAAAUCAACCGUUCAAGGUUCAAAAGCACCAAAACAUAGAAAUUCACAUGAAACCCAAAUGAACGACUAUGUGACUGAGCUAUCAGUCCCAACAAGUCAUAAAUGAGUUUUGGUCACUAUAUGUAUGCUCCAAACGAUGAAAGGAAGGCAUAAGUAUAGAAAUUACCUAACAGUUUACAACAAGAAUAUUAGCCUGACUUGCCUCCGAUCAAUGCCAAUAUUCAUGAGGACUCAAGUUUGGAUCUUCAAAUCUAAAAAAAACUAAAGCAAAAGGGUGAUAAACAUUGUUUGAUGCCUUCCCCGUCAAUGGACUACUCAUCCAUAUCCACUCCUAAGUUUAAAAUCAUUUGGGGCCUUCAUAUGAGGAUCCAGAAAUAUUAGCCCCACAACGAGAACUUCUCCUAACUCCGUCCAUUGAUUACCUUAGUGUAUCCUUCAGUAUGUUUUAUAUACUCUAGGAAUCUUUUGUGCAAAAUAAUUACGAAUUAAACUUUCUUUCUUGUACCUUUUCAUACUUUAGUUUUUUAUUAUUACUUAAGGAUUUUAACUCUUGGAAGCAUCGUUCUCGAUUGCGGAACCUCUCAUGCGCACUAUUCGUGAAAGAGUGAAACAAAUGAAAAUUUGAGAAACUAAUAGGUCUAAGAACACAUGAUAUGGGAUCAAAAGAAAGAAUCUUCCUAAGGAUCUCUUUAUAGCCUUCCGAAUUUGGGAUACAUAUGUCACCACACUAAUCCGAAUGAUUCUACUAAAUAUUGUCUUUGCACCAACAACACCAGUGAACCUGAGGCUCUGAUCCUAUUAAAUCACAUUAGUAGGUAAGCCAAAUCUUAGCCUGUAACCAACGAUAAUGAGCCUAGGGAGUGGAAGAAAUAGAUAGAAGCAUAAAAAAUGUAUUUAAGGUAGAAACACUAGAAAUGAGAGAAUAUAUAUAUAUAUAUAUACACACACAACCCUCGAACGAGGACAAAAUACAAGAUCCAACCCAAAACCUGGUAGAUGCGCGCAGAGUUGUUAUAAAAGACUGAGUACAUACUAGACAUACAUAAGAAAUAUACACAAUGUCUAGAAAUAAUAAAGAGUGGUUCAAAAUGUAUAGAAGGAGACGAGUCAACCAAGACGCCAAUAAGCUCACCUUCGGGAUAUGAAGUACAACAACAUGAGAAUCAACGGGGUCGACUAGAGCUCAGAAUCAAGAAGAAAGAUGUAGAGUGUAGUACGAGUACCAAAAUAACGGGUACUUAGUAGGCAUCAUAGGUCGAUCGAGCUCACGAUUACAAUAACAGAAUAACAAGCGAGUAAUUAACACAUAAUAGGGCACUAGUAAAGGCAUAAGAAUCAUGCAUGCAUCAAAGUAAAGCUACAAUGGAAAUUAAUGAAAGCAAUAAAGUUAUCUAAACCUAAUUGGAUCCCCCUAGACCAGAAUGCACAUGCAAAGGCAUAACAACGAUAAUUAUACAAGCAAUAACAUGUCUGAACCCCAUAAGCCCGACGGGUAUAAGUAAAUACUACACUAUAAGAUACAAUUCGAUAGAUAACACCAGUAUCGUCCCCGAAUUUGAUGUUGGGAUAACCUCAUGUAACCUAGCAUCUCUCAAAAUUUUACAUCAAAAUACCUAGUCUUUCCUAGAAUCUUACAUCAGAAAGCCUUAUUAAAACCUAACACACCUAAAAUUCUUACAUCGGAAAGCCUUUAUAUUACCUAACAUAUCCCAAAACCUUAGCACAUCAAAUUAAACAAGUUAUCAUACAAUCAGAUUCAUUGUUUCUUGUUAAUAUUUUAACGGGUAAGUCGAAGACUCCUUGGAAUAUUGUGGUUUGGGUGCAAGAGAUACAACAUAUCAUAGUAGGGACGGAAACUAAGAUUACUCGCAUUCUAAGGGAAGGGAAUAAAGUUGCAGAUCAUUUGGUAAAUAAAGAUUUAGAUGAUGGAGCAAUACAUAUCAAUAAAUUCCAAGAAUUGACAUAUGAAGGGAAAAGGCUGAUAAAUGGUGACUAGUUAUUAUAUCCAUACAUCAGAACAACAACAAAGUGGUAGAUAGAGAUAUAGUUUCAGGAUUCAGCAACAUCAAGGAGAUACAAUAAAACACAUAAAAGGCAGCACAAUAAGGAGAUAUAGCAUAAUCAAGCUCAAAAGGGCAUGAAUUAAAGGAAGAGAGGUGUACCUGAUAAUGAAGAACUCUUGGAGCUCAACAAUCAUAACAGAUGAUAACAAAGGAGAAAAAAAAUCCUCAAGCAAAAACAAACAAAAGAAAUUGUGAGACACAACACCAGAUACAAGCAAGACGAAGAAGAAAGAGUAAGAUCUAGAGUGUCCUUACCUCAAUCGAAGCUAAAGAACAUGCAACAAUAGUGGAAGAGAUUGAGAGAAAAGUGGCAACAAAAUUCAAGUGUUAGAACUAGGAUUUCCAAUUCUGGUUUUAUUUAUUUCUUAAUUUGUUUUUAAGAAUUUUUUAGAAUUUAUAAUGCUGUCUUCUUGGGCCAGAUCUGAUUAGAUCUAUUUUGGGCCUGGUCUGAUUGGAUCAUGUGUAAUAGGGGAUUAUUUUUUUUUUCAUUUAAAUAAAAAUGCCUACAAGGAAACAUAAUUUAGUAAAAAUAAUAUCUCAAAAUCUUAUGUCAGAAUUGCUAGUCCUUUUUGGAAUCUUACAUUGGAAAGCCUUGAUAUAACCAAAUAUAUCCCAAAAUCAUAAGUUAAAAUUGCUAGUCCUUUCUAGAAUCUCACAUCAUAAAUUGUUGAUAUAACCAAGUAAUCUCGAAAUAUUACAUCGAAAGGACUACACAAAAACAUAACAUCUCUCAAAAUCUUACAUCGAAAUAUCUACAACACUAACUAGAGUCUCCCAGAAUCUCACCUUGGGUCAGUUAUAAGACUAAAAGAAAACGGAUCUUGCAUAAGUCUAGAUGGUCAUCUCACUACAACAAUCCCAUUACACAUAUUGUAGUGACUCAGUCAGUCAUUUUUUGUUUUUAUGGAAAUUAUCAUUUUGCCCUCCCGAUAUUGACCAUAAGUCUUCUAUGAUUGAGUUUGAAAAGUAGUCUUGAACUUUGAGUUAAAAGUUGAGAAUUUGGUAAGUUUUGAGUUUGAAAGGCUAAGUUGUUAAGAAAGUAGUUUUUGAUGUCUUUUAGAGUUUCGAGUGUCGGAAUGGAAUUUCAUCCAUUCUAUCAGUCCCAAAAUGUGAAAUCUAUUCUGGGAGUUGUCGGUUUUUUAUUCCGAGUCUUUUUGAGGAUUUGAGGUCCUUAGUUGUGAAAUUGUGGGAUUUUAGCAUUUGGAUUGACUUUGGUCAAUAUUCAGGGUUCAUAUGCUCGGAUCAGAAUUCAGAGAGUUUCAUUGGAUUCAGGGAAUAAUUUUAGGCCUAGGUGAGGUCUUGGUUGAUUUUUGAGACGUCCCGAUCUUCUUUUUUUAGCUUUUUAGGCGUUGAGUUAGUUUCUUGCAAUUUUCACGGAUGUCAAGUCAAGGAGACCUUAUAUUCGUAUUUUGAUAGUUCCAUUGAGUCUGUAAUGUUUAUUACAAUUGAUUUGCAUAUGUUGUUUGUGUGCACGGGGUUCCAAAUGAAUCUCGAGGGUCCUUUCGAUGUUUUUAAAUUGGCUGAUGUUUCUGGUGCGGCAGUCUUCGCUCAAGCGGAACUUGGUUCGCUUUAGCGAUGGUCAGUUAAGAAGAACCUGGUUCACAAAAGCGAGACUGACCUUUUGGGCGGGGUUCACUUUAGCGAUAGUCGCUUAACCGAAAUUUGGUUCGCAAAAGCGAGACCCCUAGUUUUUGCGGGGUUCGUUUAAGCGGAACCUGGUUCACUUAAGCGACAUCUGUUGACACCCAAUUUUGGCUCUCCACAUUUAACUAUAGUAAUAAUUAUAAUUAUAAUAAUAAUAAAAUAUAUAUGUUAUGAAAUUUUUCAUAGGAAUACAAAAAAAAAAAAAAAUUAUUUAUUUGACUUGAUAAAUUUAUUUCUCAAAUGUUAUUUCUUAUAAAAAUUAAAUAUAUUAUAUUACUACUUACUUUCUCAUUUUUAAAUAAAUGUUGUUCUUCUUAAGAAUUGAAUCUAUUUUGGUUCAAAUAUAAUUCCUUUGUCGCAAUAGAUAUUUUUCGUGUAUUUAUUAAUAUUGGAAAGCUUAGUUAAUUAAUGAUUUACUAAUUUAUAUUAAUUUAAUUUUAAGAGUGACUAAUUUUAUCAAAUAAGUUAAUCUUGCAAAAUAAUUAUCACUUAUGGCUAUUUAAUAAAGAAAGUAGUUAUAAUUUAAAUGAAUUCAAUUUGAGCAAAUUUGGCAAUCCAAGUCUUAUUAAACCGGCCAAUCCGUGUAUGCCAUGUAGGCGAGCACAUGGAUUGUGCUUCUUUAGAUUCGAUCUCAGCCUUACAAUCUAAUCUAAUGGCCUUAAUUAAUUCAUCCUUUUACUAUUUUAUAUAUAUAUAUAUUAUUUAUUUAUUUAUUUAUUUUUAAACUCUCUAUUUUUACCAACCGUCCGAUCAAAUGAUCGGACGGCCCAAAUUAAAUCCCAAAUAAUUCAUAUUCCCCAAAAUAAGUACAAUUCCCAUCAGCCGCAUACCCUCCUCAACGUCUUCUUCUUUUUCCAGAAAAAGGAGGCACUGUUCCUUCCUCUUCCCCAGACGUCCUCACCUUCCCCAUGCCCCUUCAUCCUCUCUCGUCAAUCGCCCAUCGUCCGCUGCCAAAGAAACGGCCAUGAACCGCCGGAAAACGACAAUAUCCGGCGGUCUCCAACGUCACCUCUUCCUCCAUCCGCCAUCCAUCAAUCACAGCCCCUUUUCCAUCGACUUUACAUCUUUUCUGAACCACGACAGGCCUAAAAAGCCACACUACUGCCGCUGCUGCGACUGAAGAGGUGAAGAACGUGAAGGACCAUCAGAUUUGGGAUCGUUGUCCCCUUAAUCUGAUGGUUGUAAGAUUGGAAGCCUCCCCCCAAAUUCGACUAUAAAAUCAGCCCCUUUGUUUCUCAUUUAAGGGGGCGAAAAAAUGAACGGGAAAAGAGAGAUCGAACACACUUCAAACAUUAGAUUUAAGAAAAUUUAUAUCUUCUCUCAUCUUUCGAUUUUCGGUCUUGAAUUCGAGUUUAAGAAAGUUGGAAGUUAGAAUCUUGACGUCGAAGAUCUAGUUUGCUGCUCUACACAAGGUCAGUAAUCUCGUCAUUUAGUUCGUUUUCAAGGAUUGGUUAUUAUAGUAUGGAGCAUUUUUGUGUUGUUAUUCUCUGAUUUAAAUAUGCACUGAAAUAUGUCUUGCUGUAAUUUAGUUAGAAAUCAGCUUGCAACAGGUUAAAUGAGUUUCUUAGAUUAGGAGAAUUGACUGCAAACUCGAUUAGUUGAAGUUGUGAUUGACAUUUAUAGCUCAUUUCAGUUUUUUUUUUUGUGUGUGUGUUAGAAUUAUCCUUGGUUUUCUGUCCAAAAUUGUUGUUUCUUGUUAUCCAAAAAAAAAAUACUUUUCGUGUUCAUGUAUUGACUAAAAUUGACUAUACAUGGUUAAGUAUUUUACUAUGCGACUAAAAUGAAAAUACUGCUCUGUUUGAUCCUAGUCCUAUCAAAUAAUUUGAACUGAUGUUGAAUGUGUGAAAAUGUUCAUGGAGUCUAAAGUUUUUGUGUUAACUUUUUUUUUAAAAGAAUGGGUUGUUAAGCCGAAACUAGUUUUCUAUAUCUAACUAUUAAUUUAGAUAGGAGUGAUUAGCUGAAUAUUUUCUUGAGAAUAUCUUAGUACUCUAUUGAUCCUAAUCUCAUUUUCAGAGUUCUCAAAGUACUGUUUCAAAUUUAGCUAAAAAAUGUAUAGAUUCUCAAGAGAAGAUUUUUUUUAAAUUGGUAAUAUAAGGUAGGAAGUACCUCCUAAAGUCAAAUGUUAACACUCAUAAGAAAAUUGAUAUUUACAUGAUUUUGUUGACAAAUUAGCUCGUCUUUAGGUUCGUAAAUUGUUGGACUUAUAAGAAUUGAUGUCACUGUAUUUAUUUACUUUUGUUCAUGUCUGUUUGUGUGUUUGCAUCACUGUACUAUUAAUUAAGUUGCUAAUCUUUACCCUUUUUUUUCAUAUGUUUCAUGUACAACCGGAGAGCUAGAGUUUCUACUUUGAAACUCGGUUUGGCCUAAAAUAUUAGGCCAACAACAAUUAGGAUCAUCAGAAUGCUUGGAGUCUCAUAAUUAGGAGUCUAAUGUUCCUCAGCCUUUCUUUUGUUGCCUUAUGUUUUUUUUAUGUUGGCUAACUUUUACUCUUAAGUUUCAUCGUCCUACUUAUAUUGUUUUUGAUAUGUUAGCUAACAUUUACUCUUAAGUUUUGAUACAUUGCUUGUCUUCUUUUAUUUUUAAAGAUUAUUCAUGUGAGCCAAUAUUUGUUUGCUUGUGAGUUUAGUUGAAACAUUUUUUAGGAAAUGGGUUAGCAUUUUUACCUAUAGUACUCUUUUUAUGUUUUUUUUUGAGUUGAGGAAAGGGGCUUAUAGUUUAAGAAUUUUCCAAACAAAGUUUCAAAGGUUAAAAUAUAUUACUAAAAUAUUUUAAUCUUGUAACACGCUAUUUCAAAAUUUUAUUUUUUAUGCUCUUUACAUCACCUCUUUAUAAAAUAUAUUGACUAUUCUUACUUUUUUGAAUCAAACAUUGCAAAAANNNNNNNNNNNNNNNNNNNNNNNNNNNNNNNNNNNNNNNNNNNNNNNNNNNNNNNNNNNNNNNNNNNNNNNNNNNNNNNNNNNNNNNNNNNNNNNNNNNNNNNNNNNNNNNNNNNNNNNNNNNNNNNNNNNNNNNNNNNNNNNNNNNNNNNNNNNNNNNNNNNNNNNNNNNNNNNNNNNNNNNNNNNNNNNNNNNNNNNNNNNNNNNNNNNNNNNNNNNNNNNNNNNNNNNNNNNNNNNNNNNNNNNNNNNNNNNNNNNNNNNNNNNNNNNNNNNNNNNNNNNNNNNNNNNNNNNNNNNNNNNNNNNNNNNNNNNNNNNNNNNNNNNNNNNNNNNNNNNNNNNNNNNNNNNNNNNNNNNNNNNNNNNNNNNNNNNNNNNNNNNNNNNNNNNNNNNNNNNNNNNNNNNNNNNNNNNNNNNNNNNNNNNNNNNNNNNNNNNNNNNNNNNNNNNNNNNNNNNNNNNNNNNNNNNNNNNNNNNNNNNNNNNNNNNNNNNNNNNNNNNNNNNNNNNNNNNNNNNNNNNNNNNNNNNNNNNNNNNNNNNNNNNNNNNNNNNNNNNNNNNNNNNNNNNNNNNNNNNNNNNNNNNNNNNNNNNNNNNNNNNNNNNNNNNNNNNNNNNNNNNNNNNNNNNNNNNNNNNNNNNNNNNNNNNNNNNNNNNNNNNNNNNNNNNNNNNNNNNNNNNNNNNNNNNNNNNNNNNNNNNNNNNNNNNNNNNNNNNNNNNNNNNNNNNNNNNNNNNNNNNNNNNNNNNNNNNNNNNNNNNNNNNNNNNNNNNNNNNNNNNNNNNNNNNNNNNNNNNNNNNNNNNNNNNNNNNNNNNNNNNNNNNNNNNNNNNNNNNNNNNNNNNNNNNNNNNNNNNNNNNNNNNNNNNNNNNNNNNNNNNNNNNNNNNNNNNNNNNNNNNNNNNNNNNNNNNNNNNNNNNNNNNNNNNNNNNNNNNNNNNNNNNNNNNNNNNNNNNNNNNNNNNNNNNNNNNNNNNNNNNNNNNNNNNNNNNNNNNNNNNNNNNNNNNNNNNNNNNNNNNNNNNNNNNNNNNNNNNNNNNNNNNNNNNNNNNNNNNNNNNNNNNNNNNNNNNNNNNNNNNNNNNNNNNNNNNNNNNNNNNNNNNNNNNNNNNNNNNNNNNNNNNNNNNNNNNNNNNNNNNNNNNNNNNNNNNNNNNNNNNNNNNNNGGACUAUCUUUGGAUAGGCUUUGAGGGGUGCUUAACACCUUCCCCUCGAGUAACCAAAACCCUUACUCAGAAUCUCACUGGUUUCGCAAAUCAAAACAGAGUUUACAUUUACAUAAAUAAAAAUGGUUUUCCUAAUAUUUUCCUUAAAAUUUAGGUGGCGACUCUAAAACAAAACAAUUAUUUUUCCAAAAUCAGAGUGUCAGCCACAUUGUGUUGUGAACUGUUUCGGCCUGGUUCGAAAUAGGGUGCGACAACAUCAGAGGGGGUUUUGACCUGCAAAUUACGGGGUUUCAACCCCAUUUCACCAUUUUUAGAUUUGGGAGCGUUGGGGUGGCGAUUUGGACCAGAUUUUUUAGCAAAAUCUUUUGGGUAAUGAUUCUUAACUCUAAAUCUUCAUUCACCCAUUAUUAUUUAUUGAUUUAUGUAAUCAAAUCAAGCUUUUAAAUUUUUGACUCUAUAAAAAAUUUCCAUAUGAUUUAUUCUUGGUAAAUAUUUGAGGCCCCCCAAAAUUGGGGCCCUAAGGCAUAUGCCUUAUUUUUUUACAAAAUAGAGCCACCCCUGCACCCAUGGUAAGUAAAACACACUUAGAUGUUGACUAGACAAAACAUUUAUCAAGAAAUGCUUCUAGGCGUGUUUGCCCAUAAAAUCUCCAUCCAUCUAGUAUAUAUUACAACUUUAUUAUUAAAUUAAUAAUUUUUAAAUCCUUAACUCUCCCCUCUCAAGUCAGAGAUAUCGAGAUCACGCCUAAGAUAGUGGAUGUCACGGUUGGAACAAAUCAAUUUAUACGAUGAUAGUUUUAACUUUUAACUUAAUAUUAAUUUAUUUAGAUUUGCUACACGGGAAUUAACUUUUAACAUGAAAUGCCACGUGACAGAAUUUUUAAACAAAAGAGAGAGUAUACACACAUCAUCAGAAAUUUGUUGAGGUGUGUUUCACUAAUUAUCAUAGUUCAAGUAUGAAACUCAUACUCUUAAUAGUUCAAGUGUGAAACUCAAAAAGCUGAUUAGUUUAGAUAUGACGUUUUUUACCCUUUGGGGUCGUUUUGUAGAGAGUAUUAGGAGCAAUAGUUCAUGUAUUAUGUAUGGUAUUAGUUAGGGUACUGUGUUUGCUAGAAUUUUGGGCUUAUAUAUAAUUAAUCUAUGUAUUAGUUAUACACCCUACAAGGUAUUAUUGGAUGUACAACUAAUACCUUCCAUUUGGUGGUAUUAGUAAAUACAUACUUCCUUUGUCCCACUUUAUAUGACUUACUUUCACUUUAAUAAUUCCCAAUAAAAUGACACAUUUCUAUAUUUAGUAACAAUUUAACUUUAAAAUGUCUAGUUUACCCUUAGUGAAAUGAUUUUUAGCCACACAAAUAUCUAUGACUCAUUUUAGACCACAAGUUUCAAAAGUCUUUUUUUCUUUCUUAAACUCCCUACCAAGAACUAACACAUAUAAACUGGGACGGAGGGAGUAGGAUUUAAUACUAUGGGAUGAAUCUAUGUAAAGACAAAAAUACCCCUCAAAUCCUUUUAAUCAUUUGAUUUAUUUUCUUGAUUUUAUGUUUUAUAUUUGUACUAGUAAAUUUAUUUAAAUAAAUUAGCUUACAAAUUUUAUUAUUUAGAGAGAGUUGUUUGUUGCUAAAUAAAUCCAAAAAUACAAAUCAAUACAAUAUUUGAAAUGUGAGUUAUUUAAUAUUUACUAAUUGAAAAAGGCAAAUAUAUGACCACAUGACAUUUAUGAUCUUAAUUGAAUUUAUUAUUUGCUGAUAUAUAAGUAUGUGGUUUUCUAUUUUUCGUAUUUUAAAUAAUUUAUAAAAUUGCAUAGAUAUUAAAACUACAACUUGUAAUUUGUAUAUGUAAACGUAGAUGAUUUAUUCGAUUUUACUAUUGCUUACCGUCUUUUCGAUUUUAAAAUUAGAUGGUCUAUCUUUUAAAAUUGAAUAUUGAUGUUUUAUUAGGAGAUCAAUUUAUUAAGAUGACAAUUAUUUACCCUCAAAUAAUUCAAGUGAAAAAAUUACAAACAUGACAAUAAAAUUGUUCUUCUCCUAACUAGUUAGAAGGCGAAAAAAAUAAUAUUGUCCAGCUGUUAUCUACUUUGAUCCAAUUACAUAAAAUAGAAAAUCACAUGACAAUUCUAGGAUAUAAUUGAAAAGAAGAUUUUGUAGAGUUUUAAUCCAAACACAAAAUUAGAUGGGAAGCAAUGAACCAAACCCUUAUAGAAAAUAAAUCAUGCAUUACUAAUUCAUGUAUUACUAAUCCCUACGUUAUUAAUAUUUGUACCAAACAAACCCUCAAACAAACCCUUAAUUCAAUAGACAUACAUCACCUACUGUAAUUUAGACCCAUUUAAAGACCUAAUUGAAUGCAACGUGUUGGCUUGUUGACGAGUAUCAAUAGAUUACUAAUUAAAAAAAGGCUAACUUUUACAUUUAGCAAACAUAAAAAUCAUAUUUGUAUGUUUUAGCUAUAGUUUGCAUAAUUACGCUCCAUAGCAAAUUUUAUGUUUGCUAUGGAGCUUUUGAUUUGUAUAAUUCGCUAGAUUCAUUCAAUUUUAUACAAAUUGUUCAGUUUUGUAUAAAUUCAUUUAUACAUUGUAAUUUGUAUAAUAAGAUCUGUAUUUGUAUAAUUAUAAGUGUAUAGGAUGAAAAUAUAUGUAUUUAUAUUUGUAUAUACAUUUUUCUCUCAUUUUAUACAAACACAAAUGCAUUUUAUACAUUUUAUAUAUUUGAUACCGAAUGGGUAAUUGUAUACCGAAAAUGACUAAUUGUAUACCGAACCAGAUGACAAAAAAUUGGAAUGUUUGCUGCGAAUUACAAAUAAAAUAAACUAUGGCUAUAACAUUUAAUUUGAAUUAAUUGUUUGUUAUUUCAUACAAUUUUCCCUUAAAAUAAUACUCUUCGCAAACAAUAAAUAUAGAAUCAAUCAGCUCAUGAUUGAAAAGAUAACACAUUAUAACUCAAUUAUUACAAUACUUUCUUGCAAACUUCCAUAAUAUUUCUGAGUCAAUAUAAUAUAAAACCCUUCAUCAAGUUGAGAUGGCAGGCAGAAAGGAAACUUACAUUUGAAUAUAUGUUUGAUCAGAAGAAUGAUUAGUUGUUGUGGAUUAGAUAAUAACUAGUCAUUAAGUUUAAUUUAACACAAUUAUAAAAAUUACAAUAUUUUCUAUACUCCUUGGUCUGAAUUUACGUGACACUUUUAAUUUUGACUAGACCCUUCAUCAAGUUGAGAUGGCAGGCAGAAAGGAAACUUACAUUUGAAUAUAUGUUUGAUCAGAAGAAUGAUUAGUUGUUGUGGAUUAGAUAAUAACUAGUCAUUAAGUUUAAUUUAACACAAUUAUAAAAAUUACAAUAUUUUCUAUACUCCUUGGUCUGAAUUUACGUGACACUUUUAAUUUUGACUAGACACAAAAUUUAAAAAUAAAUAAAAAAUGAAGACUUUUGAAAUUUGUGAUCUAAAACACUCUUUAACCAUUGUGUGGCUAAUUUCUUUAAAUGGAAUUUAAAAGUUAAGUUAUUUCUAAUUAUAGAAAGGUGAUAUAUUUUCUCAGAAACGGACUAAAAAAAUAAUGUGUCACAUAAAUUGAGACAGGGAAAGUAAUAAAGAAAUCCAAUGCAUCCAUGUGUAGAGGCUUUGAGCAACCGUUAUCAUUUUGGAAUGCCAAUCCUCAGAUCAAGCCCAAGGUCCAUUCCGUUGUAGGCAAUGGGAGCAUACAUCCAUAGAUCUUCAGAGCUCAAUAGCUGCAUGCACAAAACACACCACAUUAACAUCCAUCUCUUCAUUCCAAAGUAUCAGAUAGAGCACAUUUUUAUUAGUUAAUUAUAUCUUCAACACGCUUCUCACGUGCAAGUCAUAUUCUUUUUCAUGGGACAAGCACAUGUAAAUUCCUUCCUAGGACCUUUGUCUGCUCUAAUAUCAUGUUAAAGUGUAUGACUAUCUCAUCUAAAAGCUUAAGUUGUUUGAGAGAACGCACUUUUAUUAGUUAAUUAUGUUCUCAACAUAGUAAAUCUUAUCUAGUAACAUAAAAAAAGAAAAUGUUGUUCAGUUUUAGUGUCAGAUCCUCCAAAAGUAGUGCAUUUUUGGAAGAUCCAAUACAGAUAUAGAAACAUUUUUGUGGAGUCUGAGCUCAUAGAUUGUUCUCUCCGUGUGAAUAUGAUUGUGUAUGUUUAUUGUCUUCGUGCAGUUUAAAUCCUUAAUGCAUUGCAACACUUUGUGAAGGGAAGAUAAUAAACCUUACCUUGAUUUGGAGUUGCAAAAAUUUAACAUACUGAACUGCCUCUUCAAGCAUGGUGCUAAUGUCAACCUGUCAUCAAAUAUUUUGCCAUUUAGGUUCACAUUCUUUCAGCAGAUAUAUAACAGAACGAUCGAUCACUAAUGCAGUUACACUGACUUAACUUACCUUGGUUCCAUUAGGGAUGAGACUCUGCAAGGUCUUCAAUCUCUCGUUAAUUCGCUCUCUUCUUUUCUGUUAGAAGAGAAAGAAGAAAAUCAUUUACAUAUUUACUAGCAGAUCAACAAAAUGUAACAGGCAGUUAGUUACAUACCCUGGCAUACAAGCUCUGGGGGUCAGUUGCUGAACCCCUGCUUGCUCUGGAUUUUUGAGUCAACUCGAGAGAAACAUUAGAUUCAUCUUCUGAGCAACAACUGAUCAUUGAGUUUUGCCUCUGAAGCACAGCCUUGUUUUUACCAUCCAUCUCGCCAGUCUUAACGUCUGUUUGCAGCUUUGUGCUUCUCUUGUUCUUUGGUACCUACAUCAGGAAUCAUUAAAUCUACAAUUCUGAAAGAAAAUUAACAACAACUACUAAUAAUAAUAAUAAAUCAGAUAGAAAGGUUUUGAAGUUUAUGAAUAACACUCACAUGACCAUGUAACCGCGCUCUUUUCUUAGAACUUUCUGUUGGACUAUGAUCUUCUGGAAAUCGCUCAUAAUCUAUUCUUCCUAGCUGCAAGCCUUUUCCAUCAAGAAGAGGUUCAGCCAUGUUUCCAUCAAACUCCAUGUUAUUAACGAAGUACUCAUCUGCUUCAAUUGGAUUAUUAGUAUCCAUCAGACCACGUUCUGUUGUUAUUGAACUAUCAUUUCUCAUCAAGAUAGGCCGAGAAUAACUUGAGUAGUAACUUUCAUGACUCGGAGGAGGAAAGAGAAAACCACUAUGUUCUCUUCCUCCUGACGAUCCAAUAUUUGAUUCAUGACCAAUAUUCCAAUAACCAGAUGAAACUCCGUAGUUAUUAGAAUCAUUUGGAAACGAACAGUUACCAAGUAACUGUGCCAUGAAAUCCGCCUCCUCAGUAAAACACAUUCCACUCAAGGAACUCCAAUCUCCUUCAAACAUUGAUGCCACAUGCUCCAUUCUCUUAACAACUUAUUUAUAAUAGAGAAACUCAAUGUUGGAAAUAGUGAGAGAUAGAAGCGCGUAUUUAUAGCAAUAUAUAGGAAUAACAGAAGGGAUUUGACUUUGGUAGGUAUAUCAAUAUUCUAUGACUGAGCAACCAAUAAACAGAAUAUGCCCCCGAUUGUUUUAAAUAUAAAUAGAUUAUGUAUAAAAUGGGGCAAAUUACAACUAAGAUAGACUUAGUUCAACCAGAUAGGGACUAAAUUGAGGGAAUAUAAACAUUUAUAAUUAUGUAAUUGUGACAAUGACUAGAGUAUAUAUAGCAAUGAUUGAGAAAAGGAUUAAGUAUUAUGAGUAACUAUCAAUUGUCCAAAUUUUAUAAUUAGGAAAAUAGGGAAAAGAGAUUGAGAAUCAUACCUGGAGAACGUGGGAGUCUUUUUCAAUACAUUAUAAAAUGAAACCACAAAUGGCAUCACCUGAGAAUAUGCAGAUCUAUUGUGGUGCUGAGUUUGACAUUUUAGAAGGGAAAGAUUGAAAUGUAUCUUUCAAAAAACUCUGAUACCGGUACUUGUUGGUGUAGUCGAAGUGCCUGGAAGCUAAUCUCUUACACUAUCGUCAUUAAAAAGAAAAAAGACUAUUGCUUAAUAUCCUCAGUUUCCCAAGACAGGGGCAUAUCCAGGAGGGGAUCACCGGGUUCACGUGAACCCAUGCUCCCCUCCUGAAAUCAUAUAUACAAGUGUUAUAUUUUUUUUUAAAAAUAUUUAAAUAUAGAUAUGUGAACCCACACUCGAAGUAUCAUAUAAUGUCGUGUGAUGAUAAUUGGGUGGACCUAUCUAAGUUAGGUUAGAAAUUUGAAUUUUUUAUCUAUCUUGUGAGAAAAGGCCCAAAAUAGUCCCUCAUCUUUGGAUUAAGACUUAAAGUCAUUCUUGAGUUUUCACAUGGAGCAUUAAUAGUCCCUCAUGUUUGCAAUAUUGGUGCAUUUUUGGUCCUCCUUCAAAAUUUUGCCUAUUUUUUAACAUUGAUUUUAUUCAUAAUUUAUGUAUGGAAUGUUUUAUCGCCAUUUUAUAUAUUUAGUAGAAAUAAUAACUCCAUGUGAGAGAUUGUGAGAAGAAAAACACUUUGUUUUGUUUAGUAGAAAUCGUAUUGCAGGUACAAUCGAGAGGUUCAUCACGACAAUUUCACGUGCAAUAGUACAAAUUUUUCUUUUCUUGCAAUGUCAUAUGUCAAAAUGUUCUUAGUUUAGCUGCAGUAAUAUUUAUACUGAACAGAACAAGGUGUUCUUCUCACCUUCUCUCACUUAGAGUUAUUUUUUCUAUUAAAUAUAUAAAAAAAAAUUGAUGAGACAUUCCUUACAUAAAAUUAUGAACAAAAUUAAUGUUAAAAAAUAGGCAAAAGUUUAGGGGAGGACCAAAAGUGCACCAAUAUUGCAAACAUGAGGGACUAUUAGUCUGCAUGUGAAAACUCAAGGAUGACUUUGAGUCUUAACCCAAAGAUGAGAGACUAUUUUGGGCCUUCUCUCUUUUAUUUUCCUUUUUAAAAUUGGAUAACACUUCUCUAAUUGGUUUGGAUAGAUAAAAAAUAAUUUUAGACCUAUAAUUUUAAAAUUUUAAUGGUUUUCAGUGAUAAGAACAUAAAUAUUAAAUAAAUCAAAUUUAUAUCUUAGAUUCACCUUUUCGUAAUAGUGCAUCCAUAAUUUCAAAAUUCUGAAUACGCCUCUGGCUGCGGAAAUUAGACUUGUCAUCACCGAACAUAUCAAAUAUGCCGUUACCAUUAUGUGCAUGUGCGACUAUGAGAUAAGCCGUCACAGCUUGUUAGUAAGUAGUAAUUCACAACAAGGGCAUGUCUGGAAAUCAUGUGUAGGGAUGGCCAUGUGCGGGACGGAUGCCGAGCGGGGUGAAUUUAAGGCUAUACGGGGCGGGACGGGUGGUAAAAGGUCCUCUAUAAAGUUUGAUAUCGUAACAGCAAUUUCGGCCAAAAUUGGAAUAUUUUUUAGACCCUUUUCCCAAUGUGUAAAUAAGUUUUAAUGUGUGGUAAAUUUUUUGCUUCUCUUUGAAAAUUGAAUAGUAUAAUUAUUCCUUAUUAUAUACAUCAAUUUUAUAUUGAUUAAAUUGCUUAUCAAACAAACACAUAAAAGCUAUAAAACUACCAUUAGAAAAUGUAUAAAGUCCACCUUAAGUUAGUACGUAUUUCAUAAAAAGACACUUGCAUCCCUUGAACUACUUGAAAGUAAUAUUAUUACUUCUUUUUUUUAUCAAGCCCAGUUAUUAAAAAAAGAAACAAUUUUUACUUACCAAUCUCGAAUUUUCAUAUAUUAAAUAUCAUAAAUUAUAAAAAUAAAUAUGAGAAAAUAUUAUUCUUUCAUAAAUAAAGAAAAAUUCUUUCCAAACUCCUCCCCAAACUCUUCCCCAUCCCCACUUACUUUUCGCCUUUCCCUAACCUUGUUCACCAAAUAAAAAACAGCAGUUACCUUCAUUAAGAAAUGAAAAACAAGAAUCAAUCCACUAUUUUGUGUUAUUUAUCAUUGUAAUAUUAGAAAAAUAAUCAUCAUUUUAUUCUAUUUUUCUAUCCUUGAAAUUAUAUAAAUAUAUCUAUGGGUAGUAUCUUAUGAUAUAGUGAUCGAAUAUAAUAGUGAUUAAUCGUAAUUGUUGAUGGUAACGACUGAUAAUUUGUAGUGAAAUAAUAGGUGGUGAAUGAUGAUGAUUGCUAGCGGUAUAUAAUGUUGACUAAUGAUAGUAAUUAUUGACGGUGAUUAGUAGGAUGUAGUAAUGGAUUAUGGUAAUGAUUGUAACUGAUGGCUAAUGUUGAUGAUUAUUGAUUUUGGGAAUUAGCGAUAGUUGUGACUUGUGAUUGUAGUUGGGCUAAGGAUGGACGUGAUUGUGGAUGGAAGGCAGUGAUGAUUGACUCAGUGGUUGUAGUUAUGGAGGUCAUAGAAAAGUGUCACAUCACCUUUUCUAUGUUUCUCCUUUAUUAUAUAUAUAGAUUUUAGAAAAAUAAUCAUCAUCAUUGUAUUCUAUUCCUCUAUUCUUGAAAUUAUCAUAUCAUCAUAUAUUACUAUAAGUGGGAAGAACCUAGGUCAAAAGUCGAAUUACGAAAAUACCCUUUAACUGUUAAUUUAUUUUCUUGAAAUUAUUUAAUAUAUUAUUUUUUUCAUUUAAUAUUUAUUUUGUGAUUCAAUGUAACCCUUUAAAUAUUAAUCUAUUUUCUUAAAAUUAUUUAAUUAUUAUUUUUUUAUUUAAUAUUUAUUUUGGGAUUCAAUGAAUUUUGAUUUUUCGUAUUAUGGUAAUUAAAACUCCUAUUUCCAGCUAGACUUACAAUUUAGUACUCAUUAUUAAAUUGCAAAUUAUUAUUAGCAAAAAAAAAGGCAACAAUCUUUACAUCUUCCACGUAGUAAUAGUGAUGAUUUUUCAUAAUCAUAGUUACUAUAAAAUUUUUAAUACUUAGUCAUUAUGAUUUUCCAUUACACAUUUAAUAUAUUUGAAUUCUUUUACAUAUUUUAUCAUUAGAUUACAGUUUUAUUUCCACAUUACAUUUAAAUGUUAUAAAUUGUUUAAUAAAUUAAUUAUUAAAUAGUAAUAAUAAAUCAUCAUAUUAGUAUACAUAAAUGUCCCGAGCCUACACCCCGGAAGCGACACGGCGUACAAGACUCCGAAAAAUCUCAUACAAGCCUCAUAGCAUUCAUAACAUUCAAUAUAAGGAAAAUGGUACAUAAUUAAAACUUUAUUUAAAACCAUACAAUCAAAAUACUCAUUUAAAACAUUCAAAAAUAGCGGAAGUCUAUCGUCUCACAUGGCCAUCUAAACAACAUCUUGAAAACUAAAGUAGGGACACGGUCCUUUACAAUCGAAAGACUAACAAAUCUCUAUUACAUGAAAGAAAUGGAAACUACAAUACUUGUCCUCGAUCUAUGAGGACAUACCACUUUGCCUUGAAAGAAUCUCAAAUCCAAGCUUCUACUAGAGAGAGUCAAACCGUACCAAUCUCUACACUUCAUAAAGGUAAAGAAUGUGGGUUAGCACACUAAAGUAAUAAGUAUGGUAGCCAUGCAAAAAUAUGCUUAAAACGGAUAUUUUAUUUGAAAGUCAUGAUAUAUUCAUGAAUAUAAGCAUAAGAGGCAUAAUACAAGACAUAAUCAACAUAUAAGACAUUUCAUUACCUUUAGCUUUCACCUCAAGUAACCCUCAAGCUAUACUUUCUGCAAUGUAUGAAUAGCGUCCCAUACCACUAUUCACACUAAGUACCACCUCAAGGUCACCAAAAGUGAACUUACCAUUCAACCUUUCCAUCUUUACACAAUACUCAUACAUAAGAGACAUAAACAUUACAAAAGUCAUAUCAUCACAUUAGGACCAUCAUCUAGGGCAACCUUAAGUCAUAUUUGUGCAAUGUAUGAGUAGCAUCCCAUACUACUACUCACACUAAGUACUCCUUUGAAGUCACCAUAGAGAAGGCACCUUCAUACUCAAUAAGUCAUGACAAGGAAGUAACUCAUAAUACAAUCCAAGUAUAGCAUACAUCAUUACAUUAAAUACAUAAAGUCAACAUUCCCCAUUAGCUUCAUUAAGAACACCUUCAUUGAUUAGAGAUUAAACCAACAUUCUCCAUUAGCAUCAUCAUAAGAGCAUACUCAUUUCAUUUAACAUUAUAAAGGAACACACUAUGACUACUCUUAAAGUCUACUUGUGCAAUGCAUAGAUGGCAUCCCAUACUACCACCCAUACUAAGUAGUACAUUCUUGAGAAGCCAUAGUUCAUUAACAUUCUUUGUGGGGUAAACCUUAACCUACAUAGACCAUGUGAGCAAUUCAUGGAAUCCCGGUGUCACCCUCACCGGAUAAGGGAUUCGUACUUGCAUAAGGUAGGACCAUUGAUUUUAGCUUAAGUGGAUCCACUAGCUAGACCUAUGUGGGCACAUAGUUAUGGGAUAAGGAGAUUGCUACUAGAUACCCCGCCUCAACUCACGGAUGAGCAUCCAUCUCAAGAGAUAGUUACUAGAUACCCCGCCUCAACUCCCGGAUGAGCAUCCAUCUCAAUUCAUAUCCACUCGGUGCUUACCAUUAUUCCCCACAGAGUAUUUAGCAUUCAUUACAUUAGUCAUCAUUAUGGGAUAAGAGAUUGUUACUAGAUACUCCGCCUCAACUCCCAGAUGGGAAUCCAUCUCAACCCAACAUUCAUUCAUUAGAUAGCUCAUAGAUUCAAAGAUGAGAAUAUCCUUUCACCUAAGAACCCCUUUAUUGUGAGAAAGUAAUUUCACAACAAGUCAUUAACAUUCAUUAGAGUACAAUUGAGAAUAGCCCUUUCAAUAGACUCAUCAUCAUUAACAUUAUCAUAGAANNNNNNNNNNNNNNNNNNNNNNNNNNNNNNNNNNNNNNNNNNNNNNNNNNNNNNNNNNNNNNNNNNNNNNNNNNNNNNNNNNNNNNNNNNNNNNNNNNNNNNNNNNNNNNNNNNNNNNNNNNNNNNNNNNNNNNNNNNNNNNNNNNNNNNNNNNNNNNNNNNNNNNNNNNNNNNNNNNNNNNNNNNNNNNNNNNNNNNNNNNNNNNNNNNNNNNNNNNNNNNNNNNNNNNNNNNNNNNNNNNNNNNNNNNNNNNNNNNNNNNNNNNNNNNNNNNNNNNNNNNNNNNNNNNNNNNNNNNNCCAUAAAUCUAAGAUACUACAAUAGAUAAGGAAAUUGACAUGAUUCAAUAACUAAUCCAAUAUAAACAUCAACAAUUCAACAUAUUUACAUAAUCAACCAAUUCCGAAUCUCAAUUCACCACUUAAGAAUUUGGGGGAAAACAUGGGUUCUAGGAAUAAAUCAUCUUAAUUCAUCUUUAAAACCACAACUCAUUCAAAAUUCAAUGCAAUAAAGCCUUUGAAAAUCGUUUGGAAUCGAACCCAUGCCAAGAUUGAAAACUAGGGUUUUUGGGGAAACAUUGGGGAUUUGAAAUUCACUUUGAAACUGGCUCCUUGAAAGAAACUAAGUCAAGGAUGAAGACUACCAUACCUUGCUAUUGAAUCNNNNNNNNNNNNNNNNAACACCUUGAAUCCACAAACCCUAGCUCCCACCUCUUCUUCUUCUUCCUUGGAAACUUCUAUAGAGAGAAUUUUUUAGAGGAAGAACUCUUUGAUUUGAUUUGGGGAAAUAAGUAGUAAAUGACUUGUUUAAGACUUCAAACUAUAUAUACUAGUGAUAUAAAACAAUUAAAAACAACCCCACCUAAUAAUUAAUAAAAGGGAAAUUACUCAAAACCCCUCAACUUAGGCAGCCCCGUCAGGGACCACGCCCAUUUUGACGGGUCGUGAGGGGAACCAAUGCUCGUGGUGGUGCCCGUGGUCCCUUAGGUAGUGUGCCUCUCUAACUUGCCAAGCCUUCAAGGGCAUAAGGCAAGUCCACGAAACCUCCCACGAUCCGUGGUCAAGACCACGAGUCAUGGUUGAGGUCGUGGUCUUGAGGCAGUGUCAUGGCUUCCCAAGCCUUGCCUCCACACGCCUAAGUGAUCUUCACGAUCACUCUCCCAUGGCUCAUCAAGGGCACCACGUCCCAUGGUGGCGCCCGUGGUCCCUUGACCAGUAGCUCCCUCAUCAUCCACCAAUUCCCAUUAAGCUAAGACAACCCAACGAGCCUUCCCACGGCCCGUGGUCAUGACCAUGAGUCGUGAAAUGGCUUGUGAAGUGGUGCUUUGGCUUGGCACCUUUCUAGGGCUCACUGCCAUGACAACCACGGGUGGCACCACGACUCGUGGUGGCCACCACGGGUCGUGAAGACCCUCAUGGUCUUGGUAGGUAGUGGUUAGGCCUAGUUUUUAGGCAGCCUUGGCCCCUCACCAUGGCCUACACCCAAAACCUUUAGCCCUUGCCCUUAACCCUUGACGUUAACCCUCACGUUUAGGCUCUAUUUCAAACUAUCAUUUUCCGAGUCGUUACAUUAUCCCACCCUUAGGAACAUUCGUCCUCGAUUGACACUUUGAAUACAUUAAGGGAUAACGACUCAAGACUAGCAGCCCAUCAUGCAUGACACAUCAAUACAAUGCACAAAAAUCAUAGGAGGAAACAUCAACUCCACAUCAAUUAGCUCAAUGCAACACAAGUAAGUAGGAACUACAUCUACAAACUCAUUAUGCACGAAAACAUCAACAUUUCUCAUUUCGUUGGAGGAACUACCUUCCCCAACUCACAUCUGCUUAUCAUAACAUCAUUAGGCAAAUUAUGCAACUUUUCUCAAAACCACAUUUAAGCAUGAUCAAUAAUUCAACUCAUGAAGAAUUUAGGCAACUCAUUAUAGAUGCACAUCAACAUGAGGAACAUAUAAAUAAAAAAUCCCAUUUCUCAUUAAACAUAAAUUUCAUCAAAACAUGCAUAACAUAAGGAGAUCAUGGAAACACAUAAAUCACACAUGACUCCAAAAUAUGAAACAAGCUACAAGGAACUCUUGGUCUCAAGCUUGAAUAGGAAUAGAAGGAAAGAGAUAAAGAUCUUGGAACUCUCAAUAACCUUACUAUUCACAUACCAUCUCUCCCUUAAGAGUAAACCCAUUCUAAGGCUACCAUGAAAACAACAUAGGAACCUCAAUACAACAUUCACAACCAUAAGGAACUAUCACUUACCGGUACCUUUAAACUAGAAAGGUCCUCAUUAAGCAACUCUUGCUCACAAACAACCUUACUAACACCUCUCAAGGUCUCAUAUGAGUCUACCACACCGGGUCUAAACUCCUCAAACUCACUACACCUCAUAGGGUGAGAAUAUCAAGCAAGCCUAACUCAUGAACAUCAAAGACACUCAAUGACCUUACCAUCUAAGCUCAUUAUCCCCCCAUUUGGGAGUAAGCCUAUACAAGCCCUUUUAAACUUCACUUCUUUCCAUUCUAAGGUCGGAGCAAUUCAUCACCAAACCUUCACACUCAUCACACAAGAUGAUUCUAAACCAAGGUGAGUUACACUUCUACCAUUCUUACAGAAGCCUACUUACUCAUCCCAUAAAGACAUUUCUAAGGCACCUCAUUCAUCAAAUCUUUCAACAUACCUCAAAACUCAUCAUAACUAAGGCGAGUUCUAUCAUCAACUAGACAUAUCCAUAAAGCAACUCAUUCAUACUAAGGACAACAUUACAAUAUAUCACCUCAAAUCUAACAAGUCACAUAGCCAUAAUUGGCAUCAAAACCAACCUUCCUCCCCCACUCUUUCUAGCAUAAGCCUUUCAAAUGGUCAUACCCUAAAGCCCAUCGGAUAAGGAAUAAGAAAAAGACAUUCUAGAGUUAAACUCUAUGGCACGACUUGAAGAAUAUGAAAGAAGUGUAACUUCCUAACGUCCUAUAACCUCUCACUCAUAUAUGUGUCGCGACUCACACCGAUGAACAAGACUCUACCGUGAGAAAUCAAUCCUAAAAACCAUUUCCAAAAUCUUGUGCUCUGAUAUAAUGUUUGCCAUGAACCGAGACUACACCACGGAAGCGACACGGCGUAAACGACUACAAAAAGUCUCAUACAAGCCUCAUAGAAUUCAUAACAUUCGAUAUAAGGAAAAUGAUACGGAAUUAAAACUUUAUUUAAAAUCAUACAAUUAAAAUACUCAUUUAAAACAUUCAAAAAUAGCGGAAGUCUAUUGUCUCACAUGGUCAUCUAAACAACAUCUUGAAAACUAAAGUAGGGACACGACCCUUUACAAUCGAAAGACUAAAAAUGUCUAUUACAUGAAAGAAAUGGAAACUACAAUACUUGUCCUCGAUCUAUGAGGACAUACCACUUUGCCUUGGAAGAAUCUCAAAUCCAAGCUUCUACUAGAGAGAGUCAAACCGAGUACCAAUCCCUACAAUUCAUAAAGGUAAAGAAUAUGGGUUAGCACAAUUAAGGACUAAGUAUGAUAGCCAUGCAAAAAAUAAACUUAAAAUAGUCAUUUUAUUUGAAAGUCAUGAUAUAUGCCAUUUUAAGAAAACUUCAUGAACAUAAGCAUAAGAAGCAUAAUACAAGACAUAAUCAACAUAUAAGACAUUUCAUUACCUUAAGCUUUCACCUCAAGUAACCCUCAAGCUAUACUUUGUGCAAUGUAUGAAUAGUGUCCCAUACCACUAUUCACACUAAGUACCACCUCAAUGUCACCAAAAGUGAACUUAUCAUUCAACAUUUACAUCUUUACACAAUACUUAAACAUUACAAAAGUCAUAUCAUCACAUUAGGACCAUCAUCUAGGGCAACUCUAAGUCAUACUUAUGCAAUGUAUGAGUAGCAUCCCAUACUACUACUCACACUAAGUACUCCUUUGAAGUCACCAUAGACAAGGCACCUUCAUACUCAAUAAUUCAUGACAAGGAAGUAACUCAUAAUACAAUCCAAGUAUAGCAUACAUCAUUGCAUUAAAUACAUAAGUCAACAUUCCCCAUUAGCUUCAUUAAGAACACCUUCAUUGAUUAGAGAUUAAACCAACAUACUCCAUUAGCAUCAUCAUAAGAGCAUACUCAUUUCAUUUAACAUUACAACGAAAUACACCAUGACUUCUUUCAAAGUCUACUUGUGCAAAACGUAGAUGGCAUCCCAUACUACCACCCAUAAUAAGUAGUACAUUCUUGAGAAGCCAUAGUUCAUUAACAUUCUUUGUGGGGGUAAGACUUAACCGACAUAGACCAUGUGAGAAAUUCAUGGAAUCCCGGUGUCACCCUCACCGGAUAAGAGAUUCCUACUUGCCUAAGGUAGGACCAUUGUUUUUAGCUUAAGUGGAUCCACUAGCUAGACCUAUGUGUGCACAUAGUCAUCGGAUAGAGAGAUUGCUACUAGAUACCCAGCCUCAACUCACGGAUGAGCAUCUAUAUCAAGAGAUUGUUACUAGAUACCCCGCCUCAACUCCCGGAUGAGCAUUCAUCUCAACUCAUAUCCACUCGGAGCUUAGCAUUAUUCCCCACAAAGUACUUAGCAUUCAUUACAUUAGUCAUUAUUAUGGGAUAAGAGAUUGUUACUAGAUACUCCACCUCAACUCCCGGAUGGGCAUCCAUCUCAACCCAACAUUCAUUCAUUAGAUAGCUCGUAGAUUUAAAGAUGAGAAUAACCUUUCAACUAAGAAUCCCAUAUUGUGAGAAAUUCCUUUCACAACAUGUCAUUAUCAUUCAUUAGAGUACAAUUGAGAAUAGCCUUUCAAUAAACCUUUCAUCAUUAACAUAAUCAUAGAACUUCAUUCAUUAGACAUUCAUGAGUGUGUAUGUGAGAAUCACCUUUCACAUAUAACCUCAUCAUUCAUAGGUGUUAAUUAAGAAAUAAUAUUCAAUCAUAACACAUUUACAUUCUAAACAUGAUCAUAACACUUUCAUUGAGAUCACAUAGAUAUACUUCACAUCAUAAUCAUACAUAAUCCUUUAUGAAAUUGCCCCUUAGGGCUAUCAACCAACAUCAACCCAUAAAUCUAAGAUACUACAAUAGAUAAGGAAAUUGACAUGAUUCAAUAACUAAUCCAAUAUAAACAUUAACAAUUCAACAUACUUACAUAAUCAACCAAUUCCCAAUCUCAAUUCACCACUUAAGAAUUUGGGGAAAAACAUGGGUUUUAGGAAGAAAUCAUCUUAAUUCAUCUUUAAAACCACAACUCAUUCUUAAUUCAAUGCAAUAAAGCCUUUGAAUAUUGUUUGGAAUCGAACCCAUGCCAAGAUUGAAAACUAGGGUUUUUGGGGAAACAUUGACAAUUUGAAAUCCACUGUGAAAUUGGCUCCUUGAAGAAACUAAGUCAAGGAUGAAGACUACCAUACCUUGCUAUUGAAUCCCUAUGAAAUUUGAGGAAGAAAUACCUUGAAUCCACAAACCCUAGCUCCCACCUCUUCUUCUUCUUCUCCCUUGGGAACUUCUAGAGAGAGAAUAUUUGAUUGGAAGAACUCUUUGAUUUGAUUUGGGGAAAUAAGGAGUAAAUGACUUGUUUUAAGACUUAAAACUAUAUAUACUAGUGAUAUAAAACAAUUCAAAAUAACCCCACCUAAUAGUUAAUAAAAGGAAAAUUACUCAAAACCCCUCAACUUAGGUAGCCCCGUCAGGGGCCACGCCCACUUUGACGGGUCAUGAGGGGCACCACGGCUCGUGGUGGUGCCCGUGGUCCUUUAGGCAGUAUGGCUCUCUAACUUUCCAAGCCUUAAAGGGCCUAAGGCAAGUCCACGAGACCUCCCACGAUUCGUGGUCAAGACCACGAGUCAUGGUUGAGGUCGUGAUCUUGUGGCAGUGUCAAGGCUUCUCAAGCCUUCCCUCGACACACCUAAGUGAUCUUCGCGAUCACUCCCCCAUGGCUCGUCAAGGGAACCAUGGCCCGUGGUGGCGCCCGUGGUCCCUUCACCAGUAGCUCCCUCAUCAUCCACCAACUCCCAUUAAGCUAAGACAACCCCACGAGCUUUUGGUCAUGACCACGAGUCGUGAAGUGGUGCCUUGGCUUGGCACCUUUCUAGGGCUCACUGCCAUGCCAACCACGACUCGUGGUGGCCACCAUGGGUUGUGAAGACCCUCGUGGUCUUGGUAGGCAGUGGCUAGGCCUAGUUUUUAGGCAGCCUUGGCCCCUCACAGUGGCCUACACCCUAAACCCUUAGCCCUUGCCCUUAACCCUUGACGUUAACCCUCACGUUUAGGCUCUAGUUCAACGUAUCAUUUUCCGAGUCGUUACAAUAAAUUACCACUAACUCUUCUUAAACAUAUGUAACUCUCACUAAUUAUAUUCAUUAUGUUUUUUACUCUUAUCUCUCAUCGAUAAUCUCAAAUGGAUUAAUAUCAUAUUUAUGACAACUCUUUGUGUUCCUCAAUGUUAUCUUCACUAAUUAUAUUCAUUAUGUUUUUUACUCUCAUCUCUUAUCAAUAAUCUCAAAUGGAUUAAUAUCAUAUUUAUGAAAAAUCUUUGUGUUCAUCAAUUCUAUCCUAUAAAUAAUGACAUUUGACAUCAUAAUAUACAAACUUAAACCAAUUGGAAAAAAAACAUGAGAAAAUAUCUAUGCCCGAUCUUCUCGUCUCUUUUUAUUUGUUUAGUUUAACAUUUAUGUUUCUUGUUUGUUGUUAUUGUACAACUUUCUAUUGUUGUGUUGUUAUUAUUUUUGAGAAUUUACCAUGGUUUGUUGCUUUGUAUACAUUAGCCUAACAUCUUGUAUUUUAGUAUCCACAUUUGAAGGGAUAAGACACAAGUACCCCCCUAGACUAUGACUAAAAUCUCAGAGACACACCUUAACUAAACUAAGGUCCUAUUACCCCCUGAACUUAUUUUUUAAAAAUAAUUUUGUACAGCUUUUGUCUUAUGUGGCACACUCUGUGACUCCACACAAUUGAGGCGCGUGAGAGAUAUUUGGAUACCACAUAAGCCAAAAAGGUGCACAAAAUUACAAAAAAAAUGGGUUCAGGGGGUAAUAGGACCUUUGUUUAGUUAAGGUGUGUCUCUAAGAUUUCGGUCAUAGUCUAGGGGGGUACUUGUACAUUUUCCCCACAUUUGAAUAAUAAAUUUGUGUGAUAGUUAGUUAUUUUUACUUUAUGCACUUUUAGUCAAUUUUAUAGUUACAGGUAUAUUCUUUUUAUUAUGAAGAUAUAUGUAGUUCCUAUCGAAACAAUAAUGAAUCUUUCAAUACAAAAUUUAUAUGAAGUAUUUUGGGAUAAACGUGCAACGCACGUUCCCAGAUCUAGUAUAAAUAUAUCUAUGAGCACCAAAAAACCUUCCUCCUCCUACUAUUGAAGCAACCAUGGCUAACCAUCACUAAUCGGUUAUUGUCUUCGAGAAAUACAUUUUCACCAGAUAAAAUGGUGGUCGUAAUGACCUUCUUGCUCUCUUUUUUAAAUUCAAAAUGGCUUAAGAGGGCCAUAUUGCACUACAACAAAAACAACCUCUAAGGAAGGGAAAUCUAGUCCCUAAAAGUUCAAAACUGGUCCCAAAUGGUCUAUUGAUAUGGGAAAAGGAUGGUCGCCACCCAUCCUAAUAGCUUUCUUCUCUAAAAGUUAUUUGUGACGGGUUCUCUUUUUUGUUCGUUAAAUGUUUAUAGAGAUGGAAACUACGUUGGUCGCCAAAACACUUUUAGUGACUAUAUUUCUCGUCCCAAAUAGAUGAUUUUCUUCUUUGAAAUGUACUUAUUUUCUAGGCGUUAAAUCACUUUCGCGACAAGCAAAUACCUCAUCCUAGAUUGACCUUUAGGGACGAGAACCUACCUCAUCCUAGAUGAACCUUUAGGGAUGAGAAACUACAUCGUCCUAGAUAAAAUUAAAGGAAAAAAAUGUCUCAUCCUAAAUGAACCUUUAGGGAAGAGAAAGUACCUCGUUUUUAAUUGACCACGAAUGGUUCUAGAGCUUCGUAUCAUAAAAUUAAAAAAAUUAUCAAUCAAUAUAAGAUUGCUACUGAAAUCUCCAUACAAAACGCUGAUAUAUAUUGGAUAACAAAACUUAGAUUUCAAUAUUUUCUUAACAAACAAAACUUUGGUAAUUAACAUCUCGAGCUAAACUAUGACAGCAUGUUCUACAUAACUUUCAUAGCAUAAUGAUAUUGAUCUUGUUCAUCUUCGAAACUUGCAUCUAGACAUGUAACUUCAGUUUCCAAAAUCCUCCAAGAAUUAUCCAGAAACGUGAACAGGCUGCAAGGAUGUAAAAAAAUUAAUUAGGAAUGCUUUGAGAUGUAUUAACCAAUAAUUCAAAUUUUUAUCACAAGUGCAAGAAUAAGUAUCCAUUCCGACCUCUUGAAUCAGAACAACCAUCAUGAUCAAGUAACCAUUUUGGUCAUUUUCAUUAAAAAAAAUGUUUUAAUACAGCUCCAAUGUUCAUUAUCACAUUAUCUGCUACAAUGAAGAGCUUCUUCACAGCUAAACAUUAUAGAUAUCCAUUGAACUGUGAUAAUCUUCUAGGAAAAAGAUUCAUAUAUGUUACAAAUCAUUCAUAGAGCUUUCUUUUUCUUUUUCAUCAAAUAAGGAUAAAAAUGUUCUGGAUAUAAGAAGUCUACCAAAAGAACAGAAAACCGUACUAAAAGAUAGAGACAUUGUUGCUUCAUUACAAAUAAUAUGCUAAGAAACCAUCAAAUGAUGCACAAAAAUAGAACUUUAAGUGUCUAUUUGGUACUAUAUCUCAAGUCUAAAACGUCUAUAAUUUUCAAGUUUAUACAUCUUGAUGAGGUGUUUGGAGACAAAAACAGAUGAGAGUACUGGACACAAUGAUUUCAUCAAAUUGUUAUCCUCUGUUGCCAUUUACCGAAAACAUUUUUUUUCCCUUUGUGGUUGCCUCCUAGAGUUACCUAUUAGAAAUUCAAUUGUACAUUCGAUAGUGUAUCAGAAGUCUAAAACAUCUAUAAAUUUUAAGUUUAUAUGUAUUGAUGUAGUACAAUAGGUGAAAGAAUAUCAGGGUUUUUUUUAUCUCGUUGCGAGAGUACUACACUGGAAUUGCUUUACUUUAUCAUAGUUGCAGUUCUCAACAAAUCACAAAUCUAAGCCAUCUCUCAGAAACCAUUUAAAGAUUCUUCAGUCAGAAUUCUAGUUAAGGGAGUACUACAUAUCUUAUGAAAUCACAUUUCUAUGUUCUUAUUGAAGAGUAUGAUUAGGUACAGAUGUGCAGAAAAUAAAAAAUGUGUGCACGUAGCUAUGUAGAAAAUAAAAGAUGUGUGAACGCAGCUGUGCAGAAAAAAAUGAUGUGCAUGCGCUGAUAUUUAGAAAAUAUAAAAUGGAAGAAGACGUGUGUGCAACUGUGUAUAAAAUAAAAUAAAAAGAGGAAGAAUAUGUAACGUGCAGUUGUACAAAAAAUAAAAAAUAGAUGAAAAGGACAAGCACAUAUAGCUGUGCAGGAAAUAAAAGACAGAGGAAGCAACUUCAGCUAUGUAUCAUGAAUCAGAUCUAUAUGAUUCUCGCACAAUGAUCAUAUUCAAUCAUACCUAUUAACAGGGACCUACUUUUUCAUUAGCUAUUUCAGUAUGUAUGUAGUUACAGAACUAUUUUUUUCCUUUCAGUCACAUCAUCAAAUUUCUCUCACAAAAGCUAGGCAAAGAUAUGACUCAUGAGACAAAUAACUCGAGCUAUAAAGCGUAGGUCCAAUAACUGAGAGCCAAAGGCUAUAGGUAAUCAAAAAACCACUAGCUAAGAGAAUAAAAUCACCCAACAAAGGACCUCACAAGGGAAGAAAGCAUUCAAACAUAAUCUACAAUCUUAUUAGCUUUCUAACAGUUCAGCCUUACAAUAACCUUUUAAACGACUAUACGUAAAUCAAUAUGGGUAUAUGCUUACUUACUUGGUCAGAGAAAUAUUCUAGUGGUCAUUCAGUUGAAAUGUAUGCAGGUCAGACCACAACUGAAAAGAGAGAUACGUGAGUAAGAAUAACUAGGAGCUAGUUUAGUUGUUAGUUUUUUCAAUACUUACAGGUGUUAUCAAGAAGAAAUUAUUCUAUUCGAUCAAAAAAUAUAUUGUUCGACCUAGUCGAUAUGGGGCUUAAUAUAUUGAACUUGUCAAAUUGGAAUAAGGUUGGAAUACCAAAGUUAUAUAGUGUACUAUAGCAAAGAAGAAAGACAAGUUAAGGAUUCAUAACAUUUACAUCAAAGAUAACUCUAUAAAUAAUGUCCCUACACCUAAACAAUCUGGUUGGGUGGUUAAAAAAGUUUUGGAUGAAAGAUCCUUAUUAGCUAUUGGAACUCUGUUGAAUUGAACUGGAUUGAUUCAUCGGCUGUGGUGGGUUCAACAUAAAGAGUGCUUAUAAAUCUUUUCUUCCACAAUAUCCUACAGCUACAUGGAAGAAAUUCUCUAUGGAAAAAGAAAAUCUGAUAAACAUCAGCUCGUCCUCUGUCUAUCCCUGUAAACAAGACUAGCAACAGUUGAUGCACUAACAAAAUGGUGUAUUUAAGUUGACAUUAGCUAUAUUCUAUGCUAGGAUUCCUAGAAAUACCACACUAUAAUUCUACAUGCUUCCAUUGUCUACCAUACUCGAAUGGAAGGAACAUCCACAAGUUACAACAGAAAUGUUGAGGGUCAAUCAUAAUUUUGAUGGAGAUUGCUAAAGAGCUACACAUAGUUGUCCAGAAGCAAAGUAGAUCAAAAGGCAUGAUGAUACUGUAGUCUUAUGACUUAUCUAUAGGAUCCAUUUGUAUAUACAGCUGAAAGUAGUAGUAGUGGUCUGAAUACUGAAACUAGUCCUUGAGUCCAAAAUGACUAGCUAUACAUAUUAGUCAUUUAAUUAAAUAAACUCAUAUCUUUUGUAUAAUUUAUUUUUUGAAAAAACAUACUUGUUUCAACUUCUUGUAUGUAUAGCUUAACUAGUUCAUUAGAUUGAGAAAAUAAAAUUCAUAGUAAGAAAUUUGCCUUUUGAUGUCAAAGACUUAAUCCCUCGUCGGCUAGUCCUCAUCCCUUUCCAAUUGCACCAGGCGCGACGAAUAAAUAUCUCAUAGUACAAUUCAUUCUUGAUCAUCCCCAUUUUCAGUCUUUAUACUGAACCUACAGAGAGAGGCAAAAGUACAAAAUUAAUAGGUAAAAUUCUUAUCCAGUGAACCGAAGGAUAUAAUCCAACUAAUCUUUGACCUUUGCAAAAUGUCAAAACUAUACAAAAAGUACUAUAAAUUAUCAUUUUCUCAUACAACAAUAAGUAAUUAUCAAAAAUGGGCCUUUUUAAAGCGUUGUUGAAACUUUACUGUGGUAUAAUUAAAGUGUAUUAUUGUUCCCUACAUAAUACAAAGACCUUGAUCCAGAAUCAAAAGGAGAAAUCAGUCUCGUGACUAUUUCCCAUCAGUAAGCAGCCUGUGCGAUAAUAAAGAUAUGCCUAUCAGAAUGGGUUACAACAAACAUAUUAGUUAAUAGAAGAUAUUUUACAUCAUUAGUUCCUUUUUGUUUCUUUUGUGAAAGAUUUUCUAAGUCAUCUACAACAUCAUCAACCAUUUGAAUGACGAGGUCGAGUCUUUUUCACUACAUGCCAAUCUUUUUUGGAAUUAUCAUUAGCAUAAAACACUUGAGAUGCUUAAUCCUCUACAACAAAAUGCUCAUUUUUUUCUAAUAAUCUACUUAGAUUCACACUUACGAAGUCAUAUAUACUUAUAUCUUUUAAUCAUCCUUUCUCUGUUUUGAAAAGCUACAACAUUUUUAAUGAAAGUUGGCUUAAAUUUGUGAUUUGCCGAGAACUGCCAUUAAGAUAGAGUACAACAAAAGUGACAGAGAAUCUCAUCUACAUUCAAAACCUAUAGGAUAUUCUACAUAAUAUAUAUAAUCCAUUAAAUUUCUAUUAAUUUUGUUCCAACUUUAAUAAUAGUAAGAGUAGAUGUAGUAAAUCGAAGAGGAAAGAACAUAUAUUGUUUGAGGUUGACAAGAGACGAACUUGAACUAGGUUUAAACCAAAUUGCUAAUUGAAUAUAAUAGAUUACAAAACCUAAUGUUUCAACAACAACAACAGGAACAUAGCAGUGUGAUUUCAUAAGAUAAAUAGUUGUAAGAAAUAUAACAAUAGGUAACAAAGUUUGUAUUUCAUCAAGCCAAACACCAUACACACACCAACUCGGAAUUCCAACUCAACAAUCUUUCAGAUAUUGUACAAAAAAAAAUAAAAAUUACUACUCCCUCAACUAGGACUCCCAAAUCAACAAUAUUUCAAUAAUUGCACAAAUAAAUUACCAUCAGAUUGUGCAAGAGAUUAAGAAGAUAAAGAGUUACUUCAGUAAAGCAAAUUUAGAAAAGAAAAAGAUAAAGUCACAGAAGAGGAGACAUACCCAAUAUUAUAGUCGAUGAAAAUAGAUUUGGGCGAACUAUUGUGCUUUCUCUAUUUUAGGCGAGCUGCUGUGAUGAGCAACAAACUCCAUGCUUUCCUUGUUUUGAGAAACUACAAUGUUUUUUUUGAGUGCUGGCUGAGAAUAGCGAUUUGCAGAAGAGCUGCUGCUAGGGGACAAUAGAAAAACGAGAUAUGUAUUAAAAACAAAGAGCUUUUGUUUUAUUUUUUAAGAAUUUUAAUUCUUACUUUUGGCGCCUGAUAAGUUUGGUGAAAAUAUAUCUUUAAACUUUAUUUUAAUUUUUUUUUAAUAUAUGUUUGAGCGCACUUUUCUCCCGCUCCCACUCUCAAGUUGUAAUUUGGGACCAGAUACUAAUUUAUUUAGAGACUAGAUUUAGUACCUUCACAAUAAAACAUAGAAUUAGGGAAUAGAAUAUAAUCUCGUCUCUAUACAUGUACUUUUAAGGACAAGAUUAAUAGCUAGUCUCUAAAUGUUGGUCUUAAAUAAAGCUUUUUCUACUAGUGUUGUCACACCCCGAGCCUACACCCUGGAUGUGGCCGGCACUCGAGAAACAUUGUUUGCCCCAAGAAAACCCUUGGUCUGGCUUACUUACUCAGCGGAAAACUUUACUCAAGAUAAAUACUUUUAAAACAAGUAAACUGAACUGCUCAAAAUAUAACUUAGAAUGUAUUAUAAUAACAUUCACUGCCAAAGUGGCAACUCAAGUCUCAACUUAACUGAAAAGGAAAAGAAAAGACUCAUGAACUAACAUCACUGACUCUGUCUAUGAAGCCUCUAAAUAACUGAAAUGGACGUCGAGACAACAUCCAUGGCAUCCUAAUGAACUAAAAUUUUGAAAGAAAUAAAAAGGAUCCUCCGGAAAGUUAUGAGGCUCACCAAUUGACUCUGAGAGCUCAACUGGUUCAACGAGGCACUAGAUGCUGAUCCUAAUUACCUACAUUUGUAUCAUAAUAAGAUGCAGGCCAACUGGAAUCAGUACAUUGAAUGUACGAGUAUGCGAGUUGGAUUGCUAAACACAACAAGGCUUGAAAAGAAUUUGAAAGAAACACUUACCUUGACUUUACUCAACUCUUGAAUAACUUAACUCAAUAUAAAGCAGUAAACAUGUGCAAUAUAUAUAAAGCUUGUAAAAUAGUAGAAAACAACUUAGUUUGUUAAAGAAAAGGCAAUAACAAACUCAAUUUUACUCAUAUAAUAAAGUAAUAUAGUUUCUGUGGGAGUUUCUCUAAUCGACAACCACUACUAUGGGCCUAAGUGGUGAUACAUCGUCUUGCCCACGCUGCCAAAACUGUCCUAUACUUUGUCAUUAUAUAGAAGGCUUAACUAAGUGGAUCCACUAGUCUAUGCUAAAAGCAUCUUAAGGAGUCAUCUAAAAAGUAUGACCCUUUACUACCCAUGAUGGCUACAAGGUUUAUGGAGACGUGAGUUAUCUGAACUCGAGCUCAUCCCUAUAUCGAUGCUCAAUACUAAUCCCAAAACAUACUUACUCAGAUGUUUGUAAAAACAAAACUCUUUCUUUGGUUUGAGAUAAUUACUCAAAAACUUAGCUUAAAAGCUCUCUUGGAAAUCUCAGUUUCCUUUCUUGCUCAAAUGUGAAAACAUUUUUAACUCUUGGGAAUACUUAGUUCCCGAAUAAUCUUUGAAGAAUGAACUUUAAUCUUACUCAUUACUGAAACUAGCUUAAAAGCUUUUUUGGAAAUCUCAAUUUCCUUUCUUGUUUAAAUGUGAAAACAGUUACUCUUUGGGAAUACAUAGUCCCGAUCUACUCUUUUGAAGAAAUGCAGUUCAAAUUUUACUCUUUACUCAACUCAAAACUCAAGUCUUAAAACAAAGUUAAAACGUUUGUAAUAGACUUUUGGAAAACUUUAUGAACUUCUCUUAACUUGACUCUUGACUUUUCUUGACCCGACUCUUAACUUCUCUUGACUUGACUCUUAACUUUCCUUGAAUUGAAUUAUGGAUUCAAGGAUUGUGAUUUGUGAUAGGAAAGAUCUCAUGAUGUUUAGGAAUGAUUUUAGAUAGCUAAACAUGAGAAAUGAUCAAGAAAUCACUUCCUGGAAAUUAGUCCGCGACGUGUAGGUGUAUUUAAAUUUAGUCGCGAAAAUAAAUUUUGAGGCAGAGAGGUUCGUAACCUCGCCGCAACGCGAAGGGAAAAUUACACUUCUGACCUGGUACCCAAUUUCUUCCCGACUUGUUCCUUCUUCGCUUUCUAACCCCAAUUCGCCUAAACUCGAUUCUUUUUAUCAAAUUCCCUUUAGAUUCAGAUACCCAGUAUGUAUACAUAAGAAUCUAACUCAUAUAACUCAAGGAAACAACAUUUUAACCUUAAGGAACUCCUCAAUAUCAACCUAACUCAAGAACGAAGGCCAAUUUCAAGAACACCAUUCAAGAUUCAUCAACUUUCAACUUUCUAGAACAAACUUCGCUGAAAUAAUAUGAUUGGUGCAUGGAUGAAUGAACCCAGCGCUAUGAAAGACUCACAUACCUCAAAGGGAUCACCCCUUGACGAAAUCCACGAGCCUAGCUUCAAGAACUUGACGAUUCCUUGCUCUUUCUCCUCCUUUCUCCUCUUAUUUUCUCUUCUCUCAAAACCCUAACUUGUUUCUCAAAAGCGUAAACUGAAUCCAAUCAGUUUAGACCCCAACUUAAUUACCAAAAAUGAAACUAAUUAAUUGGGUGGUGAAAAGACCAUAAUGCCUUUUUAAAAUCCGGAUUGGACUUUACUUCUUUGAACAACCCAACUUCAAAUGGGCAUAUCUCACGUAUACGAACUCGAAAUCGCGCAAACUUAGCGGCGUUGGAAAGAUUAUUCCAAUAUCUUUCCUAAAAUAUUUGGUAACACAACUAACUCACUUAAGAUAGGAGUUCUGGUCGUUUGAAGUUGACCAAAAAAACUCAAACUUAACUUAACCAAUUUUCCUCAUUUUUUAUUAUUUCCAAAAAUAACUCUUUCUAAUUCCAGAUCUUUCUAGUUCUUUCAAUUUGCGAGAUGUUACAAUAUCUCCUCCUUGGGAAAAUUCUUCCUCAAAUGAGAUUACUCUUAAUAGGCCAAGGGUGUAACAUUUAACAUUCAGCUAAAAUACCUAACAAGCAAUGCAAUUAGACCAUGCUAAUCUUAUAAAUAAAAGCCAAGAAAAGGAUUAGUACCUAAAUUUGGAAUUUCUCCAGAUUCGAAGAGAUGUCGAUAUCUCUUCUUCAUAUCUUCCUCAGCUUCCUCAAGUAGCUUCCUCAACAAACUGGUUCCUCCACAGAACUUUGAUUGAUACUACUUCCUUAGUCCUCAACUUGCGAACAUGGCGAUCUAGAAUCUGAACAGGAAUCUCUUCAUAAGAUAGCUAUCAUUGAUCCCAAUAUCUUCAGUUGGUAUGAUCAAUGAAGGAUCGCCCAUACACUUAUCCAACAUGGAGAUGUGAAAAAAACUAGAUGAACCGUGGCUAACUCUUGUGGUAGCUCCAAUUCAUAAACUACAUUAGCUACCCUUUUGGAUAUUCUGUAAGGGCCAAUAUACUUGGGACUAAGCUUCCCCUUCUUACUAAAUCGCAUAACACCCUUCAUGGGUGAAACUUUCAAGUAUACCCAAUCAUCUACUUCAAACUCUAAGUCCCUUCUCCUAACAUCAGUGUAGGAUUUCUGACGACUCUACGCUGUUUUCAACCUCUCUUGAAUGGCUUCCAUUUUAUCCAUACCUUGAUGAACUAAUUUUGGUCCUAUCAACCCAACUUCACCAACCUCAAACCAUCCAAUAUGAGAUCUGCAUCUUCUCCCAUAAAGAGCUUCAUAAGGAGACAUUUGGAUGCUAGAAUGGUAAAUAUUGUUGUACACAAAUUCAAUUAGAGAUAUGUGAUCAUCCCAAUUACCCUUGAAAUCAAUUACACAAUCUACCUUGAUAUCUCAAAUCACCAUCUCCCCCUUGUUCAAAGCCAUCACUUUUUGCCUAUGAACACUUGCCUUUAAUUCAAGCAAUAAAGGAUCUUGGUCUUGCUUAUCUUUUACUUCUGACACUAAUGAUGAUUCAGCCCUAUUCAUCACCACUACUCCUCCUUAUGUGGAAUCCAUUAGUUGAACUCCUAGUCGUGUAAGUCUAUACACCUCUUUUGCUAACUCUUUCUUAUCUUCCUUAAAAUGGGCGGUACUACCCAUAGAUAACCUGCUCAAGGCAUCAACAACAACAUUAGCCUUACAUGGGUGAUAAAGAAUACUCAUGUCAUAAUCCUUGAGUAAUUCUAACCACCUCCUCUGUUUGAGAUUAAGCUCUUUCUAACUAAACACAUACUGAAGACUCUUGUGAUCGGUGAACACAUCCACAUGAACACCAUAAAGAUAAGGACGCCAUAUUUUCAAAGAAAAUACUACGGCAACCAACUCCAGAUCAUGGGUUGGGUAAUUCUUCUCAUGAACCUUCAACUAUCUAGAGGCAUAAACUAUAAUUUUGCCAUUCUACAUUAGUACAGAAUCCAAACCAACUCUAGAUACAUCAAAAUACACCACAAAACCUUGAGUACCUUCUGGUAAGGUCAAAACUGGGGCAGUAGUCAACCUCUUUUUCAAUUCCCGAAAGCUUUUCUCACAAGCUUAAGACCAUUGAAACUUCACUGUUUUCCGAGUCAACUUGGUCAAAGGAGAUGAAAUAGAUGAAAAUCCCUCGACAAACCUUUUAUAAUAUCCAGCCAACCCCAAGAAACUCCUAAUAUCAGUUGGAGAUGUGGGUCUAGGCCAAUUCUGCACUGCCUCUAUUUUCUUAGUAUCAACUUUAAUUCCCUCUCCAGACAUAAUGUGAUCUAAGAACGCCACAAACUCAAGCCAAAACUCACACUUAGAGAACUUGACAUACAACUCUCUAUAUUUUGGAGUUUGGAGAACUAUUCUGAGAUGACUAGCAUGAUCUUCUUCAUUCCUUGAAUAGAUUAUUAUGUCAUCAAUGAACACGAUAAACAAACAUAUCUAAAAUAAGGCUUGAAUACUCUAUCCAUAAGGUCUAUUGUAACACCCCGAAUCCAAAAACAGACCAAAAAUGCAGAUUUUGAGAAGUUGCAGGUGCAACUUACGGUCACCAUCCAUGGACCGUAGGUCAAACCACGGCCCGUGCUGGUGGUACGUGAUUCACCACUGCAACCACUCCCCAAACUAGCUCAGAAAAUUAUCUAAGUCCUGACUCACGGACAGACCCACGGUCCGUAGAUCAGACCACAGUUCGUGGUCUGUGUCUGUGGAUCGAGACUUCCCUUACCCAGCCUCUGACACAAACUACGGUCGACCAGCAUGGACCGUCAUUCAAUGCACGUUCCGUAGGUCUGACCGUAGAUGAGGGUCAGCAGCCAGUUAGCUGAAAAUUGUUGAUGGAUCAACUUCAGAUGGUCAUAACUUUUAGAACAAAGGAAUUAUGUGUACCAUGACCUAUGAUAUGAUAGAUAAUUGAAUUCCUCUUUUCCAACGUCCACCGAGUUUGCUAAAAUCCGACAUCCAAGUAAAAAGUUAUGCUCAUUUUAGUGAAGCCCUAUCGGGCAGACUCGACCGACGAUUCCAAUCAACGAACCGUCGAUUGAAUGACGGCCCGUUAGUCCCGUCCGUCAGUCACUUCGACAGCAGUUAAGUCAAGGGGUUUUGGUCUUUUCCUAUUUCAUUUAACCCCUAAGGUACGUUGUUUAGACCCUAAAUCAUGAGGUUUUAGUCAGUUUAAGCCUAGAAACAUAACUAGAACUUAUCCAAGUCAAAUCAUUAAUCAAAACUUAGAAAAUUAGAAGCAAGAUUCCAUCAGUUCCAGCCUCGAAAUUGAAAAAUUUCUCCGUGGAAUUCGUCACUAGGUAUGUGGGAUUUCACUAGUGGGCCCUUUCACCCAUUAGGUCCCUAGUUUUCAGUCAGUUUCUUGAUUCCCUUAUUAUGAAUAGACCUAGGGUUUCUAGAAUUCAGUUAUACAUGCCUCAGUUUAUGAAUGCAUCAUUAUCAGAUUAAUUGUUGCAUUCUCAGUUUGCAUGUUCAGUUCGAGCUAUCCAGUAUUUACAGAAAUUCAGUCAUAACCAGUUAACUACUUAAUUUAUUGGGAGUAGCAUAAUACCGAGUUGGACUAGGGUUUCAGCGUACCCAUAUAGUCCCAGAACUACGAGCCACGUAGGUGUAAGUCCCCUCUGUGGGCAACAUCAGUUUAGUGAUCACGCCAGCAUGCCUCUAUACCUCUGGUAGGGUAUAUUGGGUCCUCUCGAUGGGGCGUAUACAUCGGACUCCACAUUUAGCUCAUGUGGUUUUAUGUCGGUUAUUAGUAGCUCCCACAGUUCAGUCAGACUCUAUUGCAUUGACCACAUUUACAGUUCAUUCAGUAUUCAGUAUUUUCAGUAUCUAUAUCAUGUUCAGAUUAUUUCAUUGCUUUAUUGCUUUGUUCAAUUAUAUGUUAUUUCAACUUUACUCUAUCAUGCAUGCUCAAUACCUCUCAAGUGCUGACGCAUACGUGCACUACAUCUUCUCGUGAUGUAGGUUCAGGUUCUCAGCAUCCAGAUCACGCUUAGAUUGAUUCUCGAUCUUCAGUUCAGCAGCAUCAGUGGUGAGUCCUCAUUCUUCGAGGACUAGUGACAUGUUUAUCUUUAUCGCUUUUAGUCUUUAGUUUCAGUUUUGCUAGACCUAGUUGGGGCAUAUCCCAACAUUUCUAGUCAAUUUAGAGGCUUAUUUCAGACAUAGUUAGAUUUAGCUUAGUAUUGAGUUAAUAUCUUCUUUGUAUUAAACACAUGAGUUAUCAUUUAUCUCAGUUAUAGUAUAUGGGUAUUAUCCAUCUUUUCAUUUUAUUUAUGAUUUAGCUUUCGCACAGUUUCUAUUAUUCAGAUUAUAUUUAGUAUGCUCAUGAUCAGGCCAGCAGGAUUAGCUUGGGAUCACUUGUGGUCCUAGGUCCCGUGUUCGCGUCUCGGGGGUAGCUCGGGGCGUGACAUCUAUGAACGCUGCAGGUGCAUUGGUCAAACUAAACGACAUGACUAGAAACUCAUAAUGACCAUAACUGGUCUUGAAUGUUGUCUUUUGAAUAUGACAUUCCCUUACUCAUAACUGAUGGUAGCCAGACCUGAGGUCUAUCUUAGAGAAACAUGUAGCACCCUGAAGCUGAUCGAAAAAAUAUUCAAUUCUCGGAAGAGGAUACUUAUUCAUGAUGGUAACCUUGUUUAACUGAUGGUAAUCUAUACACAUCCUAAGGAACCAUCUUUCUUUCUCACAAAUAGGACCGGAGCGUCCCAAGGUGAAAUACUUGGUCGAAUGAAACCUUUCUCUAAAAGAUCUUUCAAUUGCUCUUUAAGCUCUUUCAACUCUACUAGGGCCAUUCUAUAUGGCAGAAUAGAUAUGGGACGAGUAUCUGGAAGAAUGUCUAUACCGAAGUCUAUUUCUCUCUCAGGAGGGACUCCGGGAAGAUCAUCAGGAAAGACUUCUGGAAACUCUCUUACUACUGAAACUGACUAAAUAAGAGGUAUCUCAACACUAGAGUCAUUAACUCGGACUAAGUGAUAGACACACCCCUUGGAAACUAACUUUCUCGCCUUAAGGUACGAAAUAAAAUGACCCUUAGGCACUGCUGAAUUGCUCUUCAACUCUAUAAUUGGUUCACUGGAACUUGACUACUCGAGUUCUACAAUCUAUUGAUGCAUAACAGGCAUGAAGCUAGUCCAUACCUAGAAUGACAUCAAACUCUACCAUGUCUAACUCAACUAAUCAGCCAUGGUACUCUUGUGAUUGAUAGAAACGGGACAAUCACCAUAGACUCUUUCUGCUAUAAUAAACUCACCAACGGGUGUAGAAACACUGAAGGGCUCAAGAAGUUGCUUAGGAAAAACAUCAAAGUUGAAGACUUGGAUCAUACCAGUGACAACAUUUGGCGAAUCCAUAGACUCUUUCUGCUAUAAUAAACUCACCAACGGGUGUAGAAACACUGAAGGGCUCAAGAAGUUGCUUAGGAAAAACAUCAAAGUUGAAGACUUGGAUCAUACCAGUGACAACAUUUGGCGAAUCCUCUUGCUCUCGGCGACUAGCAAUAGCAUAAAGACAGUUUCCUUCUCCGUCUGCCUUUGAAGUAGCUCAUCUAGAUGCAGCUCUAUCUGGUGGAGCAAAUGAAGAAGACUGGGCUUUAUUACCCCCAUUACCAUUACUCUGUCUGGUCCUAGGACACUCUCUCAUAAAAUGACCAUUCUGGCCACACUUGAAGCAACUAGUGGAGUCAUCACGACACAUCCCUGAGUGGAUCCUACCACACUUAGCACAUGCAAAAGUCUUAGUACCCCCUUGUGCCUUACUACCUUGCGAGUGUGCAAGUCUAGCUCUGAAGUUCUGAGAAUUCUGACUAUUGUACUCACAUUUGUUCCUUGGUGCAGGUGCACUAGCAAAUGAUGGAGCAGGUCCUUUCUGCUUAUGUUGGAAAGAAGACUGGUUCGCACUACCCUUUUGCUGCCCAGAUUCAUUCCCUGGUGUCUUAGCCUUCUUAUUCUCAAACUCUUCUUUAUCCUUUAGCUGGUCCUUCUCAACUUGUUGCACAUGGAUCAUCAGCCUUGCUAUUCCCAUGUCACCUAUUAGCAUGGCUGCCUUACUUUCCUUAUCUGAGAGACGAGACAACCCAACAACGAAUAAACUCAUCCUACUCCUCAUGUCGGCAACUAUCUAUUUGCUUCUCUUAGUUCACGGGGAAAGAAACGCCCCAUGAAAGCACUCUCAAAACAGUCCAACUCACAAUCGGUUACGCGUAAACAUGAGUUAGAAAGAAACUUUUUAGAGAUAAAACUCUAACGCACGAAAUGAGUAUGAAAAAAGUGAAGGAAUUUCCUAAAUAUUGCAGCCUCCUAAUUAUAUAUGUGGCUCACUUCACACCAAUAACUAGGACUCUACAGACACGGCUUCCUAGAUUUCCUAGGACUCUUGAACUCUGUGCUCUGAUACUAAGUUUGUCACCCCCUAGCCUACACCCUGGACGUGGCGGCACUCGAGAACCAUUACUGGCCCCAAAUGAACCCUUGGUCUGACUUACUUACUCAACGGAAGACUUUACUCAAGAUAAAUACUUUUAAAACAAGUAAACUGAACUGCUCAAAAAUAACUUAGAAUGUAUUAUAAUAACAUUCACUACCAAAGUGGCAACUCAAGUCUCAACUUAACUAAAAAGGAAAAGAAAAAACUCACGAACUAACAUCACUGACUCUGUCUAUGAAGCCUCUAAAUAACUGAUUUGGACGUCGGGACAAGACCCACGACAUCCUAAUAAACUAAAAUACUGAAAGCAAUAAAAAGGAUUCUCUGAAAAGGUAGGAGGCUCACCAACUGACUCUGAGUGCUCAACUGGAUCAACGAGGCGCUGGAUACUGAUCCUGAUUACCUGCGUCUGCAUUAUAAUAAGAUAUAGGACAACUGGAAUCAGUACAUUGAAUGUACGAAUAUGCGAGUUGAAUGCUAAACAUAACAUAGGAUUGAAAAGAAUCUGAAAGAAAUACUUACCUUGGCUUUACUCAACUCAUGAAUAAUUUAACUCAAUAUAAAGCAGUAAACAUAUGCAAUAUAUAUAAAGCUUGUAAAACAGUAGAAAACAACUUAGUUCGUUAAAGGAAAUGCAAUAACAAAAUCAACUUUACUCAUAUAAUAAAGUAAUAUCGUUUCUGUGGGAGUUUCUCUAAUCGACAACCACUACUAUGAGCCUAAGUCGUGAUACAUCGUCUUGCCCACGCUGCAAAAUCUGUCCUAUACUUUGCCGUCAUAUAGAACACUUAACUAAGUGGAUCCACUAAUCUAUGCUAAAAGCUUCUUAAGGAGUCAUCUAAAAAGUAUGAUCCUUUACUACCCAUGAUGGCUACAUGAUAUAUGGAGACGUGAGUUAUCUUAACUCAAGCUCGUCCCAAUAUCGGUGCUCAAUACUACUCCCAAAAUAUACUUAGCUCAUAUGUUUGUAAAAACAAAACUCUUUCUUUGGUUUUGAGAUAAUUACUCAAAAACUUAGCUUAAAAGCUCUCUUGGAAAUCUCAGUUUCCUUUCUUGCUCAAAUGUGAAAACAUUUUUAACUCUUGGAAAUACUUAGUUCCCGAAUAAUCUUUGAAGAAUGAACUUUACUCUUACUCUUUACUGAAAACUAGUUCAAAGGCUCUUUUGGAAAUCUUAGUUUACUUUCUUGUUUAAAUGUGAAAAUAUUACUCUUUGGGAAUACAUAGUCCCGAUAUACUCUUUUGAAGAAAUGCACUUCAAACUUUACUCUUUACUCAACUCAAAACUCAAGUCUUAAAACAAAGUUAAAACAGUUGUAAAAGACUUUUGGAAAAUUUUUUGAACUUCUCUUAACUUGACUCUUGACUUCUCUUGACUUGACUCUUAACUUCUCUUGACUUGACUCUUAACUUUCCUUGAAUUGAAUUAUGGAUUCAAGGAUUGUGAUUUGUGAUAGGAAAGAUCUCAUGAUGUUUAGGAAUGAUUUGACAGAGCUAAACAUGAGAAAUGAUCAAGAAAUCACUGCUUGGAAACUAGUCCGCGAUGCGGAGGUGUAUUUAAAUUUUGGUCGCGAAAAUAACUUUUGAGGCAGAGAGGUUCGUGACCUCGCCGCGAUGCGAAGGGAAAAUUAUACUUCUGAGGAACAGGUCCGCGACGCGAACCUGGUACCCAGUUUCUGCCCGACUUGUUCCUUCUUCAUUUUCUAACUCUAAUUUGCCUAAACUCGAUUCUUUUUCUCAAAUUCCCUUUAGUUUCAGAUACCCAAUAUGUAUACACAAGAUUCUAACUGAAACAACUCAAGGAAACAACAUUUUAACCUCAAGGAACUCCUCAAUCUCAACCUAACUCAAGAACGAAGGCCAAUUUCAAGAACACCAUUCAAGAUUCAUCAACUUUCAACUUUCUAGAACAAACUUCGCUGAAAUAACAUGAUUGGCGCGUGGGUCAACGAACUUAAUGCUAUGAAAGACUCACAUACCUCGUAGGGAUCACACCUUGACGAAAUCCACGAGCCUAGCUUCAAGAACUUGACGAUUCCUUGCUCCUUCUCCUAUUCUUUUCUCUUCUCGCAAAACCCUAACUUGUUUCUCAAAAGCGUAAACUGAAUCCAAUCAGUUUAGACCCCAACUUAAUUACCAAAAAUGAAAUUAAUUAAUUGAGUGGUGAAAAGACCAUAAUGCCCUUCUAAAAUCCGGAUUGAUCUUUUCUUCUUUGAACAACCCAACUUCAAAUGGGCAUAUCUCACUCAUAUGAACUCGAAAUCGCGUAAACUCAACGGCGUUGGAAAGAUUAUUCCAAAAUCUUUCCAAAGAUAUCUGGAAAGACACCUAACUCAUCCUGAGGUAGGAGUUAUGGUCAUUUGAAGUUGACCAAAAAACUCAGACCUAACUUAACCAAUUCUCCUGAUAUUUUAUUAUUUCCAAAAAUCACUCUUUCUAAUUCCAGCUCUUUCUAGUUCUUUCAAUUUGCGAGAUGUUACACAUAUUAUUAAUCAACAAAAUAAAUCCAAAAGGUCCAGCCCAAAAUGGGCAUCCACUAGCAAAACAAGAAAAGUAAAAGGAAAGAAAAUCAAACAACCAAAAAAGGAAACAAAUUAGGGCAAAAUAAAUAUAGAAGCUACAAACGCGUUCUUCCCCUUUUCAUCUGGGAAACUGAACGCCUCCUUUGACGAAUUCCAGCUACUGAUCUUCAUUCUCCACACCGACGAAGCAUAGAAAACAUCAGUUACGUAGCUCAACUAUCGGUAUCAGAAAAGACGCUGGGCUAAUUUCAUCAUAGGCGACCUCAAAUCUCUUACACAUGUGUUGUGACAUAUGACCCAACGGGAACAUUCCUUGUCAAUCUCAUUGCCAACCGAAUACUAUGUAGGAGGUAACUUCCAUCCUUUUUGUGUAGAUAAUCAAAUCGGAAAUUCUUAGAACAUUGACGCAAAACUUUUUUAACCAAGCUAUUUACUAUAUCACUUUUGAUAGAAUGAGAUUCUGAAGAUGCUGAUACCACACAUCAAAAGUUGCACAGUGAACAACCAGAUCUAAAAGUUCUGCAAUUUUUCAGGUAAACAUACUAUAUACCUUCUCAAGACCAUUGAAUUAGUCCGGUUCUCAAGCCUUCAAGUAGUUGUAUCUAAAACUAGGGGUUUGUUGUUUAUAUAAGAGAAUCAAUUUUGAACUUCUUGUGGUAGUUGUUGCAAUGAAUUAUAGCUUAUAGCACCCACACAACAAGUAAUAAAAUCGGCAAUUUUAUUGCCUUCUCGUAGUACAUGAUGCACUGUACUAACGCCUUUUGCCCUCCAAAACCUUAUCCUGUCAAUCUUCAUCCUUAACUUCGAAGGAGUAUUCCAUGUACCCUCCACCAUAUUCAACAAAACUAAUGAAUCUGUCUCCAAUCGUACAGGAACAAAAUUGUUCCUCGUGCAAUAGUCAAUCACAUUCCCCAAAUCCACUCUUCUACGUAUAAAUUAGUGUUAACUUCAAUUCUUAUAACAUAGCAUAAAUAAACUCCCCUUCAUCACUUCUCAUGCAAAAACCUAAUGAACUUGGGUCUGGGUUACCUUUAGAGGCCCCAUCCGAAUUGCAUUUAAACCAUCCCUGUAGAGGAAACUCCUACUUAACCAAUCUAAAAUGAAGAACUCGCAUAUAUUCUUCGAAGUACUGCACCAUUUGUGGCCAGUUAAUUGGUAUAUCCUUCAGCCGAGGAUAUGUCACAUUUGCAAGCAUAUGAAGAAUGUGGCUAAUAUCACUUACAACUCAAUUAUUUGUCAUAAAUCCUCCAUUAGUAACCACAUUUCUUCUUCUCAUUAAAUGCCACAAAAUGAUUUAAGGAGCAGAUUGAUACAAUGACAUAAGUUUUUCCCCACAUUCAGCCUUCCACCAUUCUGUAAUAGCCUGAUUGACCUGUAUAAAAGGGCCUAACAACCCUACAGCCAUAGUAAAGUUUCUCCAAAUACUUUGUGCAACUUCACCAGUUAAAAAAAUGUGUGACAGUCUCUUCUUGAAAUUGUCGACAACAUCUACACCUAGACUCCCCAUGAUGCCACAAUGUCAUCUAUUGGUAGCUUUAGAUUCCACAACCUCCAAAUAAAAAAGAAAAUUUUCAUAGGAAGACCUUUUACCCAAAAUUUCUUCCAAAACCAUCUUUUCUGCUUUUUUGGUCUCUGAAUUUCCCUAAAAUUUCCUUUAGUAGAUGGCAUCCACCAUGCUCUAUCUUUGUCUUCCAAGCUCUCUCAUAUCAUGAGAUUCUUUGUCACAUGUUCAGCAAUUUGAUUAGGCAAAUGUUGAUGUAGACUUUCCUAAUUUUAUUUUUCAUUAUCCAUAAAAAAAUUUACCUCCUUGUUUAGAAAAACAUAAUUUCAACCAAGAAGCCCAGAUUAGAUCUGCCCUCUUCCAAGUUGCUUCAAAAGAAUUUUGAAAAAUCUUGUGCAACUCAUUCAAAGCGCAUUUAGUAAGAGCUAAAGUUGAUAAAAGAUAUAUAGGCAUGUUUUGCAACACAUUUCUAAUCAAAACAACUUUGCCACCAAAGGAUAAUAACUUACUCUUUCAGUUCUGCAACUUUCCUUUUACCUUUUUGAUGAUUUCAUUAUAGAAUAUCUUCUCUUUCUUCAAUAAAAUAUUGGGCAGCCUAAAUAUAUGAAUGGGAACACACCUUUUUCCAUUCCUAUGACUAAUCCCACCUGCUGCACCUUUUUCGGGGUGGCCCAGUGGUUUGGGCUUGGGACUUCCAUGUUGGAGGUCUCAAGUUCGAAACCCCUUGCCAGCGAAAGCAAGGGGUUUGCCUUCUGGGUCGAGCUCGUCGCACUGGGCUUGCCUAGUGCGGGUUACCUCUCCUAUGUGGUUUGCGAGCUAUUGCAUAGGAGCGGGGGUUUUAUCAUGUGCGCACCCAAAGGGUAGCGGCUGUGGGUUUUCCUUGUCAUAAAAAAAAUAUCAUGUUAAUUUAGCAUUUAAUUCUAAAUAGAUUUUUUUAAAACAGAGAAAAUACAUUUAUGUUUUGAGAUUGUUUAAAUUUUUUCACUAAACUGAUAAAAAUAACAAAAAUACUUGUUCCUAUAAGUUAUUGUGCAUGAAAAAAGAGAACCAAAAACACAUUUAUAUCAUGCUAAAAAAAUUAUGUUCAUUAAGACAAAUUAUGCAUAUGUAGAACUUCAUGUAAUAGUGAGACAUGCUUCUUAGCUCUAAUUUUUAUGUAUGAGUGAUAAAUAAAAAAUAUUAAUAAAAGAAGUCUUGUGAAAUAAAAAGUAAGCACUUUAAUCUUUGUUGAUCAACUGACCUGAGAUCUCCUCAUAUUUCCUCGGCACUUCCAUAACAAGAUCAAGAGAUACUUUAUCUGUUAAGGUGAAUAUUAUAGUGUCAUCUGCAUAAGUCAAAUGAUUUAGCUUCUCACUCCAUCUUGGUAAGCCAUAUCCCUUAUACAAACUAUUGUCAAACAAGGCAUUCAGUGAUGUGAUCUGGACAACACUUUUGCGGUUAGUAAAGACAGAGUUGGGGAUAAGGGAUCUCCUUGCUUCACUCCCCUAGUAGAGUAAAAAAAAUCCAUGACUUUGCCCAUUAAAAAUAAUAGAGUACCAGGUCUUUGCUAUUAAUCUUCAUACCAUGACAGUAAAAAUCUCACUGAAACCCAUCUUUCUUAGCACAUUAGAUAAAUAUAGUCAGGAUACCCUAUCAUAAAUCAUGGUCAUAUCUAGUUUGAUAACAACAUUAGAAGCUUACCUCUUUUUCUUAUAUCAGUCAAAAUCCCUUGAGUUAGCAACACAUUCUGAAUUAUGCAUCUUCCUUUUUGAAAAUUCAUCUUGAGUAGGAGAUAUGAACUUGGUUAGAAUGUCUUUUAUUCUUCCAUGUACCACUCUAGAGAUGGUCUUAUUAAUCAAAUUUUUUAGGCUUAUAGGCCUUAAUCUGAAAAUGAAUUGACCAACUCCCUUUUACGUAGCAGUACCAGAUUUGUAUGUGUGAUCGACUUGGGCAAGGUAUCACUAUUAAAAAGGCCUUUACUAUCCUAUAAACAUCAUAACCAACAAUGUCCCAACAUGAUUGAAAGAAAUUGACGUUCAAGCCAUCAGGUCCACUUGCACUUGAUCCCUCCAAUUGGAAAAUAGAUUAUUUUUCACCACCUCCAUUAGUGGUAUCAUUAGAAACUUCUCAUUAUCCCCUGAUUUACCAAAUUUGGUAUACAUUCUAAUAAAGAAAAAUCAGAUUCUUCUUCACCUAGUGUAAAUUGAUUUUUAUAACAACUUAUUGCCUCUUCAACCAUUUGAUCCUCUCUUUCAAGCCAUACUCCUUCUGCAUUUUAAAUUCUCUUGAUUUGAAGUCUUUUUCUUCUCCCAUUUACUAGACUAUGAAAAAAUACGCAAAUCAUGUAAUUUCAGCUUUCUGUCUCCAAAACUCCUCUUCAUAGUGAACAUACUUUUUCAUUUCCGCAUGAGCAUGUUGUAGAAUCAUUCUAUUAGCUGUUGUAGGCUCUUCCUCAAAGUUUUGUUCUUUAAUUCUGACUACUUCUUCUCUGAUUAUUAGUUGCUUGAAAAUAUCCCCAAAAGUGUUUCUACUCCACUGAUUCAAUGCAACUUUUAUCUUGUUCACCUUGUGCUUGAAAAUUUAAAAAGGAUGCCCUUCAAAAUCAACGGUCUAAUUGGGCAACUAUAUUUUAAAAUUCAGAAUGUUCUAUCCAAAAAUUUAAAGUUUUUUUAACUGUCUGAUUAUUAUUUGAUUUGUUUGGUCAUCUCUCUUAUUCUCCUUAAGAGAGUGAGCUAUACUCCCUAUGCCACAUCGCUAAAAAUAGUAAAAACUACUUGAAUUUUGUAGUGUUAAGAGUUAAUUACAUCUUAUUUCUAUUCGUUUUCAAAUUAAAAAAAUCCCCAAAAAUAUAAGAAUUUCGAAUAUAUCACUCAACGUCUCGAUACAUCGUGUUCCGGUACAUCGCGUAAAAGUGAUGUAUCCAAGAAUCUAAGAGAGAGUGAGGAAAAUAUGAUUUUUUGUAAUUCUUUCAAAUGGUAGGAAAUUUUAAAGAAUAUGAUAGGAAAUUUAAAAAAAUAUAGUAAAAUAAGAAUUUUGUAAUUGAAAUUAAAUAUUAAAUUCUUGAAAGUUAAAAGAGUAAAGAAAUUGAGACGAAAAAUAUUUAUAGAUUAAUGGGGAGUAAAAAAUACUUAAAAAUUAAAAAUAUGAGAUUAGAUUUUAGAUUAUUAUUUUUUGUUGUUAGUGGGCCCACAACGGUCAAAAAAUUGACAAACAAAUUCUCGAAAAGUUCGUGCCUCCAAUGGAUAUUCCGUUAGUCUUGGACCAGUUCGAUCUGGGCUUCUACUGAUUUGGGCCAAUUUUGGAUCGAUCCGAUCUGAUCCGAUUGACACACUUAGUUUGAAUUAUAUAAAUGACCAUCAAAAGGCAAACUAUUUAACUACAAAACGAAAAAUUAAAAUUACUUAUUUGUGUGAGAGUUCUUGAGUUCUUUCAAGUAUGUUUAAUUUUCAGUUUCUUUAUCUUUUUGGGCCACCAGUUACACUUGUGAAGUAAUCUAUGUGCGACAUGUGAGUUUCUAUGCGCUUUCAUAUGAAAUCAUUUUUUAGUCCUUUACAAAAAAAAAAUUAAUUUUAUGUCCUUUUAUAAAAAUAUCUUCAUUUUUCUAUACAUAAGUGAUCUGAAAAGAAUAUUUUCUUUUAUUCAAAUCCUAAGAAGACAAGAGAUCUCAUUUUGUUGUUUCCUUGUAUGCUUCUACAAACACAUUUUAAGACUUAUAUAUGGGCAGAUUCUAUUUCUUUAAGUCUGUUUUUGUUUGAGCAUUUUAUUUUUUUUAACUAUAUGAAAUUCAUACAGAGAAGUAGUAGAAAUUGCACAGAUUUAAGUUUUAAAAUGUGUUUGUAGAAGCAUACAAGAAAACAACAAAAUGAGACUUCUUGUCUCCUUACGAUUUGAAUAAAAGAAAAUAUUCUUUUUAGAUCACUUAUGUGUAGAAAAAUGAAGAUAUCUUAUAAAAGAACAUAAAACUUAAAAAAAUUGUAAAUGACUAAAAAAUGAUUUCAUAUGAUGAAAGUGCAUAGAAACUCACAGGUCACACAUAGAUUACUUCACAAAUGUAAUUGGUGGCCCAAAAAAGAUAAAGAAACUGAAAAUUAAACAUACUUGAAAGAGGAACUCAAGAACUCUCACACAAAUCAGUAAUUUUAAUUUUUCGUCUUGUUGUUAAAUAUUUUGCCUUUUGAUGGUCAUUUAUAUAAUUCAAACUAAAGGUGUGAAUCGGACGGGAUCAGGUCGAUCCAAAAUUGGCCCAAAUCAGUAGAAGCCCAGAUCAAACUGGUCCACUACUAAAGAAAUAGGAAAAAUUAUCCGUCGAAGGCACGAACUUUUAGAGAAUCUCUUUGUCAAUUUUUUGACCGUUGUGGGGCCCACUAACAGCUAAAAAAAAUCUAAAAUCUAAUCUAAUAUUUUUAACUUUUAAGUUUUUUCCAAAAAAAAAAACCGCCCCAUUAAUCUAUAAAAAAAAUUCCUCUCAAUUUCUUUACUCUUUUAACUUUUAAGAAUUUAAUAUUUAAUUUCAACUUACUCAAAACUAUUUAAUUAUCAUUUCUCUAUGAUAUCAUUUAUUAGUUACUCCAUUACUUAUUUUUAUUGGUUAUUAAUUUAUUAUUUUUCUUAAAGUGCUAUUAAGAUUAUUAUUAUUAUUAUAAUAUUACUUAUAUAACUUAUUACUAUUAGUUAUUAGUUUAUUGUUUCUGUGAAAAUGUUAGCAAGAUUAUUAUUACAGUAUUACUUUUCAGUUAUUACUUAUUAGUUACUCCCUCCAUUUCAUAUUAGUUGAAUUUUUGAGGCAUUUUUCAUUUUUCAAAUUAACUUAAUUGUUCAAUCUUCAAGACUAUUUUUAAAAUAUUCUUCCAAUUUUAUCCUUCAUGUGGAUUUUCAAUGUGAUGAUUUCAAUAAAUUUGAUAAUAAUAAAUAAGGGUAAAAAUGGAAAACUAUGUUCAAUUUAUGUCUUAAUCUACUUUUCUUAAAGGGUGUGAAAUACUUCAAAAAUUCAACUAAUAUGGAAUGGAGGGAGUAUUAUUAUUCAUUAAUACUUAAUACUUAUUGGUUAAUAGUUAUUACUUUAUUAUUAUUAUUUUUAUUUAUUAGGUAACUCCAUGAUCAAAAGGAUCAAGGAUUAAAUAUUAUUAUUAGCUAAUCAAGUGAUAUUAUGUUACCAUUCGAAUCAAGUAUUUAUUCUUUUGCGAAAAUUUGAUAUACUCGUUUCAUUUAUUUCUAUUUUUUUAGUAUUUUAUAUUUAAUUUUAGUUAUUUUAAUUAAACUAGCACAAUGAAUUUGAUGCAAAAAAGCUGAAAAGUUUGUUUGAGGUUGUAACGACCGGGUUCCGUCGUUAUAGAAAAGCCAAUGGGGGAAAAUUUGGGGACGGAAAACCUUUUCAUAGUAUUUGGAUUUUUUCCAACUUAGUCCAGAUUUGGACGAAAUCGGAGUCAUUAAGGUGUAGGGAAAUCUGGCAUUAAUCGGGUGAUUUAUUUAUAAUUUUGAUUACAUGAGGGGAUAGAUAACUCAUUAAGGAAUCCAUACGACUUUACGGAAUUGAAUGCAAGCCACUUUGGCGCUGGGUUUUGUCCCUCUGGCGGGGUAAGGGUCGCCGUGGCGGGCUAGAUGCGACUGAAAGUCGUAAAUAAACCCCUAAACGACUUAUUUUUGCACUUUUCAAUUUUUAAAGCUAAGGAACGAACCCAGGAGACUCUUGAGAGUUUUCCACCAUUCUUGAGGCUAAAGGUAAGAUUUUCACUCCCCGAAUCUGUUUUUCGAUCCGUAGAGCGUAAUAGAAUGGGUAAUUAUCGAUGGGGGAAGGUUUUGAAUUAAAAACCAUGAUGGAAAAAGUCCUAAUUUGGAUACUUGGGAUCAUAGGUAUGAUCUAGGUGCCAAGCCCCAAAAUCUAGGGGCGCAACUGGCUCCUAAUGCCAGAACUCAGGCCCGAGUCGACCCUCCUGAACCAUUUGCUACUAGCGCAUGGCAGCCACACGCAAUCAAGAAAAUAAACAAGUAUAUCUCGGCUUAAAACUAUGACAUCGGCCAGUAAGGCCCCUGUCAACAGAUCUAUAAAAGAAAUAUCUAUUCCCAAGAGUUUAUAUAAAAAAAUAGCCAACUAGCACAGAAGUCCAGAUUGGACCGUCGAGGCCACCACGAUCUCUAUACCAAAACUGAAAGCAGGUAUAUAUCAAGACAAUACAUCAAAUAGCUCACAAGCUUCAGCAAACCAACAAACUAGGCCAGCAUGGUCAUAACGUAGCUAUACACCACACACACUAGUCUGCAAGCCUCUAAGAGUAGAAAAGAUUGGCAGGACAGGGCCCAGCCUACCCAUAAAAAUAUCUGCAACAAAAGCUAACAAACCUCCCAACUCUGGCAACUCCGGAGGAAAGGGGUUAGCCAACCAGAUAGAAGUCAAUCUUGCUGAUGAGGAGGUCUACUGGGUCGUCUGUUGGGACCUGCAUGCAGCACCCUCAGGCAAUAGGGCAUCAGUACAAAAUAAUGUACAGAGUAUGAAAGGCUAUAGACUAAAUGAGCAAGUAUCAUAAUAUACCAAAAGCAAUUAGGUAAGGAAAUCAAUAUUUAGCUAAGCAUGCUAACCCACUACUAGAUCUAAAAAAAUACAAAAAUGAUCAAACAUCAACCUAACCAAGCCCCCAUAAGCUCGGUAGGUACAAACAAUAUACCACCUACCUAGGCUCCCGUAAGCCCAGAAGGUGCCAAAUCAAUCUACAUAACCCUAUCGGUAGCCCCUUGUCUUUGUAAGAAGUCACAUAGCCCUUUUUGGCAAUGAUAUAUCCCCGUAGGCAGCGCAUGACCCUCUUAGGCAACAACAUAGCUCUGUGGGCUGCACAUAACCCUCUUUUGCAUCAACAUAGCCCUGUAGGCAACACAUAGCCCUCUUUGGCGUCAAAAUUGCCUCAUAGGGAACACAUAACACUCUUUGGCAUCAAUACAACCCCAUAGAAAACACAUAGCCCUCUUAGGCAAUAACAUAGUCCUAUUAGACAACAUCAUAGCCCCAUAGGCAGUUCAUAGCUCAACCGCUAACCACAAUAGCCCCAAGGGCGACAACAAACAAUUGAAUAAGCUAAAGGUGAGCAAUUUAGCUAUAUAUAUAUAUAUAUAUAUAUAGUUUCCAAGUCAUUCCUAACUUAGGGUCAUUCUUAACAGAUUAUGAGUCCCUAUAAUAGGGGUUUAUAACCACUCAAUCAGCCAACCACUCACAAUUACAUCUACAAGAUCACCAACAUUAACUACCAUACUAUAUCAUUCCCAAGCUCUAAGGAAAUAUGCCGAACGAAGGGAAUAGCCUUAACAUACCUUUUCCUUUAUAAUCUAUGCUUAAAAUACCUCUGUCCGCACCACUACAACACUAAAUAAAAAGGUAAAAUCAAUUAGUAAUUAAGGAUAAAAAAUACUACGACAAUUCGACAAUCAAUACGGAUUCCUAUCGUAAAUUACUAUCCAAUACCUAAGGUAUCCGUAAACUGCUAAAAAUAUGGUUCAUACCUUUCUUUACACGCCCAUAUCACUUGAAUAAAUCAAAACACUAAAUAAAUGCCUGCUGCCACAACCUCCACGGAUCUACACCGCUCAAUUCACCGUGAAAAUUAUACCAAAACGACGAGCUCGCGACGUAGGGCAAUUUUUUAUAAGGAGCCAAGAAGAGAUCAUGAACAUACAAAGAUGAUUUGAGGAAUAAUUCUCUGAUUUUCGUGGGUUUCUUAUGAGUUGGAAUGAAGAAAAAUGAAGAAGAUGUUAUCUUAUAAGCUUCCACCGACCUAGGGGACCCACCUCACAUGCCUGCUUGCGCAGUCUUGCAAAAAUGUGAAUAUCUCUUUAUUGUGAAAUCUUAGGAACAAACGAUUUGAUGUGUUGUAAACUAGACUCAUAGCCCUUCGAUUCGAUAGGUCGUGGACCCCAUAACUCUUUAUAGAUUGAGAGAAAACCUCUGAGACAUUUGACCCAAAUUUCAGAGAAAUAUUUAAAAAGGAACUUAUGAUAACUUUCGCCAACUUUUAUUUUGCGACUUACCUAACUUCAACACUUAAAAUAUGACAUACCACAACAUUCUUAAUUUAUUACUCACCCUUUUUGUCUUUCCACGAAGGUACGAGUUAAUUUAGAUGUUUCGAAAAGUCGGGGUGUUACAUCCUUACCCCCUUAGAAACAUUCGUCCUCGAAUGAAAAAUCUGAGUCACGUGGUUAAGUCCUUAGGAGUUGGCCAAAAUUUAGGCAAGUAUCCUUUGUAAAUGUGACUAUCCAGGAACCUGAAACACAGAAAUUCUAACUUAGGCAUCUUACAUGACGACAUAAAUAGCUAAGCAUUAUAGCUCUGCAAUAACAGUGCGAGCAAAAUACAACGACAACAACCAUAAUAAUAAGCAAUAAUAUAAAAAUCAGAUAGGUAUCCUAUCUCACUGCACUAAUAUAAACUAAUAUGCCAUCACCUUGGGUAUGAAACAAGUGAGGAUAUUUGGACCUCAUGCCAUCCUCAGCUUCCCAGGUCACCUAUUCUCUAUUCUUGUUUCUCCACAAUACUUUAACUAAAGCCACCUCUUUGGUCCUCAAUUUACGGACCUGUCGAUCUAAUAUGGCAACUUGAGUUUCCUCGUAGGGACAACUCCUUUGUGAUCUGAACAUCCUCAACUGGGACAACCCGGGAAGGGUCUCCUAUGCACUUCCGUAGCAUCGAUACAUGGAAAACUGGAUGACCAGAUUCUAUCCCUGAAGGCAAUUCUAACUCAUAAGCCACUCAUCCUACCCUCCGAAGGAUCUGGUAUGGCCCAAUGAAUUUUGGACUAAGCUUUCCUUUCUUGCCAAAUCUCAUAACACCUUUCAUAGACGAGACUUUAAAGAACACCAGUCAUCGUUAGGCAUCUUACAUGACGACAUAAAUAGCUAAGCAUUAUAGCUCUGCAAUAACAGUGCGAGCAAAAUACAACGACAACAACCAUAAUAAUAAGCAAUAAUAUAAAAAAUCAGAUAGGUAUCCUAUCUCACUGCACUAAUAUAAACUAAUAUGCCAUCACCUUGGGGUAUGAAACAAGUGAGGAUAUUUGGACCUCAUGCCAUCCUCAGCUUCCCAGGUCACCUAUUCUCUAUUCUUGUUUCUCCACAAUACUUUAACUAAAGCCACCUCUUUGGUCCUCAAUUUACGGACCUGUCGAUCUAAUAUGGCAACUUGAGUUUCCUCGUAGGACAACUCCUUUGUGAUCUGAACAUCCUCAACUGGGACAACCCGGGAAGGGUCUCCUAUGCACUUCCGUAGCAUCGAUACAUGGAAAACUGGAUGACCAGAUUCUAUCCCUGAAGGCAAUUCUAACUCAUAAGCCACUCAUCCUACCCUCCGAAGGAUCUGGUAUGGCCCAAUGAAUUUUGGACUAAGCUUUCCUUUCUUGCCAAAUCUCAUAACACCUUUCAUAGACGAGACUUUAAAGAACACCAGUCAUCGACACAAAACUCUAAGUCCCUUCGUCGCACAUCUGAGUAUGACUUCUGUCGGCUUUGAGAUAUUAGCAACCUCUCCCGAAUGAUCUUAACCUGCUCCACUGUCUGUUGUACUAAAUCAGGUCCAAUCAACCCUGACUCACCUACCUCAAACCAUCCAAUGGGGGAUAACAUUUUAGACCAUACAAAACCUCAUAAGGUGCCAUCCCGAUGCUAGAAUGAUAACUAUUAUUGUAUGCGAACACAAUAAGAGGUAAGUGGUCAUCCUAACUUCCAUUAAAGUCCAGCAUGCAUGCCCGUAGCAUGUCCUCAAGUGUUAAAAUGGUGCGUUCAGCUUGGCUAUCUGUCUGAGGGUGAAAGGCGGUACUGAGAUUAACUUGCGUCCCUAAUCCUUUCUGGAAAGACUUCCAAAAGUUAGCAGUAAAUUAUGCUCCUCUAUCCGAGAUAAUAGAUAUUGGGACGCCGUGCAACCAAACAAUCUCUCGGAUGUAAAGCCCUGCAUAAUCUUCAGCUGUGAAAGUAGUCUUGACUAGUAAGAAGUGGGUUGAUUUUGUUAGUCUGUCAACAAUUACCCAAAUAGAGUCAAACUUACGACGUGAUCGAGCUAACCCUAUAAUAAAGUCCAUAUUAAUUGCUUCCCACUUCCAUAAAGGAAUGGCUAUCUUUUGGACUAGCCCAGCGGGCUUUUGGGUUUCAACCUUCACUUGUUGGCAGUUAGGACACUAUGCCACAAACUCAGCAACGUCCUUCUUCAUCUCGUGCCACCAAUAGAUCUCCUUAAUAUCAUGGUACAUUUUCAUCGAACCAGGGUGAAUAGAAUAACGGGAAUGAUGUGCCUCUUCCAUAAUCUAAUGUCGAAGCCCUGCAACAUCCGGAACACACAAUCGAUCGCUAUAUCUGAGGACUCCAUCUCCUUCUAUAUCAAAUGCUAAAUACUGUUAAUCCUGAGCCUUGGCUCUGAGCUGCUCUAAGCUAGGAUCCUCAUGUUGACGUGUUUUUACCUCUACAACUAGAGAUGAUACGGCUGUGUCCUGAAUUGCGACCCCACUAUCAUCUACCUCUAACAAUUUGACUCCCACGCUAGCUAACUGAUGUAGCUCUCGCGCUACCUCACGUUUCUGAACACCUAAAUAGGAUAAACUACCCAUAGAUCUUCGACUGAAGGCAUCGGCUACCACAUUUCGCCUUUUCCUGGAUGAUAUAAAUAUCCACGUAGUAGUCUUUCAGUAACUCAAGCCACCGACGUUGUCGCAGAUUUAACUCCUUUUGUCUAAAGAUAUAUUGAAGGCUCUUAUGAUCUGUGAAGAUGUCAACAUGAACGCCAUACAAAUAGUAUCUCCAGAUCUUUAACGCAUGGACAACUGCAGCCAACUCUAAGUAGUGGUCGGAUAAUUCUUCUGAUGUUUCCUCAGCUGCCUUGAAGCAUAUGCGAUAACCUUACCAUGUUACAUUAGAACACAUCCCAACCCAACACUAGAAGCAUUGCAGUACACCGCAUAGCCCUCUUAACCCUCUAGCAAUGCUAGAACUGGUGCUGAUGUCAACCUGUCAUUCAACUCCUGGAAACUAUGCUCGCAAGCCUCAGUCCAUUGGAACUUAGCUGCUUUUUGAGUCAGCUUCAAUAGUGGUGCUGAAAGUGAAGAAAACUCCUCUACAAACCUUCUGUAUUACCCAGCUAAUCCUAAGAAACUACAAACCUUAGUCGGAGUCAUGGGUCUAGGCUAAGUCUUUACAGCCUCAAUCUUUUGUGUAUCAACCAUAAUGCCUGCAUCUGGUACAAUAUGGCCUAGGAAAGCCACAGAGCUCAACCAGAACUCAUACUUAGAGAACUUUGCGUAAAGUUCCUGCUCUCGAAGAACCUGAAGGACUGCUCGCAAAUGAUCUGCCUGCUCUUUUUUGAAUGCUAAUAGACCAAAAUAACAUCAAUAAAUACAAUCACAAACAUAUCUAGAUACGGAUGAAUAUACUAUUCAUCAGGUCCAUAAAAACUGCCGGGGCAUUGAUCAAUCCAAAAGACAUAACUAAAAACUCAAAAUGCCCAUAUCUAGUUCUAAAAGUUGUCUUCGGAACAUCUUUCUCUUGAACUCGUACCUGAUGGUACCCUGCUCUCAAAUCAACCUUCGAUAAGUACUUAGCACCUUGUAAUUAAUCAAACAAGUCAUCGAUCCUCGGAAGGGGAUAGCUGUUCUUUAUAGUAGCCUUGUUCAGCUGUCGAUAAUCGAUACACAUCCUCAGCGAGCCAUCUUUUUUUCUCACAAAUAAUACUGGUGCACCCCAUGAUGAAACACUGGCCUACUGGCCUGAUAAAUCCUUUAUCAAGCAAAUCUUUCAGCUGAUCAUUCAACUCCUUCAGCUCAGCAGGAGCCAUUUUAUAUGGAGGGAUAGAUAUGUGUUGUGUACCUAGUAGAAUAUCGAUAGAAAAAUCAAUUUCCUAUUCUGGAGGGAUACCAGGAAGCUCGUCUGGAAAUAUAUCUAGAAACUCAUUAACUACCGGAAUAGACUGAAGAGUCGGUGGUUUUGCAUCUAUAUCAUGAACGCGAACAAAAUGAUAAAUACAACCCUUAGUAAUCAUCCUCCUCGCUUUAAGAUAGGAAAUAAACCUACCUUUCUGUGUUGUUGUAUCGCAUUUCCAUUCCAGAAUUGCCUCUCUUAGAAAGUUGACUCUAACAUUUUUUGUCCGACACUUAACAUAAGCAUAACAAGACGCUAACCAGUCCAUACCCAUAAUGACGUCAAAAUCGACCAUCUCUAACUCUACCAGGUCUACAGAGGUCUGACAGUCGAUAAUUUCUACCGUGCAACCUCGAUAGACUCUCCUGCAAUAAUAGACUCAUCAAUUGGUGUAGAUACAAUAAAGGGUUAAUUUAAUGACUCUUUUACUAUACACAACUUCCCCGUAAUAAAUGGGGUAACAUAAGAUAGAGUAGAUCCAGGAUCUAUCAAAGCAUAAACACAAUGAGAGAAAACAAUUAAUGCACCUAUCACAACAUCUGGUGAUGACUCUGAGACCUGUCGGCCGGUUAGUGAAUAUGUACGGUUCUGGCCACUACCAGAACUAGAUGCUUCCUCUCUACCUCCGCAUUUGCCUCUACCUACUGAAGUUUAGGGUCCACGCCCUGUAGGCUGUGCUGAGGAGGAGGAACCUACUACUGACCCGGUCGACUGACCUAUACCACCCUGACCUAUGGUCGGGAAAUUCCUCCACAUAUGCCCCUGCUAUCCACAAGAAUAAAAACCUGUGGAACCAUUCCUGCACUUCCCGAAAUGCAUCCUACCGUAAGUAGCGCAACGCGGUGGUGCUGUCCUAGCCUGGCCUGAACCCCUCUGCUGCUGAGAGCCUGAUGCUUGUGAACCCUCACCUAGGCUUGACUGUCCCUGGAACUACUGUGGUGGAGCUCUAGGUGGCCUACUAGAAUAUUAGGGUCUGGGAGCACCCUAAAAAUCUCCCGGUGAACCAGCAGGCCUAUUCUUUUUUUGUCUCUCUAUUGACCCUCUCACUCAUAUAAUGUAGAUGUCGGCGAUCCUCUAUUACUUGUGCAAAGGCCAGAAUUCGCAAGAUAUCCAUAUUAUCAUUUAGUGCAGCGGUAGAACAAGUGCCGAUAUAGUCUGAGUCAAGCCCUCCCACAAAUCUACGCACCCUAUCGUGCAUCGUAUCAACAAAUGUUGGUGCAUAUCUAGCCAAUGAAUCAAAUCUCAGCAUGUACACUCAGACACUCAUGUUGUUGUUAUACCCCAUUUUAACUCAAAGUCAAAAUGUGUACAACAUAUUGGUGAUUUCCAAAUUAUUCACAAACUUGAGAAGUCGCCACCUAAUUAUUAUGGUGAAUUAGGGCACCUAUAACGAUUAAAGUCUAUCGUCUAAAGUUAACUUCAUUUUAAGGUAUGCUAAACAUGAGAUUCUAGGUAAGAGUUGUAGUUAUCCUAAAGGGAAGGGGUAAGUCAUCUUUUAAGAUUCGUUAAAGACGGUUACCGGUCAAACUUAGGUUAAUUAAUUAAACUAAAAAUUAGUGCUAAAGAAUUUGAAAAAAUCAUAAGUUGGAAAACAUUUUAACAUUAAAAAAAAACUCUUUUAUAUUUUGAAAGAAUUAACUUGCAUUUUUCUUUUUUGAAAACAAUAGAUAAUCACUUGUUAAGAAUGACAAUUGUUUGUACAAAAUUUGAUACCAAAAUGUAUACUAAAGAAAUAUGUUUGUCCAUGAAGUUAAUAUGCAUGCCUUUAAAAAGCAUUGUUUACACCUUGAAAUCGAUAACACAUUCUACACUUGAAAGACUCUUUCGACUUUAAAAAAAAUGACAGAGCUUUUCUAAAACAAAAUCAUUUGUUUAAAGUAACUUUAUUUUAUUCAAAAUUUAUUGCUAAAGAUCUGAAAAUAAUAAUGAUAAAAAUAUUUGUUUUUUGCAGAAGCAUUGUAAGGAAUUAAAAACUCCUUUAAGACAUUUGUUGUCAAAAAAAAAAAAAUCAUUGAAAAGUUUACCGAUGUCAAAAUUUAUUGCUAAAGAUCUGAAAAUAAUAAUGAUAAAAAUAUUUGUUUUUUGCAGAAGCAUUGUAAGGAAUUAAAAACUCCUUUAAGACAUUUGUUGUCAAAAAAAAAAAAUCAAUGAAAAGCUUACCAAUUUUCAACCAAAGAAAAACUUAAAAGCCUAAUGGAGACAUUUGACAUCCUUAAAAGUUCUUUCUUUUUUAUGACCGACACUAAAGACUUGCAAAAACCAAAAAAAAAAACUCUCUGUUAACGAAAAAAUAACCCACGACAAGCAAUCAAGGAGCAACAAAUAUCACAUGACAAAUGCUCACAAAUGUCACUUAAGGUAAAGCGAACAAAAGAUGACUAAAAAUUAUAAAAGAACACUUUUCCAGAUUUCCUUGUUGGAUGAGUUUUGAGGAUGUAAGAGGCACAAAAAUGUGAGAGGAUGUCGUUUUUAAUGUCUAAUGGCGGUGAGAGUCUUUCAUGAAGACUCCAUGUAGCUCCUAUUGCGGGGUAAUGAAUGGACGCUUGCGGUCGCCAAAUCACACUCAAACUCAACUACGCUUAGGUUCGAGAUUUUCGCAAAGAGAGUUGAAUACUUUGAGCUUUUAGAAAAUCAAAUUAAUGCAAAGGAAAACUAAAGUUUCAAGAGAAGAAGUCGUCAUUCGCUGUGCAGGGAUGAAGAAAAUUUAUUAAGAAAAUUUCCGCAAACAAAAAUCGUCUACCCCAAAAUGAUUGAAAGAGCAAGUAUUUUUUCAAAACUUAAAGCUUCUAGGCUUAGCAUUUGGGCGGGAUUUUUUCCAGAAUAGAGUCAAGAGACCCGUUUGAAUUUGAACGUUGCGAUUUGGAUGGGCUUGGUCCUUCAUGUGAUUGACAAGAUUGUAUCACGAAAAUAGGGUAGCUAAACUCGGCUCUAUGAUUAAAGAAUAGUGGAGUUUGUUGAAAAGAGGAAAAGGAUAGAAAGUAGAGGAAGAGGCGGAGGUGAUCUGCUGCUACGCUUGCUACUGUAGGGUUUAAAAAGAAGUUUAGGCUGGUGCUAAAUUUUCUUUGUGGGCUGAUCUGAAAGUUCCGUUGGGCCAUAUUUUGGAGCGGAUUUGGGCUCGUUUUUCUGGCCAAUUUUGGGCUGAAUUGGAAGGUCUUUUCUCUUCUUUCUUUGUAUUAUUUUGGGCUUCUAACUUAAUAAUUAAUACAAUAUAUAUUAUGAUAUGAUAACAACUAAAAAUUUACAUGAUAAAAAUAUCGCUAAUAUAUAUACAAAAUAUUGACUUAUAAUUAACUUAAUAAGUACGAAACUAGAAAUAAGGUGACGACAAUUGAUUAUUUAAGAAAAGAGGUGUAAAAAGUGAUAAUAAUCAUUUCAACAAUAAAACCUAUAAUUUUAGUAGAUAAAUAGUCGUAAUAGUAAAAAUAGUUGUGAAAAAGUUCAUUUGAUACAUUAUUAAUUUAGAAGCUCGAAAAUGAUAAAUUAGAAGAAAGGAGGGUCAAAAUUGGGUGUCAACAACUUGUCCCUCUUUGACCAAAGAUGAUGUAAGAGUUUUUGGGCAAAGAAGUUGACGUAGAAGCCAAUUUUGUCCCGAACAACAAAUACGACCUUAGGAGAGCAUGAGACAAUAUGAGCAUGGGAUAACUGAUGAGGUAGAGGAUUUUGAGAACAACGUAGUCGCAAGCUUACAACAGUUUCCCCAAUAUUGAAUUAUGAUGUUACUAGGUAUUGUGAUCGAGAAGAGUAUUUGGGAGUGGAGUCGAGCAGAGUUCGAGGUGGACCUUUGAUCUUUGUUGGAAAGCUAAACUUUCCCAAAAAAUUGCCCCAGUUCACUGCUUAGAUAAGGUUCCACAUUGCAUUGUGUCCCUUGUUGCUGCAUGUAGAUUGUGCUUUCUGCCAAAUCUUUACAAAAUUGUUAGGAAAUUAUAUAAAGCUUGAAAUAUAUAUAAAAAAAACAUCUUAUGAAAAAUGUCAUAAGAAAGAUGCGUCAUUUCUGAAUUAAUAUUCAAGAUGCGAUUAAUAGAGUAUAUUGCAUUUUCUUGAAUCAUAAAUAAUUGCUUCAGAUUAUGCGGCUGCAAAGUCUCGUUAGUAAAAGAGACAUAUAUAUAUGUAACUUAAUUUUUCAAGAAAUUUAAAAUGCUUGCAGUGCAUAAUAAAAAUAAUUAAGACAUUGCGCAAUAUCUCCUUAGAGACUGCUAAGCUUUCAAGAAAUUUAAAAGAUAGCAUGCAUUGCUCAUAUGUAUAAAAUGAAUAAUUAAGGCAUUACAAGAUGUCUCAUUAGAGACUAAUAUGCUUUUCAAGAAAUUUAAAAGAUAGCAUGCAGUGCAUAUCUAUAUUUAAAAAUAAAUAAAUAAUUAGAGCAUUGCGAGAUGCCUCAUUAGACACAGAUGAGAUUAAAAUGUCUUAUUGGAGGGCAGACUAACCCAACAUGUCCUAUUUGAGGGCAGUUGAACUCGAUAUCUUCUAUUUUAGGGUGAAUGAACCCAAAGUAUCCUAUUUUAGGGUGGAAGGACCCAAUGUAUCCUAUUUUACGGUGGAAGAACCCAAUGUAUCCUAUUUUAGGGUGGAAGAACCCGAUAUAUCCUAUUUUAGGGUGGAAGAACCUGUUAUAUCCUAUUAGAGGGUGGAAGAACCCGAUAUAUCCUAUUUUAGGGUGGAAGAACCUGAUAUAUCUUAUUUUCAGGUGGAAGAACCCGAUAUAUCCUUUUAGAGGGCGGAAGAACCCGAUGUAUCCUAUUAGAGGGUGGAAAAACCCGAUAUAUCCUAUUGGAGGGUGGAAGAACCCGAUGUAUCCUAUUUGAGGGUCGAAGAAUCCAAUAUGUCCUAUUUUAGGGUGGACUAACCCAAUAUAUGGUAUUUGAGGGUGGUAGAACUCGAUAUAUCCUAUUAGAGGGUGGAAAACCCCAACAUAUCCUAUUAGAGGGUGGAAGAACCCGAUAUAUCCUAUUAGAGGGUGGAAAAAGCCAAUAUGCGGUGCAAACUUACAAAUAUAAAUUUUGGUGCAAUGCGAUGAGCUUGGUGCGAUUUCUUUGCGGUAACAAACAUUCAGAAUCUAGUAUGAAGAACUUGUUGCAGUGCCUUUGCAGUAUUGAAUAAUUAAGGUACGGUGCCUAGUGCAAUACUUCGCAAUAAUGCAUAUGUUGCCCAUAACUUAGGAGCUUCAAUUUCAAUGAAAGUUUGCUGCUUAUAAAUUCUGCACUCAAAGAAAAAUUAUGAAUUUCAAAUUUGAUUCUAGUUGAUGUUGCACCAUCUGAAUCUUGCAAAUUUUGUCUUGAUGUUGAGCCUUGUGGUGUUAUCAUUCAAGGAUAACAAAAAUUCAACCUCUACAUUACUCAAAGAAAACUUGUUAGUAUAAAAGAAAAUGGCCUUGCAUUGAACCAUGAAGCUUUUGCUUUGAAUCUGCAUUUCUUGUUGCUAUGGCAUUGAAGCGACUUGAUGAUGUGGAUAUGGCUUGUGAUCUCAACUUCUGCCUUUUCAAAUAAUUAUAGGCCAUCUAUAAAGUUGUCCCAGUCUUUUCUCUUGGGAGAGAAUGGAAUUUUAUUAUGUUGAGAUCGAACCCAGAAUAGGCGCCUACUUAUCCCGCUAUUAACAGGAAUCAGGUCAUACAUAGUUCAUUACAAAAGGGUAGAAAGGAUUGUAAAAGGGUAUAUAUUUCUUAAAAAGGAAAAGUUGCAGAGAUAAUGUCUUUGUUAGUCUUCUUGACUAGUUGCAUGCUUUCUUUUCAACUGCUUUGGUGCCAAUUUCAAUGGAUCACCCUUAACAACAAUUGUGCUUAUGAUAUUGCCAUUACUGGUUGAAGGAUAUAUUUGUAGCUUUAUCUUGCCACUUUCAAUCAUGCUUUGAAUCUUGAAUUUUAUGGCAGGACAACCUUCUGUAUCAUGUCCCUGAAUGUUCGAGUGGUAAGCACAAUUCUUGGUGGAUCAAAGUGUUUAGGUGUAUACUCAGGAAUGAAUCCUUUUCUUGAUUGCAGAUGCCCAUUUGCUCUCAAUCUCUCAAAUAGAUGCAUAUGGCUCAACCAAAGGAGUGAAGGAGAAAUGUUUCACCUUCUUCUGGUGGUCACAAGCUAGAUUGUGUUUGGUGCAACUGUUGUUUGCAAGGAUGGUGGAGACGUGCAUUGCAGUAGUUGGAAGUAGCAUGAGAUUGCAAAAAUUGAUCACUUGGAUAGCAUUGCAGCUGUUCCAUAGUCAUGAAAAUUGGGUUGUUUUCUCUCAUCAGAUUUACAAGUAUUUUCGCUUGGAAGGUUUGUUGGACAACUUUUGUUGCUGAGUUGCUUACAAUUCUUCCUCCUUGAAUAUUAUUUUCUAUAACAUCUCGCACCUAGAAACGACUAUAAAGAGUUUAAAAUAUGAAAAUAUUGAUUUUUGGAAAGAAUAAGGAAAGCUGAAAAUUUUGUCUAAGUUAAGAAAGUGAGUUUUGGCCAUUUUCAAACGGCCAUAACUCCUAGCUCAGGAUGAGUUAGGAGCAGAUCUUGAUAUGGUUGGAAAUCCCUUGUAGAGAUCUUUCCAACGCAGCCAAGUUUGUGCGAUUUUGACAACGUAUGAGUGAGUUAUGCCCUUCAGAAGUUGGGCUGUUGGAUUGAGGAAAGUCCAAAUCUGGAUUUAAGGAAGGGCAAACUAGUCUUUUCUCUAAUUAAUUUCCUAAUUUAUUUUUAGGGGUUUAUUGGGGUAAAAACAGAACUUAAUUCAGUUUUGGAAAUUAGAAUACGCUUAGGGCUUGGAGAAAAGAGAAAAGAAGAAAGGGAGAAAAGCCAAGAUUUCGCCAAGAACGUCAAGCGUUUGGAGUGGAAUUCGUCGGGCACGUCCCCUGUAAAAGUAUGUGAGAUCUUUUCGUGUUGGGUUAGUUCACCCACACACCACUUGUUUCAAUUCAGUGAUUUGGUGUUGUUUACUUGUUAAGAAGUGAAGUUCUUGAAGAACAUUGUUGAAUUCUUGUUGGUUGAUUGUGAUUGCCUAUUGUUGAUUUAACUCGUGUUUUCGGGUUGUUUUUCGAGUUAAAUCUAUUGGGUAUUGAGGGUACUAAUGUGUAACGACCCGAGAGCACCCCCUAGUCGUAACAUGGCGUACUCGACCCCGAAUGGAUCUCAUACAAGCCACAUAGUCAUUCAUUGCAUUCAAUAAUGAAAAUGGUGCAGAAGCAAAAACUAAUUUAAAACCCAAACAUUCAAACUUCAUUAAAACAACUUUAAAAAGACAUAGCGGAAGUCUAAGUCUCACAUGGCCAUCUUAGACACAAUCUCAAAACAUAAUUAGGGACACAACCCCUUACAAUCAAAACAAUAACUAAAAGUGUCCAUUACAUGAACAAAAGAAACUUAAAAGUCUUGUCCUCGAAUCCAUGAGGACAUACUAAGUCUUGGAGGAAGGCAAUCCAACACUUCAAACUAGCUAGGAGGAAUCACUUGCCGGAACCUACACUUGUAGUAAAAAUAUGAAGAAUAUGGAUUAGUACACAGAAAUGUACUAAGUAUGAUGACUAUGCAAAACAUGCCUAAAAAAGGACUUUUUGGUUAGAAACCAUGCAUUAUGCCACUUUUCGAAAUAUCAUGAACAAUUGCAUAAAAGACAUACAAGACAAGCCUAAUCAUCAUAUAAGUCACAAUACCACACUUUAACAAUAUCAACAUGAAAACCUUCACCUUUACCUUGGACCUUCACCUCAAGCAACCCUUAUGCUAUACCUUGUGCAAUGGAUGGAUAGCGUCCCAUACCACCAUCCAUACUAGUACCACAUUUAGGUCACCUAAAGUAAACUCAUCAUUCCUUUCUUUUCACCUUUGCACAAUAUUCAUACAAAAGCGAUAUAUCAUUUAAUAAGGUAUAACAAGGGAAAAUAAUUCAUAAUAUAACCCAAGUAUAGCAUGCAUAACAAAUUAAGCAUUUGAGAGCCAACAUUCUUUAAUAACCUUAUCUAGGGCACAUUCAUGUCACAGUCAUUAGGAUUUAGAGAAACUCACUAUGACCCUCUCCAAGCCUACUCGUGCAAUGUAUAGGUAGCAUCCCAUACUACUACCUACACUUCGUAGAACCUGUCAAGAAACCAUAAUGAAAUCUCACAUGAUGGGAAGUAAGCAUUAACCGACAUAGACCAUGAGAGCUUGUCAUGGAAUCCGGUGUCAUAAGUCCCCACACCGUAAAGAGGUGGUCUACUUGCCUAAGGAAGACCGGUAUAUAGCUUAAUGGAUCCACUAGCUACCUAUGCGGGCACAUAGUUUAUGGGAUAAGGUAGACGAUCAUUGAAACUCAUGCCUAACCAUUGGGGGAGUUUCCAUCUAACCAAAUCCGCUCGGUGCUUAGCCUACAUUCCCAUAGAAUAGUUCAUUACUUUGACAUCAUCACACAUGAAAGGGUGCCAUAAGCCUACCGAUUCAAGGUACAUUUAGGAAAGCUCAUUAACUCCACUUGAAAGGGUGCCAUGGGCCUGCCGAUUCAAGUCUCAUCAUUAACCUUUAUGGAAAGGUGCCAUAGGCCUACCGAAUCCAAGGUUCAUUACUUAUCAUUAAUGGAAGGGUGCCAUUAGCCUACCGAUCCAAGGAUUCAACAAUCAACAAUAUAAUCAUUUAUACAAGAAAAGGAUGCACAAGUUCUACCAAUUCGAGACAUACAAUAUAUAUUGAAGAAUCUUUCAUAUCCUAUCAUCAACAUUCAUGAGUGUCAAAUUGAGAAAAAACCUUUCAAUAAUAACACAUUUAUAGUCAUAACAUGAUCUCAUUAGCUCCAUUGAAUUCCCAUUCAUACAAUGUCAUGAUAACACUUCAAUUUCUCAUACUAUGCCUUCAAGGACAUGGUCACAAUGUACAUAACAAGUAAACACCUCCACCUUUCAAGUGGAUCAACCUCAAGUUAACAAUUCUAAUUCAACAAGUAGCUUCUCAUAUCUUUUCCUUCAAGGCCAUAAACUUCACAUACCAAUAUACCAACAAUACACCAUAAGGUAAGCAUGGUAAUGACAUACUUCAACAAUCUAAAGCCAUUUAAACAAGUUCUAUUCAUAUACCCCCACUUCAUAAAGGCACAAACUAGGAAUAGAGAGAAAUUAUGGGUUCAUAGAGUAUUUUCAUCUUAAAUCACCAAUACAACAACAAUAUAACAACAAGAUGCCAUUAGAAGCCUUUUAAAACCAUUUGGUGAAAGAACCCAUGAGAUUGAGUAAAACCCUAGGUUUUCAUAAACUUGAAAUCUUUAAAAGUUUACUUUUAAGUUGACUCUAGGGUGAAAGCUAACCCUAGAUGAAUGGUCACCAUACCUUUGUUAAGACUUCCUAAGAAAUUUAAUGAAGAAAUCCUUGAAUCCAAAACCCUAGCUCCCACUCCUUCUUCUACCUUGAGUUAGAGAGAAAUAUAGAGAGAGAGAACUUUGGGAUUUGAUUUGGGGAAAAAUAAUAAGUGAGUGACUUGUUUAAAAAACUUAAAACCUUAUAUAAUUAUCAUGUAAAUCAUUUAAAACAACCCCACAUAAUAAAACAAUUAAAAUGAAAUUACCAAAAACCCCCAACUUGAGGCUACCCGUCAGGGACCACGCCCAUCUAAACGGGUCGUGAGGGGCACCACGGCUCGUUGUGGUGCCCGUGAUCCUUGAGGUAGUGUGCCUCCCAUCCUUGCCAAGCCCUCCAAGACCAAGACAAGUCCACGGAAGCUCCCACGAUCCGUGGUUCACACCACGAGUCGUGGUGAAGCUCGUGGUCAUGGGGCAGCGCCUAGGCAAAGUUGCCUUGCCUCCCUUGAGCCUAAGUGAACUCCAAGUUCGCUUUCACGGACCGUCUAGGGCACUACGGCUCGUGGUGGUGCCCGUGAACUAAGGGACAGUAUCUCCCUCAACUUGCAACAUCUCCCACCAAGUUAAGGCAAACCCUACGAUCCUUCCCACGGCCCGUGGUCAUUACCACGAGUCGUGAAGUGGCUCGUGAAGGGGUGCCUUGGCUUGGCACCAAACUUGAGCAUGCUGCCUUGUCACCACGGGUCAUGAAGACCCUCGUGGUCUAGGGAGGCAGUAGUUAGGACUAGUUUUAGGUAGCCUAGGUUCCCAAACCAUGGCCUACACCUAAAACCCUUAGCACUUGCCCUUAACUCAUGACAUUAACCCCACAGUAAGGCUCUAGUUUAACCUAUCAUUUUCCGAGUCUUUACAUAAUGGUCCUAAGUGUUUGGGGAAAGAACCAUAGAAGUUUAGAGGGUUUUACAGAUGAAAAACGAAGGAGAAAAAUUGGAGUUUGCUGGGCAAGGGGUUGGGGCGCCGCGCCUCUCAGAGCGGUCCACUUCAGAGUCUGAAGUUUGGCCUCUGAGGCGACGCGCCAGCUAGAGCGCCACAACUUCACCUCUGAAGUUUGUGCUCUAGCACCCCACGCCUCUCAGAGCGCCAAGGACACCAGUGCACCCCAUCCCUCCCCCAUCUUUUCGUACUUGUUCCUAAGCGAUGUACCUAUGUUUUCUAAGUUGAUUCCAACACUCUAAGGUACAUUUAAAUAUAAUGAAAUCAUCCAUAAACAUGAGAUCAUGAACCUUGAAUCCAUAAUCCAAUUCAAAGGAAAGUUAAGAUCAAAGUCAAAGAAGUUAAGAGUCAAGUCUAGAAGUUAAGAAGCAAGUCAAAGAAAAGUUUCUUAAAGUUUUCAAAGAGUCUUUAACAAUGUUUUAAAUUCAUUUUAAGACUCAAGUUUUCAAGUUAAGGAAAGAGUAAAGAGUGGAGUUCAUUCCUCCAAAAAGCUAUUAGGGAACUAAGUAUUCCCAAAGAAGUUUAUAAAUAUUUUCACAUUGAGCAAGAAAGGGGAACAUCGAUUUCAAGAGAGCUUUUAAGCUAAGUUUUGAGCAAUUACCUCAAUUCAAAGAAAGAGUUUUGUUUUUACAAACAUACGAGUUAAGUAUAUUUUUGGAGUAGUAUUGAGCACCGAUACGCGGAUGCGAGUUCAUAUUAGCUCAAGUCUCCAUAAACCAUGUAGUCAUCAUGGGUAGUAAAGGAUCAUACUUUUAGAUGACACCUUAAGAUGCUUUUAGCAUAGACUAGUGGAUCCACUAAGUUAAACGUUCUAUAUGACGGCAAAGUAUAGGAAAGUUCUGGCAGCGUGGGCAAGACGUUAUAUCACCACUUAGGCUCAUAGUGGUGGUUGUCGGUUAGAUAGUCUCCCACAAAAGUUAUAUUACUUUAUAUAUAUAUAUAUNNNNNNAUUCCUUCUUACUCUUUUCAAGAUUAAGUUGUUGUUUAGCAUUCCAACUCGCAUACUCGUACAUUCAAUGUACUGAUGCCAGUUGGCUUGCAUCGUCUUAUGAUGCAGACGCAGGUAACCAGGAUUAGCAUCCAGCACCUCGUUGAUCCAGUUGAACACUCAGAGUCAGUGGUGAGCCUCUUUGCAUUCCAGAGGACUCUUUUAUUCGCUUUCUAGUUUAGUUUAUUAGGAUGCUGAGGGGUUUUGUCUCAACAUCCAUCUCAGUUGUUUAGAGGCUUCAUAGACAGUUAGUAGUUCAAUUGUCUUUACAUUAUCAUUCAGAUGUUGUUUGAAGACUGAGUUGUCAUUUUGGCUAAACUAUUAUUUCUUAAGUUGUGUAUGAGUUAUAUUUUCUUAUGUUUAAGUCUUCCGCUGAGUUAAGUAAGCUAGGACAAGGGUUCGCUUGAGGCCAGCAAUGGCCUUCGAGUGCCAGCCACGUCCAGGAUGUAGGCUCGGGUCGUGACAUUUUCAAUCUCUUUGCCAACCUUAAUCAAAUAAGAGAAGUUGUGUGCACAAGUUCCAAGCAGCUUUUCAUAAUAUAGCCCUUCUUGAACAUGGAUGAAGGUUGAGAUGAAUUCCUCUUCGGAUAAUGAAGGAUGCAUUUUUGAAGCUUCUAACCUCCAUCGUAUGGCAUAUUCUUGAAAAGAUUCAUGCGACAAUUUCUUCAGUUUGAGUAAAUUGGCUAUAUGCAAUUCAUCUCCAUUAUUGAACUCAUAUUGCUUUACACAGUUACGGGCCAUAUCUUUCCAUGUAUGCCAUUUGCUAAAAUCUUGCUUAGUGUACCAAGCAACUGCCAAUCCUGAUAAACUUUGAAUGAAUAAUCUCAUUCGUAUGGCUUCAACAUGCCCAAUACUAGCUAAUCUGCUGCAAUAGUCCUUUAAGUGAGCGACGGGAUUUCCUUUCCCGUUGUAAGUGUUGAGCUUAGGUAGCGUGUACCUUGGUGGAAGUUCAACAUUUGGAUGCACACAUAAAUUCUCAUACUUUAAACUCUGACAAUUCCUUGAGCGUAACUAUUCAUCAAAGGCUUCUCUCAGAUUGUGGAGUUCUUUUCCCAAAUCUUCAUGGAAAAUUGACUGAUUAUCCUUCUCACGUCUAGAAUAUAGAUGAGCUGCUAAUUGGUUAUGCUUGUUUUCUUUGCAGGGAAAUAAAAUUGUGGGAGGAUGGAUAUUUGGCGUCAUAGUGACUUGAAAGUUAUUGGGAUUGAUAGUGUAUAUUGAGGGCAUUUGUGGAGAGAUUAUAUAGGUAGAAGUUAGGCGAGGAGAUAUGGUUAAACAAAUAUUCUGAGUUGAGCUGGAAGCUUUAGUAGUGAUAGGAAGAAGGCUAAAUGUAGUUUCCAAAUUGAUCAAAUUGUUUCUUCGAGCCACAUUCUUCUCACAAUCAUCAUUUUGUUCUUGCACAAAUAUCAUGCCAUUGUUGAAUGCUUUCAAUUUCUCUGCCAUUAUAAUUUCGUCCUUAAUGCAGAUUCGCCGCCAAAAUAGAGUUCAAUGUUAGGCAACCUCUAAAGAAGAAACAAAACUAUAAAAACAAAAAUAAAUUAUUAGUGCAUGAGAAUAUAUGAAAUAAAUGCAUAAAUAAUAAAUAUUAGAUAAAAUAGACUAUGCAUGUGAUUUUGUAAAAUAAGAAUUUUAGACUGGAGGCAAAGAUUUAAGUCUAAGGCGAGUGGACGAGAGAGACGUAUUGGCUAAUAGGCUCUAACGCUAAAAUGGAAGGAAAGAGAAUUUGAUUUGGAGAAAGGUUUACAUAUGUCGAGCAUCAAAUUCUUUCUUCAACUUGAUCCCUAUCCUUUGCAAAUUUUGGCAUGCUUCCAAAAAUUAUCUCAAUUGCAUGUCAAAAAUUAUGCCCCAGCUUCAUUCCCCUUCUCAUAGAAAUACUAAAAUUUUAUAAUAAACCGAUCGGGCCUUAUAUAGGCUGCCUACGUAUCCACCAAGGAAAUCAGGUCGAACGUAGUUCCAAUUACAAGAAAGAGAUACACUAAAAUUUCUAAAUAAAUAUGACCGAGUCCUUAUAUGGGUUGCCUACGUAUCCACCAAGGAAAUCAGGUCAAGCGUAGUUUGCCUUACAUAAAAAGAAAUUUAAAACAUACAAAUAAUUGAUCAUUUAGGCUCUCAAAAAUACAUAAUUGUUUUCAAAAGAUGAUACACAAAAACUAAUUGUCUUGCUUUAUGCCUCUUAAAAGUCAUUUUUUGAGAAAGCCCUCAUACGCCUAAUGGUUGUUCUGAAUGAAACCAUUCUUGGUACUUCGCUCGGCUAUAUCAUAAGUGCAUGCAGUAGAUACCUGAAACGGUAAAUUUGGUGCAAUAAUCCUUGGUACAACAGUUGCUUGACUGUGAGAAGGAAUUUGACUGAUAGAUUGUGGAUAAAUCGCUCAAUUAUGACUUGACAUCGGCAUGACGGUCGAGAGUUGAUGCCAAACAAACUUAGGGUGAGCUACCCGUCGUUGAAUGAUCGUGCCACUAUCCAAUAGACUUUGGAUCUCUUCUUUUAAUCACCGGCACUCAUCAGUAGUGUGACCUAACAUGCCUGGAAAGCACCUUGUUUGGCUGGGUUAAAAGGAUGCAAAGGAAUUUCACGAGGCUUUGGUUGCAAAAUUCCUAAUGAUCUCAACUUUUCGAAUAUAAAUGAAAUUAGUUCACUCAAAGGGAUGAAAGUUUGAGCUUUUCUCGCUUCAGGCACUAGUGGAGAAACAUUUGGUGCUUCAGUGACAAUUGUCUUCCCUUUAUCCCUAGAUUGUAGCUCAUUCGAACAAUAAUGCCCCAAAGUUUAUUUUGCUACUUUGUUUUGAGAUUCAUGUCCUUUCAUUCCCUCAGGAGACUCUAUAGACUUCCUUUUCAACAAACCACACCCUUUAGAUGCGCUAUUAGGAGGCCUAUAUUGCUUAAUAAAAUCUUUGGUCAAAUCGACCCAAGAGAGCCAUUUCCUUGUGUCUUGGUUUGCAUACCACAUCAAGGCUGGCCCUGUAAGCGUCCUAAUAAAAAGUAUAAUAUUAAACUCAUUGCCUUUCCCUAUGCUUGCUAACCAAUCAAGAUAUGCCUUUAUAUGGUUCUGGGGAAGACCUGUCCUAUCAUACAUUAGAAUAUCAACAAGGUUAUAAUGUGUGUCGUUCUCAUUUUCCUUCUCAACCAAAUUUGUCCCAAGUUGUGGAGCAAGCUCAUUUGUGAAGAAAAUUUGGUUAGACUCGGCAUUAAAAUGUCUUUGAUCAUUUUCUCCAUCUUUGCUAGUUUCACUUGAAUCGUCAAAUGCCUCAUUUUGUGGAAGUGGAUGCAUGUCUAAAAAGUGUUGAGUAUUACAAUCAAAGUUGGGAUAUCCAGUUGCACGAAUAGGAGAGUAUCCCUCUAGAUCUUCAUCGGAGGAGUCCCUAAAGUUGUAAUCCAAUGAAUUUUCAUUGGAAGAGUUCUUAAGAUCGGCUAUCAUUUCCUUGAUGCCAUCAAUUUCUUGUUCCAUUUUUGCCACUUUUCCCUCAAGCUUAGCAAUUUUAUCCCGCUAUGACUCGGCUUCUUCACAGUUAAACUCGUCUUUAACUAAGUCAAUCACAAUUCGAUCGGCCAUGUUUUCCUUGAGUUUGUUUGUCCCUUUGAUAUUCAACUUAAGUCAACCUUUGAAAGGAAAAAUGAAAUAUUUGGUAAGCGUGGAGUAAGUAUGCGAAAGGUCAAGAGUAGGGCCGCUUGAUCACUCCAUCUACUUUUAAAGUAUACGACUUAGCCAUUCAUUGCGUCUUGAGCCACACCGUCCUCUAGCCCUGCCGAGCAUUUAAAAACCAACGAGAUCUGGUCCUAUAAGGAAUACUAUUUAAGAAAAUAAACAAAUAAUAAUAAACCAAUUUGAUGGAAAAAACUCGAGAUUAAGGAAAUUAUGGUUAAUCGAGCACACGAGAGAUGGAAUUGGAAGGUUGAAUGACCUUAAACUCUAUUUUAGUAUUUGGGGAUUAAAAAUUGUCAAGGAUGAAGAAAAUGUCAAACAAAUGAAAAACCUUUGACAUUUCUCUCGACUUGCGUGCCGAUACUUGGAAUUAGUGCGUAAAAAUAAAUAUUGACAACCCCUAAUAAAAAUAGCACGGCUAUUUUGAAUUGAAGAAGUGUUGCUCUUGAUGGAGAAAAUUGAACAAAUAUCAACAAGUGCUAUUUGGUAGAUCGCGCGAAUCUACCAAUUUAAGAAGCAACAAAUAUGUGAAAAAUGAAAGAAAUUGAAAGUAAAAGUAAAAGCUCCAUACGUAGAUCGAAUGCCAAAUGGAUUCUACGAAAUGCGGAACUAGUGAAAAAAAAGGCUUUUCUCGAUAGAAAGCUAAGAUUGUACCCGUAAAGGAGGGACUUGAAAAAGGUCGAGAAGGUAAAGAUUUAUAAGAGUGAAUUUUGGCAUGGCUCUAUAAAGUUUUAACGGGAAAAAAAUAUCACACCUAAUGAAUGAUAAACAAUUAUGCCAAUUUUUUAAAAAGUAAGAAGAAAAUUUUUAAAGCAAGUCGCGGAUACGAAUAUUGAGAGGAUCGGAGGAAGGAAAAUAGUUUUUAAAUUUUAAAGCAAGAAAGUGAUUUUUUUUGUAAGAUAUAAACCUAAGAAAAUUUUAAAACAAGGUCAAUAAAAAAAAUUACGCAAUCCUAUGAUGAUUAUGAGCCUAAUUGAUGCUUUAGAAUUGUAAAAAUGCACUAAGCACGAAAGAUAAAUAUAAAAAGAAAAGAUAUAUGAACAUGACAUAAGAAUUUGUAAAAAUGCAACAUGUAUCAAUUAAAGAAUAAGAUGAAGGCAAGAUAAUUUCUCUUCUGAAAAGAUAAGAAAAAAAAAACAAAGAUGAUGUUAGUAAUAAUAAAUUAAAAUCAUGGUGCAAAUGAAUUCAUAUAAGUCACAAAACAAUUAGGCAAGCAAAUAUUUAUAAAGCAUGUAACACAAAUAUAUCAAAUAAUGCGUCCUAACAUAUGGGUGGCCUCUUUAUGCCAGAGGUAGGCCUAACGCGUAUUUGAAAAAUAAAUGUGCCAAAAUAUGUCAUUCCAUUGCUCUUUAAUUAAUUAAACGAAUCUAUUCCCAAAAUUAGAUACAAAAAUAGCCUUAAGCUUUAUUACAUAUCAAGAAAAUUAAAAAUAAAGCUCUAUGUCGCUUCUACGCAUCUUCGUCUUAUGACAUGCUUGUGGUUUAAUCUCCACAGGCCAAAAAUUGACUUCAUAGUCAUCUGCAUCACAAAAGGGUUAGUAAUAUCCUCCCUCCUAAAGUUUAAUUAAUUUAGAACAAAUGGUCCAUAUUUUGGCACAACUAUUAUUCAAAUGAUGUACACAUAAAUGAUACGAGUCACUCGGGGUCGUGAACCCACUUCGACAGUUUGAUAAAGUUGACUAAUGAACUUAAUACACCAAGGAUAUUAAGCCUCUUAGGUUUAUAUGAUGCAUGUACCGCAAAAGGUAUUGAUUUAGCUCUAUCCUGGGUUGAUUAAGAGUGGGUUUACUAGACACAACGCUCCCGAGUGGACAACUCGAGUGAGAAGGCUACGCGUUCACACAGAAAAAGAUCCGGACACCCCGCGCAUAUGCCAACUCUCCUAAAUUUUGGAAUUUUGAAAGAAAUUUGAGGGUGCGCAAAACACACCUCGCGUGUACGUGUGAUAGUGUGAGUUUUCCAUAAUUUGAGGAAUUAUGAACGGAAUAACAGUUUAUAUGAAGCAGUAACAAGUAAACAAUUUAUAUAAAACAGUAACAAAUAAGCAGUUUAUAUCACAUAAACAUGAUAAGUAAAGCAUUUAGACAUUUAAAAUAAAUAAAAAACAACAAAAUUGAAACAAGUAAAAGUUAAAAACUUAAUUAUUAACCAAGGUUUGUCAUGGUUUAGAACCUAAAGUUCCCAGUAAAGUCGCCAAGCUGUUAUACCACAUUUUAACUCAAGGUCAAAAUGUGUACAACAUAUUGGUGAUUUCCAAAUUAUUCACAAACUUGAGAAGUCGCCACCUAAUUAUUAUGGUGAAUUAGGGCACCUAUAACGAUUAAAGUCUAUCGUCUAAAGUUAACUUCAUUUUAAGGUAUGCUAAACAUGAGAUUCUAGGUAAGAGUUGUAGUUAUCCUAAAGGGAAGGGGUAAGUCAUCUUUUAAGAUUCGUUAAAGACGGUUACCGGUCAAACUUAGGUUAAUUAAUUAAACUAAAAAUUAGUGCUAAAGAAUUUGAAAAAAUCAUAAGUUGGAAAACAUUUUAACAUUAAAAAAAAACUCUUUAAUAUUUUGAAAGAAUUAACUUGCAUUUCUUUUUUGAAAACAAUAGAUAAUCACUUGUUAAGAAUGACAGUUGUUUGUACAAAACUUGGUACCAAAAUGUAUACUAAAGAAAUAUGUAUGUACAUGAAGUUAAUCUGCAUGCCUUUAAAAAGCAUUGUUUACACCUUGAAAUCGAUAACAUAUUCUACACUUGAAAGACUCUUUCGAAUUUAAAAAAAACGGCAAAGCUUUAGUAAAACAAAAUCAUUUGUUUAAAGUAACUUUUUUUUAUCCAAAAUUUAUUGCUAAAGAUCUGAAAAUAAUAAUGAUAAAAAUAUUUGUUUUUCGCAGAAACAUUCUAAGGACUUAAAAACUCCUUUAAGACAUUUGUUGUCAAAAAAAAAUGGGAUAAAGGUCUGAAUAAUACCUCAACUUUGGUCGGAUUUGCUGUUGCGAUACUAAACUUUCAUGAGUAUCUAUUACCUCCCUAGACAAUUUAAUACCGUAUUUUAAACAUAUAUAUUUGCCCACAUGGACAUAAAAAAUAAUGUAAAAUUAUAAAUAGUAAUGUAUCCACGUGGGCACAUAUAUACCUUUAAAAUAACUAUUAAAUAGUUCAGGGGGUAAAAAAUACAGUAUUAAAUAGUCUAGGGAGGUAAUAGGUCCUUAUGAAAGUUUAGUAGCGCAAGAGCAAAUCCUACCAAAGUUGGGAUAUUUUUUAGACCCUUAUCCCAAAAAAAAAUCAAUGGAAAGCUUACCAAUUUUCAAACAAAGAAAAACUUAAAAGCCUAAUGGGGACAUUUGACAUCCUUAAAAGUUCUUUCUUUUUUAUGACCGACAUUAAAGACUUGCAAAAACUUUUUUAAAAAAACUCUCUGUUAACUAAAAAAUAACCCACGACAAGCAAUCAAGGAGCAACAAAUAUCACGUGACAAAUGCUCACAAAUGUCACUUAAGGAAAAGCGUAACAAAAGAUGACUAAAAAUUAUAAAAGAACAUUUUUCCAAAUUUCCUUGCUGGAUGAGUUUUGAGGAUGUGAGAGGCACAAAAAUAAGAGAGUAUGCCAUUUUUAAUGUCUAAUGGCAGCAAGAGACUAUACGGCGGUGAGAGUCUUUCACGAAGACUCCAUUUAGCUCCUAUUGUGAGGUAAUGAACGGAGGCUUGCGGUCUCCAAAUCACACUCAAACUCAACUACGCUUAGGUUUGAGAUUUUCGCAAAGAGAGUUGAAUACUUUGAGCUUUUAGAAAAUCAAACUAAUGCAAAGGAAAACUAAAGUUUCAAGAGAAGAAGUCGUCAUUCGAUGUGUAGGGAUGAAGAAAAUUUAUUAAGGAAAUCUCAGCAAACAAAAAUCGGCUUCCCCAAAAUGAAUGAAAGAGCAAGUAUUUAUUCAAAACUUAAAGCUUCUAGGCUUAGCAUUUGGGCAGGAUUUUUUCCAAAAUCAAGUCAAAACCCAUUUGAAUUUGAACAUUGCGAUUUGGAUGGGCUUGGUCCUUCACGUGAUUGACAAGAUUAUGUCACGAAAAUAGGGUAGCUAAACUCUGCUCUAUGAUUAAAGAAUAGUGGAGUUUGUUGAAAAGAGGAAAAAGACAGAAAGUAGAGGAAGAGGCGUAGGUGAUCUGAUGUUGCGCCUGCAGUUGUAGGGUUUAAAAAGAAGUUUGGGCUGGUGUUAAAUUUUCUUUGUGGGCUGAUCUGAAAGUUCCAUUGUGCCAUAUUUUGGAGCGGAUUUGGGCUCGUUUUGCUGGCCAAUUUUGGGUUGAAUUUGAAGGUCUUUUCUCUUCUUUCUUUGUAUUAUGUUGGGCUUCUAACUUAAUAAUUAAUACAAUAUAUAUUUUGAUAUGAUAACAACUAGAAAUUUACAUGAUAAAAAUAUCGCUAAUAUAUAUACAAAAUAUAUGACUUAUAAUUAAUUUAAUAAAUACGAAAUUAGAAAUAAGAUGACGACAAUUGAUUAUUUAAGAAAAGAGGUGUAAAAAGUGAUAAUAAUCAUUUCAAUAAUAAAACCUAUAAUUUUAGUAGAUAAAUAGUCGUAAUAGUAAAAAUAGUUGUGAAAAAAGAUAAUUUGAUACAUUAUUAAUUUAGAAGCUCGAAAAUAAUAAAUUAGAAGAAAGGAGGUCAAAAUUGGGUGUCUACAGCUGCCUUAUCGGAGGUUCAGAAAUUGGUCUACCUGGCCAUCCCUAAUCUCUCAAGGCAAAUAAUGAUCUAUGAAAGCUUCUGUAAAGCUAUCCCAAGUGGGUAGAGAUGUAUAUUUUCCCCUAGAUCUCUCCCAACUUUCGUACCACAAUACUACAACAUCACGCAAUCGAAAUGCUGCUAACUCAACUGACUCAGUCGCUGAGGCAUGCAGGACUCUAAAGAUCUGAUGAUGUUGAUCAACAAAGUGCUGAGGGUCCUCUAUGUGAUAUGUUCAUGUAAAUUGUGGAGGAUUCAAGGUAAGAAAUCCAUGAACUCUUGAACUUUCGAACCGUUUAGAAGGUCUGGCAACAUCUGGCGCAACUGGCUGGCGCUGUGCAGCUACUAACUGUGCUAACAUACAUAUUGCACUCUUGAAAUACUGGUCAGAUGGAAUAGGAGGAACUAGAUGUGGUACUGCUGGUAGAUUCGGAGGUCUUGUAGCCCUCGGAGGUUCCUGAAACGGUGGAGAAGCUAUAGGAGGCUGAGAAGAUGUCUCCCCCUGGGUCUCACAAUGGGAUACCUCCACCUGCGAUACCUUGCCAGUACCCUCGCCUGCAGCUGUAUCUAGCCACUGGCUAGUUGUGGUCUGUCUAGUGUCAGCCAUCUCUAUCUGCAUACAAAUAUCAAUUAUAAGCCAGAAACCUCAACCCUUAAGACACCGUUCUAUAGCACGAGUUGAGCAAAAGAAUUAUAGUAAUUCUAACAUGCCCGGUAGCUUCUUGCUUAUCGAAUGUGGUGCACAACACAUUUAUAAACAAGACUCUAGUAGACACAGCCUACAGACUCCCUAGGAUACAACAUUGUUCUGAUACAAAGUUUUUCACGCCCCAAAAUCAAGGGGCGCAACUAGCUCCUAAGGCCAGAACUCAGGCCCAAGCCAACCCUGCUAAACCAUUUGCUACUAGCGCAUGGCAACCACACGCAAUCAAGAAACAAACAAGUAUAUCUCGGAUUAAAACUAAGCCCUCAGCCAGGAAGGCCUCUGUCAACAUAUCUAUAGAAGAAACAUUUACACUCAAGAGUUCAUAUAAAGAAAAACCCAACUAGCACAUAAGUACUGAUUGGGCCGUCAGGGCCACCAUGAUCUCUAUACCAAAACUGAAAGCAGGUAUAUAUCAAGACAAUACAACAAAUAGCUCACAAGUUUUAGCAAACAAACAAACUAGGCCAGCAUGGCCAUAACAUAGCUAUACACCCCACACACUAGUCUGCAAGCCUCUAAGAGUAGUAAAGAUUAGUGGGACAAGGCCCCAGCCUACCCAUAAAAUAUAUACAACAAAAGCUAACAAACCUCCCAACUCUGGCAGCUUCGGAGGAAAGGGGCUAGCCAACCAGAUAGAAGUUAAUCCUGCUGUUGAGGAGGUCUACUGGGUCAUCUGUCGGGACCCGCAUACAUGAAUUCAGCACUCCUAGGCAAUGAGGCGUCAAUACAAAAUAAUGUACAGAGUAUGAAAGUUUAUACACUAAAUGAGCAAGUAUAUACCAAAAGCAAUCAGCUAAGGAAAUCAAAAUUUAGAUAAGCAUGCUAACCUACUACUAAAUCUAAAAAAAUACAAAAAUGAUCAAACAACAACCUAACCAAACCCCCAUAAGCUCGGUAGGUACAAACAACAUGCCACCUACCUACGCCCCCAUAAGCCCAGAAGGUGACAAAUCAAUUUACAUAACCUUAUCGGUAGCCCCUUGUCUUUGUAAGAAGUCACAUAGCCCUUUUUGGCAAUGAUAUAUCCCCGUAGGCAGUGCAUGGCCCUCUUAGACAACAUCAUAGCUCUGUGGGCUACACAUAGCCCUUUUUUGCAUCAACAUUGCCCUGUAGGCAACACAUAGCCCUCUUUGGCGUCAAAAUAGCCCCGUAGGCAAUACAUAACACUCUUUGGCAUCAAUAUAUCCCCGUGGGAAACACAUAGCCCUCUUAGGCAAUAACAUAGUCCUAUUAGACAACAUCAUAGCCCCCAUAGGCAGUUUAUAGCUCAACCGCUAACCACAAUAGCCCCAAGGGCGACAACAAACAUUUGAAUAAGCUAAAGGCGAGCAAUUUAGUUAUAAAAAAUAAUAUAUAUAUAUAUAUAGUUUCCAAGUCGUUCCAAACUUAGGGUCGUUCUUAACAGAUUAUGAGUCCAUAUAAUGAGGGUUUAUAACCACUCAAUCAGCCAACCACUCACAAUUACAUCUACAAGAUUGCCAACAUUAACUAUCCUACUUUAUCACUCCCAGGCACUAAGGAAACAUGUCGAACGAAGGGAAUAGCCUUAACAUACCUUUUCCUUUAUAAUUUAAACUGAAAAUACCUCUGUCUGCACCACUACAACACUAAAGAAAAAGGUAAAAUCAAUCAGUAAUUAAGGAUAAAAAUUAUUACGACAAUUCGGCAAUCGAUACGGAUUCCUAUCAUAAAUUACUAUCCAAUACCUAAGGUAUCCGUAAAGUGCUAAAAAGAUGGUUCCUACCUUUCUUUACACACCCAAAACACUUGAAUAAAUCAAAAUACUAAAAAAAAGCCUGCUGCCACAACCUCCACGGAGCUACAUCGCUCAAUUCACCGUGAAAAUUAUACCAAAACGACGAGCUCGCGACGUAGGGCAAUUUUUUAUAAGGGCCAAGAAGAGAUCAUGAACACAAAAGGAUGAUUUCAUGAGUAUUUCACUAAUUUUCGUGGGAUUCUUACGAGUUGGAAUGAAGAAAAAUGAAGUUAUUAUCUUAUAAGCUUCCACCGACUUAGGGGACCCACCUCACAUGAUUGCUUUUGCAGUCUCGCGAAAAUGUAAACAUCUCUCUAUUCUAAAGUUGUAUGAACAAAUAGUUUGAUGCGUUGGAAACUAGACUCGUAGACCUUCGAUUCGAUAGGUCGUGGACCCCAUAACUCUUUAUAGAUUUGGAGAAAACCUCUGAGACAUUUGACACAAAUUUCGGAGAAAUAUUUAAAAAGGAACUUGCGAUAACUUUUGCCAACUUUUAUUUUGCGACUUACCUAACUUCAAAACAUGAUAUAAAACCCUUGAACACUUAAAAUAGGACAUAUCACAAUAUUUUUAAUUUAUUUCUCACCCUCUUUGUGUUUCCACGGAGGUACGAGUUAACUUAGACGUUUCAAAAAGUCAGGGUGUUACACUAGGGUUGUUAGAAUUGUUUGUAAUCCGGGUAAUUAGUGAUUAUUUAUGGAUGUCCGUGUUAUUAUGAUUGUUUGUAGACCAAGAACAAACGGAACGAAUCCAGAAAGGGAAGGAUCAAGUUUCUUAGGGUGUCAAACUUUUUUCGAGGUAGGUGAUGGUUGUAAUUUUAUGAUUGUGUGAUGUAUGUUUGUUCUUGUUUCAUUAUGAUACUUGCAUGUAUGCGAAUGUUGCAUUAUGGAUCACACUUGUUGUAAAUGAGAACCCUUAUGCGCAUCAUGAAGAGAUAGAGUAGAAUGUUGAUGUUGAGAAUAUUGAGGAUGUGGGACAAGAGAAACAUGUGCAUGCUGAGACUACCGAUGUUCCUCCCAUAGACCUAGUGUUAGCUCGACAGAUCAUGUCAUUCUUGAAAGGGUUGGUUAGUCCUGGAGUACUUCCUGCAGUUCAAGCAACUCAAGCUCCCGUUAAUCCCCCUAUUGCUAGCACUGCGCCCAAGACCGGUGGAAUGGGAGGUAAUGAUGCUUUCUUCCGUCCUUUGUUGGGUUCUAUUAUGACUGGUAAUGAGCAUGAAAUGUUGACUAAGUUUUUGAAGUUAAAGCCUCCUUUGUUUCUUGGUUCUGAGAAUGAGGAUGCUUAUGAUUUUAUCUUAGAUUGCUAUGAGAGGCUUUAUAAGUUGGGAAUUGUCCAUCAGCAUGGGGCUGAGUUUGUGUCCUUUCAACUUCAAGGUGAGACUAAGCAGUGGUGGAGAGCUUAUGUGGAAUGCAGAUCUUCUACUUUACCUCCACUUACUUGGACCCAAUUUCAUGCUCUGUUUUUGGAGAAAUAUGUGCCUAGGACUUUGAGAGAACACAAGAAGGAUGAGUUCAUGGAUUUGGAGCAAGGUGGUAUGACUGUGGUUGCUUAUGAGGCCAAGUUUCAUGCUUUGUCUAGAUAUGCUACUCAAUUGGUGACUACUGAGGAAGAGAGAAUUCGGUUAUUUAUUAGGGGACUAAAUUAUGAGUUGCAAAUAUUAUCUAUUCAUAUGACUUCUGCAGAGAGGAGCUUCAAUGAGGUAACAGACUGUGUUAAGAAAUUGGAGGGGGUGAGGCAAGACGAUCACUCUAAGGCAUUGGCAAAAAGGGCCAAGAAUUCAAGCAACUUUCAAGGUCUUAUUCCAGAAGUUCAAGGAGGCCAACGCUGACAGCCAAGCCAAUUCAGUCUGCUAUGCCCGCUUCUACGGGUAAUUUCUUGGGAAAUCCACCUUAUAAUUCAAUUUAGGAUAGCUAGGGAGUUGCACCUUCGACGGGCAGGCCAUCUUUUGAUCGUACAUGUUACAAUUGUGGUGAACCUGGGCAUAUGAGUAGAGAUUGGCUCCACCCAAAUGUGUUAGAUUCCGCGCAGCAGCAGUCUAGAGCAGUGGUACCCACAGGGAAUGGUAAUAAUGGUCGAGGGCAUCCACAAGGUGAGCGAGGAAGUAAUCAGUGAGGCCAUAGAGGUAGAGAAAAUGGUAAUGCAGACAAGGGUAACGUGCAACCAGGCAGGGAAGUGGCUCGUCAAGAUGAUAGGGCUCAAUGUUAUGCACUUCCGGGCAAGAAUGAGGUAGAGGCAUCUGACAUAGUGAUCGCAGGUACUAUUCUUGUCUGUGACCGGAUGGCUAAUGUGUUAUUUGAUCCGAGUUCUACUUAUUCUUAUGUAUCCGUGCAAUUUGCCUCAAGGUUUGAUAUAAUUUGUGAUAUGCUUGAUGCCCCUGUCCAUGUUUCUACCCCAGUUGGAGAGUCAGUCAUAGUUACUCAUGUCUAUCGUGCUUAUCCUAUUAUGUUUAUGGGUUUUUAGACUUGGGUUGAUUUGGUGAUUCUGGAUAUGACUGAUUUUGAUAUAAUCUUAGGCAUGACUUGGUUGUCCCUCUAUUAUGAUGUGCUUAAUUGUAAUACUACGUCUGUAACUCUAGAAAUUUUAGGAAGGGAAAAAAUAGAGUGGGAAGGGGUGUACAAGCCUAAGCAAGAUAAGAUCAUAUCCUCCAUUCGGGCAAGGAAAUUGAUAGGGCAGGUUGUUUGGCUUUUUUGGCUCAUAUUAGGGAUGUUGAAAUUCAGGCUCCAUCCAUUGAGUCUAUUCUUGUGGUGUCAGAAUUUAGAGAAGUGUUUCUUAAUGACUUACCUAGUAUGCCUCCGGAUAGGGAUAUAAACUUUUGCAUUGAUUUAGAACCUGGUACUCAUCCCAUUUCCAUCCCUCCAUAUCGCAUGGCUCCAGCAAAAUUAAGAGAGCUUAAGGCUUAAAUCCAAGAGCUUCUUGAUAAGGGAUUUAUUCGUCCUAGUACUUCCCCAUGGGGUGCUCCAGUUUUGUUUGAUAAGAAAAAAUAUGGUAGUAUGAGAAUGUGUAUAGAUUACCAGUAAUUGAAUAGGGUCACUAUUCGAAACAAGUAUCCUUUGCCUCUAAUAGAUGAUCUUUUUGACUAAUUGCAAGGUGCAUCAUUUUUCUCCAUGAUUGAUCUAAGGUCUGACUACCAUCAAUUAAAAAUUAUGCCUAAGGAUGUGCCAAAGACAGCGUUUAGGACUCGCUAUGGGCACUAUGAGCUUUUAGUUAUGUCUUUUGGUUUGACCAAUGCGCCUNNNNNNNNNNNNNNNNNNNNNNNNNNNNNNNNNNNNNNNNNNNNNNNNNNNNNNNNNNNNNNNNNNNNNNNNNNNNNNNNNNNNNNNNNNNNNNNNNNNNNNNNNNNNNNNNNNNNNNNNNNNNNNNNNNNNNNNNNNNNNNNNNNNNNNNNNNNNNNNNNNNNNNNNNNNNNNNNNNNNNNNNNNNNNNNNNNNNNNNNNNNNNNNNNNNNNNNNNNNNNNNNNNNNNNNNNNNNNNNNNNNNNNNNNNNNGCAUGGCUCCGGUAGAAUUAAGAGAGCUUAAGGCUCAAAUCCAAGAGCUUCUUGAUAAGGGAUUUAUUCGUCAUACUGCUUCUCCAUGGGGUGCUCCAGUUUUGUUUGUUAAGAAGAAGGAUGGUAGUAUGAGGAUGUGUAUAUACAACCGACAAUUGAAUAGGGUCACUAUUCGAAACAAGUAUACCUUGCCUCGAAUAGAUGAUCUUUCUGACCAAUUUCAAGGUGCAUCAGUUUUCUCCAAGAGAUCUAAGGUCUGGCUACCAUCAGUUGAAAAUUAGGCCUGAGGAUGUGCCUAAGACGGCAUUUAGAACUCACUAUAGGCACUACGAGUUUCUGGUUAUGACCUUUAGCUUGACUAAUGUGCCUGUAGCUUUUAUGAGUUUAAUGAAUGGGGUGUUCAAGCCAUUUCUUGAUUCUUUCGUUAUAGUCUUUAUUGAUGAUAUUUUGGUCUAUUCGAAAAGUGAGGAAGAGCACGCCGACCAUCUUCGCAUUGUUUUGGGUGUUCUUGGGAAACAAAGGUUGUAUGCUAAAUUUUCUUAAGUGUGAAUUUUGGUUGACUUCGCUUGCAUUUUUGGGACAUGUAGUGUCAAAAGAAGGGGUAAUCGUAGAUCCUUAAAAGAUUGAGGCGGUUAGGAAUUGGGUUCAGUCUAGCUCUGUGAUGGAGGUUAGGAGUUUUAUGGGGCUCACUAGCUAUUAUCAUCGAUUUGUGAAGAACUUUGCUUCUAUUGCCACUCACUUGACCAAUUUGACCAAAAAGGAGAUACCAUUUGAAUGGACCGAAAAAUGUAAGGAGAGCUUCCAAAACCUCAAGACUCUCUUGACCACCGCACAUAUUCUAGCAUUACUGGUUGAAGGUAAAGAUUUUAUUGUUUAUUGUGAUGCUUCACAUUCUGGUUUGGGUGCUGUGUUGAUGCAGGAUAAUAAUGUUAUAGCUUAUGCCUCGCGACAAUUGAAGGUGCAUGAGAGAAAUUACCCAACACAUGAUUUGGAGUUGACAUCAGUAGUUUUUGCUCUUAAGAUUUGGCGGCAUUACCUUUAUGGUGNAUGAGAGGAAUUACCCAACACAUGAUUUAGAGUUGGCAGCGGUAAUGUUUGCACUUAGAUUUUGGGGCAUUAUAUUUAUGGUGUCAAGUGUGAGGUAUUUACUGAUCAUCGCAGUUUACAACAUGUGUUCACUCAAAAGGAUUUGAAAUUUAGACAGCGAAGGUGGAUGGAGUUACUUAAAUAUUAUGAUGUNNNNNNNNNNNNNNNNNNNNNNNNNNNNNNNNNNNNNNNNNNNNNNNNNNNNNNNNNNNNNNNNNNNNNNNNNNNNNNNNNNNNNNNNNNNNNNNNNNNNNNNNNNNNNNNNNNNNNNNNNNNNNNNNNNNNNNNNNNNNNNNNNNNNNNNNNNNNNNNNNNNNNNNNNNNNNNNNNNNNNNNNNNNNNNNNNNNNNNNNNNNNNNNNNNNNNNNNNNNNNNNNNNNNNNNNNNNNNNNNNNNGCCACAUUCAUUGACGAGAUCAAGGCCAAACAGUUUGAGGAUGAGAAUUUGGAGGAGCUUAGAAAGAAGAUUGUGAUUGGUAAGGCACAAGAGACCACUCUUGAUGCGGAAGGUGUACUUAGUUUCAAUGGAAGAAUUUGUGUGCCUCAAGUUGAUGAUUUGAUUCAAAAGUUGUUGAUAGAGUCCCAUGGUUCGCGAUAUUCUAUUCAUCCGAGUGUGACCAAGAUGUACCGAGAUUUGAAGCGAAACUAUUUGUGGUCGGGCAUGAAGAAGUAUAUAGCGGAGUUCGUGGCUACGUGUCAAAAUUGCUAACAAGUUAAAUAUGAACACCAAAGGCCUACAGGUUUGCUUCAAAAUAUGCCAAUUCUGGAAUGGAAAAAUGUCAAUUCCGGAAUAGAAGUGGGAGAGGAUAGCCAUGGAUUUUGUGGUUGGUCUUCCCAAUACCUUGGAGAAGUUUGAUUCUAUUUGGGUAGUGGUUGAUAGAUUGACUAAGUCAGCCCAUUUUAUUCUAGUAAGAAUAGAUUAUAAUGCUGAACAAUUGGCUAGGGUGUAUGUGAAAGAGAUAGUAAGGUUGCAUGGGGUCUCUCUAUCAUCUCAGACCGUGGUACCCAAUUCACAUCCAAGUUUUGGAGGAAAUUACAUGAUGAAUUGAGCACACAACUCACUUUUAGUACAACCUUCCAUCCACAGACAGACGGGCAGUCAGAGAGGACUAUUCAAGUAUUAGAAGACAUGUUGAGGGCAUGUGUGAUUGAUUUUGAAGGGCAUUGGGAUAAUUUCCUACCUUUGUGUGAAUUCUCCUAUAAUAAUAGUUAUCACUCUAUCAUAGAUAUGGCACUAUUUGAGGCACUCUGUGGGAGGGAUGUAGAUCACCCAUAGCAUGGUUCGAGGCUGGAGAUGUGAAACCAUUGGGGGUCGAUUUAGUGAAGAAUGCUCAAGAUAAGGUGAGGAGUAUUCAAACUAAGCUUCUAGCAGCCUAGAGUAGACAUAAAAAGUAUGCGGAUCAUAAGGUGAGAGACAUGGAGUUUCAAAUCUGUGAGAAUGUUCUUCUUAAGGUAUCACCCAUGAAAGGGGUGAUGAGAUUUGGCAAGAAGGGCAAAUUAAGUCCGCAAUAAUUGGUCCAUUUGAGGUCCUUGAAUGUGUAAGAUCGGUAGCGCAUAGGUUGGCUUUACCUCAUAGUCUAUCGGUUGUUCAUCCGGUAUUUCAUGUGUACAUGUUGAAGAGGUAUCAUGGUGACGGAAAUUAUAUCAUUAAGUGGGAUUCAAUUGUGUUAGAAAAAGACCUCCAAUAUGAGGAGGAACCGAUUGCAAUUCUUGAUCAUGAUAUGCGUAAGCUGAGGACCAAGGAGAUUAAGUUCGUGAAAGUUCAAUAGAAGCACCGUCCAGUUGAGGAAGCUACUUGAGAGACCGAGAGGGACAUGCGAGACAAGUAUCCUCAAUUGUUCGUCGAUUCAGGUACUACUCCAUUCUUUUCUUAGCCUAUUUUUCCUAAGUUGUCACUCGUGGACGAGUGAUAGGUAAAUUGGUAUCUAUUGUAACGACCGGAUUCCGUCGUUAUAGAAAAGCCAACGGGAAAAUUUGGGGCCGAAAAACCUUUUCGUAGUAUUUGGAUUUAUUCCAACCUAGUCCAGAUUUGGACGAAAUUGGAGUCAUUAAGGUGUAGGGAAAUUUGGCAUCAAUCGGGUGAUUUAUUUAUAAUUUUGAUUACAUGAUGGGAUAGAUAACUCGUUAAGAAAUCCGUACGACUUUACGGAAUUGAAUUUGGGCGAGUAGAACUCCCGGAAUCGAUCUUAGCGUGAAGGAGAUUUUCUGAGUGUCGUUGGUUAGAGGUGUGUUGUGAAAUAGGGGUCUUGGAAUUAUUAAAAUAGCUUACUAUUUCGUGCAACCCGCUUUGGCGCUGGGUUUUGUCGCUCUGGCGGGACCACUAUAGCAGGGUGAAGGCCGCUGUGGCGGGCCAGACGCGACUUAAAGUCGUAAAUAAACCCCUAAACGACUUAUUCAUGCACUUUUCAAUUUUUAGAGCUAAGGAACGAGCCCCAGGUGACUCUUGACAAUUUUUCACCAUUCUUGAGGCUAAAGGUAAGCUUUUCACUGCCCGAAUCCAUUUUUCGAUCCAUAGAACGUAAUAGAAUGGGUAAUUAUCGAUGGGGGAGGGUUUUGAAUUAGAAACCAUGGUGGAAAAAGCCCUAAUUUUGAUACUUGGGAUCAUGGGUAUGAUAUAGGAUUGUUAGAAUUAUUAGUAAUCCGGGUAAUUAGUGAUUGUUUAUUGAUGUCUGUGUUAUUAUGAUUGUUUGUAGAUCAAGAACAAGUGGAACGAAUCCGGAAAGGGAAGGAUCAAGUUUCUUAGGGUUUCAAGCUUGUUUCGAGGUAGGUGAUGGUUGUGAUUCUAUGAUUGUGUGAUGUAUGUUUGUUCUUGCUUCAUUAGUAUACUUGCAUGUAUGUGAAUGUUGAUACUUAUGAUUGUGAUUGUGAUUGUACUGUGUUGAAUGGAUCGGUUGCCACGUUCUGGCAUAAUUAUGGGAUCGGUUGUCACGUUCCAGCAUAAACAUUGGAUCGGGUACCACGUUCUGGUAUGCUAAUUGUUUGGGUUUAGGUUCCAUGAAAGGACCAAUGACUUGUCAUAAUUGUGUAUAUUAUUGAGCAUGUGAUAAUCGAUAUUGUAUAUGUUCGGUAUUUUGCAUGUUUAUAAUGUUGUAUUGACUUGCUUAUGUUACACUUAGUGGGAUAGCCGCGUGAUCCUAUCAUUACAUUGUAGUUGUGUUCUGAUACUGCACUUGCUCUUAUUUUUGUUGAGUACACGACAUUUUUCGGCUGCUAUUGACAAACCUCGCUUAGAAGACCAGUGAUCGUUCGAAUUCAAGGGUGAGUCAAUUCUUCCAGGCCGCCAUGAGUUCUCUUUUCGUCUAUGUCCACAUUUCAGACUUAGACUUUUCUAGUUAGUUGAUUAGUUCGUUAGUUUGGGGUUGCAUCCCUUCUUGUUUAGACUUGUUGAACUUUAGAUGUUUUGGUACAUUGACUUUCAGGUUCUAGGUGUAAUUUCCGCAUUGUUAGUUGUUAGAUCUUUUGGAAGUUUAUGGGAACUUCAGUCUUAGAUAUUAUUCCUAUUUUUGUAUCCUUAAAUGCUUUAGUUUUUGGUUUAGAUGCUUGGUUGGGGUUGUAGUAGUGGUUCUCCCACCGGAGGGUUAGUGUGGGUGCCAAUCACGACGGUCUGGGUCAUGACAAAGGUUAUACUAAUAGAGGUAAAAGUAGAAACUCAAGAGGUUUUAUUUUUAAUACCGUUUUAUUUCUACCUUUUUCAUUUUCUUUAGAAAUAUUAUAUAAAUAUUGAAAUAAUAGAAUUCCUAAAUAACUGUUGAUCAGUAGAAUUUCUUGAAGAAUUUGAUUUAUGAGCAAAGUGUGUGCGCUCAAAGAAUUUGUGAUCAACAAAAAAAUAAUAUUGUACUUGGAUAAAAAGGAAAGAACUUUGGAAAAUAGAAACAAAACAGGUAUAGGUCGUAACAAAUAAGGAAAUUAAAGCAAGUUCAAGUAGAAUUGGAUUGAUUAAUCAAACUAGGUUUGAUCUUAGAGAGCAAAGUGUAGAAAACAUUUAAUAGUUUCAGGAUUGAAAAUAUAAGUACAUUUAAUAGUUUAGAGAAUAUAUUUUUUUCAAUCAAUCUAAAACACCUAUUUCUACUUGGUCUCCUUCAAUACAUACAAAGUGCACUAGCACAAGAAGUCGAAGCUACGCCAUUUUCAUGAUCAAGAUAAAUUUUUGAUUUUGUGUUACAAUCAUACCAAUGGCUUUUCCAAUUUCCAUAUUAGAUUAUGAACAAAUAAUUUCAUACUUUUAAGAGUCAUUGAUUUAAUUCUCUGUGUAUAUACUAAAACUUUAUACACUUGAUCAUCUAUUCUAUAAGUAAACAGACACAUAAACGAAUAUAUGAUCUAUUAAUUUUUUUAUUAAAAUUGAAUAAAAAUUAUACUAUGAAAAAUAUUAUAUCUAAAUACAUGGUUAAUAAUAUAAUCUCAUAAUUAAUAAUAUAUAGCCCAACAGUAAUUUAAAAUUAAUUACUUGAAAAGUUAAUGAAAUUUUAAGGUGAAAUCCACGAAGAUAGGCCAUGAUUUCUUACUUUUUUGAGAGAGGAGUUUUUCACAAAACAUUAUAUGUGUAUUUUGAUUUCCGCACUUCACUUUUAGUUUGCGAUUGAACCCGAUUCUUUAAAAAAAAUUACAUAACAAGGUAAACACAUAUAUAUACACACAUUAGUUUUUCGACACGUGUAUUACACGCGAUUAUCAAUUUAGAAAAUAUAUGUUAUAGUAAAUAGUUUUGCUUAUUUAAGUGAAGAUUUGAAUAAUAAACUUUGCACAAAAUAAUAUUACAAAUUCUUUUGUGAAUGUUCAAUGUGGAUCGUCAUAUAUAUAUUUCUCUUAUUCACGGGAAUCUAUGAAGAUGGUCAAUCAAAAAAUUUAUUAGUUAAAUGCAAUAAUGCAUAUAUUUAUUUCAAUUUGAUGAGGUUCAAUCAUGUAAUUAGUCGUAUCUCAGUAAUAUUACCUUAUAAACGAUAUUUGUUGUGUAUUAUUCUUGAUCACACAAUUUUUUUUUAAAUGCAAGAAGAAGAGUAGGAAAUUAAAAAAAAUUAUGGUUGAAAAAUGAGAGGAAGCCCCUCUAUUUAUAGUCAACAAAGGUAGAAUGAACAAGUGUUUUUUGUGUCUUAUCUGAAAAGUCAUAACCUUUCCGAUAAGUCAUAACCCUUUGGAAAAGUCAAAACAUAUUGACAAGUCACAACUCUUUGGAAAAGUCACAACUCCAUAAAAAAUCACAACCCUUUGUAAAAAGUCACAACUUAUCGGAAAAGUCACAACUCAUCGAGAAAGUGACCUUUCUGAGAAGUGACAACCCUUUGGAAAAAUCACAACUUAUUGAAAAAGUCACUACUCAUCGAAAAAUCACAGCCCUUUGAAAAAAGUCACAACUCAUCGGAAAAGUCACAACUCAUCGAAAAAGUCACAAACUAAGUUAAGGAUAUUAUUGUAAUUUAACAUUCAAGUUAGGAGUUCAUGUUUUUAAAGUAAUAUAGAUAUAUAUAGAGAGAAAAAAAUUCUCUCUCCUCUGCCCCUCUUUUCCUUGCCUCUCUCCUCCCACUGCCCUCUCUCUCUCCCUCUCGCUCCUCUCUCUCUUCAUCCCACACAAUUGCAGCCCAAAAAAUAUUUCGCAUAAUAUGAAAAUUGUAUUUUUUUUAUUAUGUAUCAAAUAUAUUUGUAUUUCAUAUCAAUUGUAUUUGUGAUAAAACUUGAUAUAACGAAUACAAUAUGUAUUGAUCCUCUCUGUCAACGAAUACAAUAAUUUGACAAAGAGUAAACUUCAAGAAAAUGAAAAGAAACAAAAGCUAAUUCAUUCUGUUUUUAUUACUUUACAAGUAUAUUGCUAUAUUUAUUUUUCGGUUACUAUAUCCAUUGCGCAAAUUCGUACGUCUUUAUUUGUUGUCUGUUAAUAUUAAAAAUAAUUUUGAUGUUGCAUGUCUAUAAUUAUAAUAUUCUUCAAUUAAUUUCACUUGAUAUUUUUUUUAAAAUAAAAAUAUUCUCAAAUAUUGUUUUCACUGUUUAUUAUACAAUUCUACAUCUAUAAUAAAAUACUAGUUACUAGAUAUAAAAGUCCGAACAAGCCCGUUUGCUAAGAAUUGCUCAAGUGAGCAGUAGUGGGUCCCAUGAAGCUUUCUCUCAGUAGCCUCUUAGUUUUCAAUAAAAGAAACUCAGUUCCUCUCUUUGUAAAUUUAGAAACUUGACCCUAAGCUCCUCCCUAUUCCUCUUCUAAUAGUAAAAAAAUAUAUAUAGUAAAAUAUAUAGUAAUAUCCACCAAACUAUAACAUUUACUAAAGGCAUAAUACAUAAACAUGACUCUUAACUUGGUUUUAACGGACAUCUAUGCCCUCCAACUUUGAGUGUGCACAAGUAGACACUUAAACUUGUAUAAAAUUGAACAAGUAGACACACAUGUCCUACAUGGCAUAAUACACGUAGGACACAAAAUUGUCACGUAGGGUGACAUGUAGGAAACGUGUGUCUACUUAUUCAAUUUUAUACAAGUUUAAGUGUCUACUUAUGCACACCCAAAAUAAAUAUGACUUAUAACUUGGCUUUAACGGAUAACUAUGUCCUUCAACUUUGAGAGUGCACAAGUAGACACUUAAACUUGUAUAAAAUUGAACAAGUAGACACACAUGUCCUACAUGGCAUAAUACACGUAGGACACAAAAUUGUCACGUAGGGUGACAUGUAGGAAACGUGUGUCUACUUAUUCAAUUUUAUACAAGUUUAAGUGUCUACUUGUGCACUCUCAAAGUUGAAGGACAUAGUUAUCCGUUAAAGCCAAGUUAUAAGUCAUAUUUAUGUAUUAUGUAUUUAUUAAAUAGUUCUUCUUUCCUUAAUUAUUCCCAAGUCCCAACCAUUUAAAGAAGAAAGGGUAGUUAAUUAAGAAGAUGAAUUAUUUGACUAUUAUUAAGAAGAUAAAAAUAAUAAUUACGUUCAAAAUGUACUAUACUAUAUUAGAUUAACCACUCAUCUCUUUGAAAGGAUAAUGAAAGGUAAGUAAAUCAUAUUUAAUUUUAUCAUCAAUAUAUUUAAAUUGGGGUAAGUUUUAAGUCAAAACUUCGUUAUCUAUGUUUUGAAUAUCGAAGUACUAUUUAGUCAGACCUUCAAGGAUCGUGACAUCUUGAUAUUUUUGACAUUGAUUCUCGAACUUCUAGAAUAUUUAGAUUGAUUCACCAUGCGCUUAUAUAUUUUUUCGAGAAAAAUAUUGUUAAACAUGCAUGACAACUGACAUCUACCUACAUUUUUUUCAAUAUUUCAAUCUGACCAUACAUCUGUUAUCUUGAUCAAUUCAAUAAGAAGAAUUUUCCAAUCAAACGAUGGAAAAUUAAACUCUUCAUCACUAAUUAAAUGGAUGAAUAAACAACACAUAUAGUAUAAAUUUGUGUACUCUUUGACUUGACAAAGUUGGUUCAUGUUCCUCCCACGAACAGUAUAAUAAAUAGGGGAAGAUCAAGAAAAUACCAUGGGAUAUUCCAAGGUUAUUCUUUCUCUAAAUACAAAAUAUAUAUCUUAUUUUAAAUAACGUAAUAAAAUAUUAACAAAAUAUGUGUUUACCGCACAAACAAUAAUUAAGUCUUGGAUUAUAAAAUUCAUUCAAACUUUGACACAAUUUAUUUAUAAUUAAGCUGAAAACCAGAAUCCCAAUACCCAAAAUAAUAAUAAUAAUAAUAAAAAUGUCUGCUUAAUAUACAGAUGAUAGAAAAUAGUAACAAGGCAUAAGUAUCCCUAGACUAUAACCGAAAUUCCAGAGACACACUUUAAUUAAACUAAGGUCCUAUUACCCUCUGAACCCAUUUUUUUUUUAAUUUUGUACACUUUUUUUACUUACGUGGCAUCCAAAUACAGGGGCAGAGCCAACAUACAUUCAGGGGUUCAUCUGAAUCCCCUUCGACGGAAAAUAUUAAUAUAUAUACAUGGUUAAAUUUUUAUUUAAUGUAUAUAUAGUUGAUGUCGAACCCCCUUCGGUUAGUUCGUGUGUUUACUUUUUCAAAUUUUGAGCCCCGUUGUUAAAAAUCUUAGCUCUGCCACUGUCCAAACAUCUCUCACACACCUCAACUACGUGGAGCUAUAGAGUGUGCUACGUAAGUCUAAAGGUGUACAAUAUUACAAAAAAAAAUUGGGUGGGGGGUAAUAAAACCUUAGUUUAAUGUGUCUCUAAAAUUUCGAUUAUAGUCUAAAAUACUUGUGCCUUAUCCCUAAAAAAAUAGGUAAAACUAACAGAAAAAAAAAAAGAAAGAGAAACAAGUAGUAAAGAAGAAGCUAAUUGUGUUUAAAUCUACACAACAAAAGUAAACCAACUAAUUAAUAAUGGCUGGUCAUGAUUAGCACUAAGUGUUUCCUAUAAGCUGUCUUGCUUUUAUUAAGGACUUAAACAAAUAUUUACUUCAAAUAAGUGUUGUAUCCUCGUGUGAAUAAUUGUUUUAUAAGUAUAUUUUAAGACCAAACAUAUAUAACUAAUUUAUUUGUCUUCCCUAGUGUAGAUUUUCUCCCCAACAACCAAGCUGCAAGUCUGGUACUUUAUUCAUUCGGACUAAUUUAUAUGACAUUAUUUAAAUUAGUAUAUUCUUUGAUUAUUUGUGUGUUUAUUAAUCAUUUAACUAAGAAUAAAAGAUGAUUUUAAAGUUAAAUUAUUUUUCGUUAUAAAAAUGUAACAUUUUUUUGGAACAAACAAAAAAAAAUGUAUCACAUACAUUGAGACAAAGAAUUAUUACUUUUUUCUUCAUUCUUUUCCCUUUUUGACUCUCUCUGAUCCAAUUUAUGUGACAUUCUUUCUUUUUUAGUCUGUCACAUAAAGAAUAUUCAUUUUUUUUUACAAUUAGAAACUAUUUAAAUCUAAAAAAAUUCGUUUAAUAUUCUAAUUAUUCCUUAGUGAAAUGAUUUAUAGCCACAUAAAUGAUAAAUAGUACUCCCUCCAUUUCUAUUUAGUUGUUAAUCAUUUUAGGUUUCACGCCUCUUAUGAUGUAUUUUUUUUAUCAUAUUGAUAUGCAAAUAAUUGUAAUUUAUAGUACUUUUCGUAUAGUUUUUGAAUAUAUCUAAAUUUUUUGUUUAAAAUAUCAAGUUAAUGUAAUCCAAUUUAACUUUGAAAAUUAGUCAAAUUGACUUUUGAAAAACGCAACAUGACAAUUAAAAGUCAACGGGGGAGUAAGUUUACCAUUGUGUGAUUAUUUAUUUUUUUCUUGAAGUCAAAUUUUUAAUAAAUGAACAUAAAUUAAUGGCUUAAGUCAUUUAUAGCCACUUAAAGUUGUCCUCAUAUUUCAUUUGGACACUUCAAUUAAGGUUUGUACCAUUGAACAUUUUUACCAUUUCGAAUUGAUACAUAUUUGACAUAUUUUUGACAAUCAUCCAAAAUAUUAAGUGUGUGAGUUAUACUUGUGAUGACAUGGCACAAGGACGAAUCAAAUUAUGACAUGUGUCAUUUGGAUCCAAAAAAUUAUUUUUAAAAUAUAUUUUAAAUGAUAAAAGUAAAAUAAAAUUUUGUACCCCUAAAAAAUUCACCCACCCACCCAAACCUUCCCACGUUACCCAUCAAAAUUUACGCCCCCCGGCGUCGCCUUUUUUACUUCUUUUUUUCUUCUUCUUCUUUAUUAUAAAUCAACAAUGGUAGAUUAUUUAGAUUCAAAAUUUUAAAAAACUUUAAUAGUUACAUUGUUGCCCAAUCCACCCAAAUUCUUCCCCUUCUACCCAUCAAAACAACCACUCUUUUCUUCUUCUAUCAACAAUGGCGAAAUACCCAUUUUCUUUCAGUUGAAUAGCAUCAAAACUUUCUAUUUGUUACCUUUACCUUUUUCUCAUUACUAAUCAUUUAUCACAAUUACAAUAGAUAUAUAACAACAAACUUUUGCCUGAAAAAAUCAAUUCAUAUUUUUUCCAUCUGAAUAAAUGGAUGUUUGCCGAAAUAUUGAAGAUGUAGAUCUACAUAAAAAAGAAGAAGGAAAAAACAGAAGAAGAAGAACGGGAAAGGGUGAGAGAAAGAGAGAGGUGGAGGGGGUGGGGUGUGGGGUGCGCCUGUGUAAAAAGAAUUAUGAAGAUGGUGAAUGAGAAUAGUACAUGGGUGUAAUUUUGGGUUAGGGAAGAAGACUACAUUUUCAAAAAAAACAAAAAUUCCCUUUUCAUUAAUUUUGGUAUAUAAGUUAGAAAGAAAAGAAAAAUUAUUAAUUUCAAUAGAUUUACAUACCUAAAGAGAGUGUAGCACAUGUUUUUUGACAUGUCAACAUUUUGUGUCGGAUAGAAAUGACUUUUGAACAAAUAAAGUGUUCAAUAGAUACAAAGAUAAGUUGAGGUGUUCAAAUGAAAUAUGUGGACAACUUUAAGGGGCUGCAUAUGACUUAAGCCUAAAUUAAUUUAUUUUGAUUAUUUAAUUGACCAAUCAACAUGAAUUAGUCAUUUAGUUUUACUAUGUUGGUUAAAUUCAUACUUUCAAGGCUUAUAACCCUCAAGGGUAAAAUAGAAAGAAUAGUGUCAUUUAUGCAUUGAUUUUUUGAAAUGACAAAUACUCCCUCCGUCCACUUUUAAUUGUCAUGUUUCACUUUUCGAAAGUCAAUUUGACUAAUUUUCAAAGUUAAAUUAGAUUACAUUAAUUCGAUAUUUUAAACAAAAAAAAUAGAUAUUCAAAAACUAUACGAAAAGUAGGGGUGUCAAAAAGAUAUGAAAAACUGAUCGAACCGACCAAACCAUACCGAAGUGAUUUAUAGGAUAUUUUAAAUAUAACUGUGGACUUUUAUUAAUCUUAUAACCGUCCUGAAUAAUUGGGAUGGUCUUUUUAAUUUAUAUAAAAAUCCAAAAAAUACCGAACCGAACCAAAUAGUCUUACAUAUAUGUUAUACUAGAUGGGAAGGCCCGUGGCAAGCACGGGCCCAAUAGUCAAAAUAUUAUGUUUGUUAAAAUAUUAAUAUUAAUGAAUCAAGGGUGAUGGCUUUUGCAGAAGAUGGAUAAUAUUAUAUACUAUUAGAUAUAUUGAGAAUGUGUACAACAGACAUCAGUAUGAUGCUGACUUGCAAAAGAGCAAAUGAAAAUUUCAGAAAGAACGAUACAUGAUCAGUUAAAGCGGGGGGGGGGGGGGGGGGGGGGGGGGGGGGNNNNNNNNNNNNNNNNNNNNNNNNNNNNNNNNNNNNNNNNNNNNNNNNNNNNNNNNNNNNNNNNNNNNNNNNNNNNNNNNNNNNNNNNNNNNNNNNNNNNGUCCUUCACAACUCCCUCUUCUAAAUAAGGGUAAUAUUUUAUAUACUACCACAUAUGUUAAAUUUAAUAUACAAAUAUAUUUGGGCAAAUUACAGAAAUCACAUACUUUUAAGGCAAAAUUACAAUCUAUCCCUUAAAAGUUUAUAAUUACAUAAAUCUUCAAACGGAUACAAUAAUAUAAGUGCUGAUACAUUAAUUUGAUGCACGAGAUACAAUAAUAUAAGCGCUGAUACAUUAAUCUGAUGCGCGAGAUACAAUAAUAUAAGCGCUGAUACAUAAUCUGAUGCGCGAUAUACAAUAAUAUAAGCGAUGAUACACUAAUCUGAUGACGCGAAAAUGAGGAAUUUUGGAGAUUUGUAAAACUUAUAGGAGAUAAUGAUAAUAAGUAAACUAAAAUGUGGGAUUUCUCUAAUUUUUCCAAUAUAUUUUAUAAAUUCCUUUUUCAAAUACAUAAAAAGUUAGGCCUCUAGACUUUGGGUCUGUAGUUGAUUAGAUUAGUUUUAACUUUUUAAAGGAUUCAAUUACUAGACUCAUACGUUCAUAAAUCAUACCCAAUUACCCAUAUUAAAUAUAAUAAUAUUGAUAUAUCAAAUAAUUAUCUUAUGGCUAAAUACCAAAACGGUAAAGCCUAACGCGCUAUAUACUAGUUCUAUUGAAAGUUUAUCACUAACAAAAUAACGAAAAUUAGUCGAACCGUAUCGAUAUCGAAAAAAAUCGACAUGAUUGGAAUGGUUUAAAAAAUCUAAUUUUGGUCAUGCAUUGUAAAAUAACCAAAAUAUUGGGAUGAUAUUUUUUAAAAAAAAUAAUCGACCGAACCGUCUCAUGAUUGACACCUCUAACGAAAAUUACUAUAAAUUACAAUUUUUUGCAUAUCAAUAUGUUGAAAAAAAUAUAUCGUAAAAUAUUAGUCAAAUUUUUUAUAGUUUGACUCUAAAAAAGAAAACCAUGACAAUUAAAAGUGGACGGAGAGAGUAUUAAGGAACAUCUAUUUUUAAUAAGAACGGCGUAUAAAUAGAAAUGAAGGGAGUACUUUAGAUUAAAAAAUUUGAAGAUCUUUUUAUAUAUAAAAAAAAUAAAAAUUCAAUCUCAAAUUUAUGAGGCUAAUAUGGGAAUGAUAUUUUCCAUCUGGGUCGAAUAACAGAUCCCACUUUAAAAUAUGCAUAGGGUACUUCUGUUUCUGCGUGUGAUAUAGAACACAUAUUUCGAUAGUAAGUUUAUGUAUACCUAUAUUGCACUUUAGUAGCUAGUGUACAUAAAACCUUGACAAAGGUUCAAGUACUUGAGAAUGAUAAAAAGAGUUGACAAGUUAUAUUAUAUUAGAAUUGAUAUCAAAUAAUCGUUGACGAUAUCUUUAAUAUAAUCUAGUGUUCAAAAUAAUAAAUCGUGACGAAGAUCUUGAAUUUAAAUCUGACAAAUGGUAUGAAAAAAUCAAUGAUUGACAAAUAAAAUACGCAAUUCAAGUAUAUUUUACUUUACUUAAUUAAAAAAGUGACAUUCUAAACUUAUAUAGUCCAUAUACCAAGAUAUAAUGUUAGUGGGCUACAAAUGAGUUAUAUAUUGUGCAACAUGUAAAAUCGUAAGAUAUAAAAUACAGUUCGUGCUUUGGGGGGGGGGGGGGAUAAAAGACUUUCGUACAAGUCCUAACAUUAUUGUAUGGAGAUGUGUUCUCCUAUGGUGAAUGUAAUGCGGAUUUUUCAGUCUGACAAUAUAUGAAAAAAUUGAAUACGUAUAAUGAAUGAUUAUCAUGUCUAGCUAGACAAUAAAUAUUACAUGACAGUACAAUUUUUGAAGGAUUUUAAAGCGAUUCCAUUGAAUAGUACCCCAAUGGCUAUGAAAUCUCUAACUAUAAAGAUCGAUUUCGAUCUCAUUAAAAUGGUUAGAAAAUACCAUGUCAUAGUGCAAUUGGUGCACUUAUAUAUCCUACUAUUUUGAUUCAUGGUAUAAUAAUUAUAUUAAUGUGGAUACAAAGUAUAACAUCACACUUAUUGAUGGAGAUAUUAGAGUACAUCAGAUAUUGAUACAAAUUAUUUAUUUUGAUCAAUCGUGUCAAAGUUUAUUGAUUAUGAAAUUGCAGAUAAUUAUUUGAUUUAUAUGAAGUUUAAUCUCAAGAAAGUUAUCUAUUUUCAUGUGGAAAUACUGUCAUAUCAAAUCCACAAGACCGUCAAUUUUAUUGUAAGUGUACCUCAGUGCUUAGUUGUUGUUACUAACAAAAACGAGCAAUUUGUCCACGCCGACAAAGUCACGAAUUGCGUAAUUGUGAAAAAUGUAUUUGGUUGAGAUCAAUAAGUCAACAUAUCUAGAAAAUAUGUGACCUUCCUUCGAAAAGAGAUAUUCCAACAAAAAAUAUGAAGACAUUAUUUCAUGUAUAGCUCAAUUAAGAGGACACAUCAAAGGAGAUGAAACAAAAUAUAUCUUACCAAAAUUCUUAUUUUACUCAUGUAUUUAAAAGAAGGAUGAAAUAGAUGUUCAACACGUUCAUUCAAGUGAUAAUUUAGCAGAUAUAUUCACCAAUAUAUUACUAACUUUAACCUUUGAGAAGUUGAGAUACAAAAUUGGAAUGCGUCAUCUUUGAGUUGUUAAAUGAUGUCUUCAUCGGGGGAAUAAAUACGCGUUGCGCUCUUUUUUCCUUAACCAUAUUUUAUCCCACUGAGUUUUUCAGAUAAAGAGUUUUAAUGAAGCAUCAAACAAAGCGUAUUAAUACAUUUUUUUCUUUCACUGAAAAUUUUCUUUUACAUGGACAUCUAAAGGGGAGUGGUCUAAAAUCAAUGUCCACAUAAAUAUACUUUGUAUGUAACAUAAAUGUACACAAUAUAUUUUGUGUUGUAACAGAUAUGUACACACAAUAUACAUUGUGUGUAAGAUUGAUAUACAUGCAACACACUAUGUGUUGGAAACUAGCCAUCCAUACAAUACACUUGGGAGCCGUUUGGUUACUGGUUAGAGUUAUGCAUGUAUUAGUUAUGUAAGAUUUAGUUAUGCAUGUAUUAGUUAUGCAAGGUUUAGUUAUGAGGGUAUUAAUUAUGCAGAGUUUAGUUAUGCAUGUAUUAAUUAUGUAAGGUGUAGUUAUGCAGAUAUUAAUUAUGCAAGAUUUACUUAUGUAGGUAUUAGUUAUGUAGGGUUUAGUUAGGUAAAUAUUACAAUACAUUAGUAAGCUAAUUUUUAUUUCUUAAUUUCAAAAAUAUUUAGUGAACUAAUAAUUAUUAUACCCAUUAAAAUAAACAACUAUCUAAAUAACACAUUAUUAUUAAAAAAAUAUCAAUAGAUAAAAACACUAAAGUAAAUAACAAAUAACUAAAAAUAUUAUAAUACAUAUAUAUGGCAGUGCGUUGCGAAGAAACUAAGCAAAUAAAUUAAUUACAAUUAACCAUCACUGUCUUACCGCCAAAGAAAACAGUUAAUAAAAAAUUAAGCAAAAAAUCUAAAUUAAUUAAGCAACUAACAAGACAAAAAAUCCAAAAAAAAAAAAUUGAUAGUGUUUUUUUAUUUACAUAUAAUAACCAUUUGAUUUGUAAUAAAUUAAUCUACAUUUAAAAGUGAAGUCAGGGGUAAUAAUUCCUGCCAAAUUACUUUGAUGUGCAAGAACUUUCGUUCCAGAACUUGGCAUCGAGUUUUCUACUAUUACUUAAAAUGUUUUUCACUGUGUAAGUAAUAAUCUUGAAUUUUGAUCGUCUUUACCGUGUGAAGUGGCGGUAAAUGGAUGGGUUGGUUCAAAUUUGGGUUAGUUGAAAAUGAGUCAACAUAAAAUGGGUAAUAACAACCCGCCCAUAUUUGAUAUAGGUAAAAAUGGAUUAGAUAACAAAUGGAUUGGGUAAAAUACUAGUUUACUCAUAUUUUCAUGAGUAAAUAGUACUCUACUUAAGAAUUCAACAUGGAAAAAAUAUUUUACUCUUUUUUUAGAUGAAAUAUGUUGAAAAUGUUUCAUUUAGUUUUAUUGUAUCAUAAAAGUAAAAUACAAAAAAAUCCUAUAACUUUUCAAUAUAAAAUAAAUUUAUGUUUUCCUCGAAAAUGUUUUCCUGAAAAACAAAUAGAUUUUUAACUUAUUUUCUCAUGUUUGGUUGGUGAGUAGAAAAUAUUUUCCGAAAAAAAUUUGUAGUUAUUUGAUUUAUGAAUGAUUUUUUUUUUGAGAAAUAUCUAUUAUUUUUACUAGAGUAGAAAAUAAUUUUUGAAAUUGAAAAUAUUUUUUAAAAACAAAUUUAAAUUUUUUUUCGGGGUUGGGGAGGGAGGGAGGGNNNNNNNNNNNNNNNNNNNNNNNNNNNNNNNNNNNNNNNNNNNNNNNNNNNNNNNNNNNNNNNNNNNNNNNNNNNNNNNNNNNNNNNNNNNNNNNNNNNNNNNNNNNNNNNNNNNNNNNNNNNNNNNNNNNNNNNNNNNNNNNNNNNNNNNNNNNNNNNNNNNNNNNNNNNNNNNNNNNNNNNNNNNNNNNNNNNNNNNNNNNNNNNNNNNNNNNNNNNNNNNNNNNNNNNNNNNNNNNNNNNNNNNAUGAUUUGCUUAUUUUACACUAUUAUUCAUUAUCCAAUAUAAAUUAAACAAAUAUAUUUAAAAUAUAUUUAGAAUUAACAAAAUAAAUGUACAUUUAAAAUAGAUAUUUUUGAAAGGCCAAAGACUUCACAUUUUCAAUUAUAUAGAAAAAUAAUUAGUUUUAUAGAUGAACAUAAAAAGGAAGAGAAGUUACAAUAUAUUUGAUAAUAUCAUGAAUUUUGAGUGAAUAAAAGUUAGAAGCUUAACUCAUUUGGCUAAUUCAUAUUUUACCCAUAUUAUCUAUAUUUUAUCCAUAUUUUUAUGGAUUGAAUAUGAAUAUCAACCCAUGUAAAAAGUCACUCACCCAACCCACUAAAUAUGGACAGAUUAGACCAGUUACCAAAAUAUGGGAUCAUUUUGCCGGCAAUAACCAUGUGCAAUAGUGCAAGUUAUCUCCAGACUCAAGAGUAGACCAUCUCUUUUAUAUGAUGUUUUAAUAAAUAAAUAGUAUAACUCUUUUAAAAGCACACAUAAUAAAAAAAAAUCGAAAGUUAAUUGAAAAGGAUAAAUAUGUAAUUUUAUUAUUUUAAUUCAUGUAUAACUAAUACUCACACAACUUAUUCGACAUUCUACCAUGCAUAUAAUUAUACAUAGAUUUUCUCAUAAGUUAUGUGAGUAUUAAUUAUGUAAAAUUACUAAAACACAAUCAAACACCGUAUAAAAUUAAUACAUAAAUAAGUUUUAUACAACAUUUGAAACCUACCAACCAAACAUGGUAUAAAAUUAAUACAUGAAUAAUUUUUAUCCAUUCACAAACCAAACAAUGUAUAAAAUUAAUACAUGAAUAAACAAGUUAUUCAUGUAUUAGGCUGAGCUUUAACCAGUUACCAAACGGCCCCUUGGUACCCAAGUAUACACAUGAAAAAUAAAUAUUCAUAUAAUAUAGUUGUUUGGUUGGGAACUAGUUAUCUCAGGAUUAACUAUUCUGGGGUUAGUUAUCCUGGGAUAACUUAUCCCACCAUGUAUAUGGAUAACUUAUCUCACUAUGCUAUAAAUGGUGGGAUAAGUUAUCCCAAAUAUGUCAAUCAAACAAGAUAUUUAAAUUUUAUCCCAUGCCUAUUUUUUUAUCCCAAGACUAUUUAUAUUUAUCCCUCACACCAAACGAGUGGUGGUGUGUAUGGUAUAAGGGUUUGAAAAAUACCCUAACUUUGAUCGACAUUGCUAUUACGAUACCAAACUUUAAUGAGGACCUAUUACUCCCCAGACUAUUUAAUACCAUAUUUUAAACAUAUUUAUUAGCCCACGUGGACAUAAAAAAUAAUGUAAAAUUAUAAAUAGUAAUGUGUCCACGUGAGCACAUAUAUACCUUUAAAAUACACUAUUAAAUAGUUCUGGGGGGUAAUAGGUCCUUCAUAAAAUUUGGUAUCGUAACAGCAAUUUCGAUCAAAGUUGGAAUAUUUUUUAGACCCUUAGCCCUAUACUAUAUAUAUAUAUAUAUUUUAUGACAAGGGAAACCCGCAACCUCUAUCAUUUGGGUGCGCACAGGAUAAAACUCAUGCUCUUAUGCAAUAGCUUGCAAACCACAUAGGAAAGGUAAUCCGCACUAGGCAAGCCCGGUGCGACGAGCUCAAUCCAAAAGGCAAACCCUUGCUUUCGACUUCCUACAUGAAAGUCCCAAGCAAAUCACUGGGUCACCCCAAAGGGUAUAUAUAUAUAUAUAUAUAUAACAUAAGACAAGAGUAAGGGAAAAGAAAAUAUUUUCUCAUCUAUCUUUCUUUUUAAUUUUACUACAUUAUCUUUGUUUAAUAACACUUUUCAAUUCUUUUUUGGAUGAAGAAUGCUCACCCAUUUUCCCUCGCUUUUUUUUCCUGUUAUCUUCUUGCUUCUCUUUUUCCUCCUCUACCUAGUCCUUGAUAUGCAAUUGUAGCUUAAAGGAUAUGAAACAAAAUGAAAUAGCAAAAGGGAUGAAUUUAGUGGAAGAAGAAUAAACUAUAAAAAAAAAAAAUUAAAAAGAAAUAAGUAAAGAAAAAUAAAUAAAAAUAUGAAAUUAAAUGAAUUUAACACAUGGCAGACAACGAUCGGUGAGCAAUUUUUCCUUCUUAUAGUUGAGGUUGAAUGAGAAAGAUUGUAUUUACCCUCGUACUUUUUUUUUAAUUAAAGAAUGCUACACUGUACAUGCUUGAAAAACUCGAAAGUCAGGUUAUGCAAUGACCAAAAUUUGGUAUGAUUUGUCCAGUGUCCACAAUAGAUAAACUAUAAGACACUCAGCUUGUAAGUUACAAUUCAAUAGUAGGUAAAACUUACCAGAUACCAUUUACCAUUGGCAACUUUCAAGCUACGAAUACGAUAAUUGACGAUACAUCUAAAACUGUGAACUGACAAAUGAUCCGAUACAAGAUAAAGAAAAAUGACAUGACAACUUUAAAUUCAUUUAUACCAUACACUAUCACUAUCUGAUUCUAUACUGGUACACACAAUUGACAUUGUAAAUACUUUUCACAAACCUGUGCACAAUAGUCGUAAACUCGUAUACCCAGUUUUAUUCCAUGGGUGCACAGACAAGUAACCAGCCACUUUGUUCCUCAGAACUAGACAGGAACAUCAGUUGUUUCUGAAAGUUCAGGACCAUUAUCACUCUUUCAUUCACCUGAACCCGGAGGGAGUAGCUUGAGCACCCGGUCCACCUGGUCUCGACAUAGCUCUAGAUUGGAGGAGCAUCUCUUCAUAGUUCUGAUUACAAAAAAUCAAUGUGAACAGCAUGAAACAAGAAAGCCAGCAUGGUAAUUGGUAAAUAUCUCAAAGUAAAUUUACCCGUUUGUCAAAUGCAUCGUCACUUGAACUAAUAAUCUUAUCUGCAAGGCCAUAGUCAAUGGCCUCUAGUGCCCUGAAAUAUUUAGGGCGUAGGAUAUCUUUCUUAAUUUCUUCCUUUGGUUUUCCAGUUCCUUGUGAUAAUAGUUCAAGGUAAUACUCUGAGUUUGAUUCUAGUUCUUUGGC
This 123479-nucleotide long non-coding RNA is filed under the name Solanum tuberosum (potato). RNAcentral describes it as "long non-coding RNA (STUB_LNC009734)". The record is from RNAcentral. Lineage: Eukaryota; Viridiplantae; Streptophyta; Magnoliopsida; Solanales; Solanaceae.